AGACUAGAAUCUCCAUUUUCAAAUGCAUGUUUUGCAAAUAGGGACCAGCAGUCGUCAAAGGAUAACUGUCCCAAAUGAUGAAUACGGACUGAACGCAUGACUGAUGCAACCUUAUCACUACGUGUAGUUACAAUAAUCUUACUUCCAGGUAGGCCAACAGUGAAGGGAGUUUGUAGCCUAUCCCAAUUAUUAUAGUUUUCAUUCCAAACAUCAUCAAGGACAAGAAAGAAUUUCUUCCCGCUAAGUCUCUCCUUCAGUUUAAGUUGAAGCAGAUUCAAAUCAUUGUCAUCAGACGAAUUUUUAGAAGUCCCGGAAUCGAUUGCCUUAACAAUUGUUUUCGUUAUCCUGACAAGAUCAAAUUCGUCUGAAACACAAACCCAUGCUUUAAGGGCAAAGCAUUCCACCACUUUCCUAUCAUUAUAGACCACCUGAGCAAGUGUGGUCUUUCCAAUACCGCCCAUACCCACCAGGGCGAUCACACUUAUCUUAUUCCCACUUGCAUUAUGGGACAACAAAAAUUUAACUAUCUCCUCCUUAUCACCAUCCCUACCGCACACCCCAGACUCAUCUACCAAGGAAGUUGUCGGCCAUCUUUGUGAAAAUUUAUCUCCAACGCCUCUUUUCAACCCGAGAACAUCUUUUUUUUGUGCAAGAUAUUCUAGUGUGUCAGUGAUCUCCUCUACCCUGGACUCGAUCCCCUCACCAAAGAUGAUGUUUCGUACCUGAGUUUGAGAAUCAUACUCCAUCGUGCGUCGUAAAGCUUCAGUGGUGAUAUCAUCCACCAGGUCCUCCGCAUCAUACACUGCAUCUUUCAGCUCAUCGACCCAAUCUUUAACAGCUGAAUUCGUGAUUUGCUUGGCCUCGGCGUCAUUCAGCACUGCCUGAACUUCCAGCAAUUUCAUCUGCAACUUCCUUAGGAGCGUCUCACUGAGUUUCUGUCUCCGGAGGAAGGUGAGGACGUCGCGAGAAGCCAUCCGAUCAAAUAGAACUUGGAGAGAAGCCGAGAGAAGUGCUCCUCCUCCUGCUACAGACCCGGCCAUGUCUGUUGGUUUGCAAGGGAAGUGAAUACUGGAUCAGAGAAGAAUGAAAGAAAGCAGAUGCAAAGCAACGAGGAAGAGUUUGACCCUUAGAAGAAAGAGGUAGAUGAAGACGGUGGCCUAUCAACUAAUGCCAAAUGUACAGAUGAAUAUGGGUUGCAAUUUGGUCCCUGCCUUAUAAAUAAAUAAGAAAAUAUUCAUAAACCUUUUCAAUAUUUAAUUUCUAGGAUCCAUAAUCCACUUAGUAAACUCAACAACAGGCUUUUGGACCGAUAAUAAAAUUAUUGAUUUUAGGCUUUCUAGAUGCUUCAAAUGUUGAAAAGGUCUUCCCUUCAAUAGUGUAUAACAUUAAGAGACCUUUGAAUAGUUUAUGAUAUUGACAAAAUCACCCAUCUCAGUUGUAAAAUAUUGAAAAGAGACCCUUGAAUGUCUGCCACAAAAAUUAUAUCAUGAAGUGUUUUCGAACUUUUUAAUACUUUAAAAAUUAUAUCAUUUUUAAGUGUUAGAAAUGCUAUGAAGGUUCUCUAAAAUUACUAUCAAACGCACUCUUAUUGGAUAAUAUGCAAUUUUCUUGAUGAGAUUGGCCUACCUUGGGAAAAGAGAGGCAUCUCUCCUACUUCCAAAAAAAGAGAAGAAAAAAACAGAAUGAAAAAGUGUGAAUUUCCACACUUUUCCUAAAUUAUAUUAAUAUCAAAAUAAAUGAUUUAUUAAGAUUUUUUUAUUAAAAAAAUUAGAUAAAUAAAAAAAUCCUCGCUAAAGGCACUAGAUAAAUUAAAUUUUAUCCAACUCUAGCUAUAAUAUAAAUUCUUAUGCCAAUGUAUAUAUGCUUGUCAUAUAUAUCUUUAUCUAUUUUUUUAAUAGAAAAUCUUACUUGAAUAGCCUAGUUAUUUGAUAUUUGAACAUAAUAUUAGGUUGACAUUGCUUUAGAAAAGACUUGGUUGUUAUAUUGAGACUCAAAUGUUAUAAUUUACUUCAUUUUUUUUUUUUCCUUUUUACUAGAAAGAGUAAAACAUAAAAGCAAAAGUGAAAAAGAAAUGCUAGAGGAGUGCACUUUAUUUAUAUAUUUUUAAAACUGAAGUUGAAACAUAAAGCAAAAAAAGAAACAAAAAAAUAAAAGGGUGGGGAGUAUUGCCACGCUGCUCCUGUCAUUUAUUCGAUUUUUGAUAAUUUUAUAGUAAAUAAAAAAUCAUUUAUAAAAGGUGGUAGUUUUAAAACUAUUGACAACAUUAUACUCCUUUAUAUCAUAUAAGCUUACCAAAACCAUUAUAUCACAACUUAUCUUAAAAUCGUGUCUUGAAGAUAUGAUGUCAAUACAUUAUCUUAAAAUCGUGUUUUCAGGACAUGAUUUUAAUGUAAUAUUUUGAAAUUAUUUCUUGAAGAUAGGAUUCAGUGUAUUAUCAAGAAAUCGUGAAUUUAAGAUUUUUUUUCUUUUAUCUAAUUUUUAUAAUAUAUAUUUUUUAUAUAAAUUACUUUAUUUCUUUUUCAUGUUUUUUUUAAUUGUUUUUUCUAUCUUUAUUGAAAUCAUAUAUUAUUAUUACUAUUAUAUUAUUUUUUAUUUUAAUGCAUUACCAUUACAUUAAAAUUGUAUUUUCAAAUCACAACUUCAACAAAAUAUACUUCAAAUGCACUAAAAUCCUGCCUUUAAAUCACAGUUUUAGCAAAAUACAAUAAAAAUAUGUGAGGAGUCUUAGUGUCAUAAAUUGUCAUAGAUUUAAAAACAUUUUUGAAAGUUUUAUGUUUUGAAAAUUAUUUUUUAAAAUUAUGGUAUUUUAAAAAAAAACCUUGUCAUUUACCUAUGAUGUCACUCUUCAAUAGAGCAAAAAGGAAAGGAAAAGGGAACACACACCUUAAUUGAGUCAACUCAUGCCGUUGGGACAAUCCAAAGUUUUAGUUGAAGUAAUUUUAGUGAUCACCAUGUAAAAAUAACUUGAGCAAAGCAUAUAACAAAGAAGCAAUUUCUGUGUGAAUAAAAAUAAAUUCAUUUCUAUGCAAGAUCAGAAAGUUCAACAAGGGACUAGAAGAUAAUAACACAUUUCUCAAACAACCAAAUUGGAGUCUCGCUCAGUAUAAAACUUAAGCAAUGGCAAAUCUUCGUCAUGGGACUUCUCCAAAGAUUCAAAAUAUUAAUAACACAUUAUGUUUUAGGGAAUAUAAUGUUUUAGGAAUUAGAUACAUUCAUGGUUUAAUAUAAUGUUUUCAUAAUUGGAUUGGUCAUUAAAUAAAAAAAAUUAUCGAUUUAUGAUUUAUUAGUUAGAUUGAUAGUUCAACCACAAUCAAAUUAUGUUGAUAUCAUAAUAUAAAAUUUUAAAAUAAUUACUAAAUUUUUUUAUGUUUAUUUAAUAGUAUAAAUAUAUAAUAUUUAUGAUUUACUAUUUAAAAGAUAUAUUAUAGCAUAAAAUCAAAUUUUAUUCAAUAUAUUAUACCAUUCUAUCAUCUUAAAAAAUAUUAAAUUUGUAUUAUUACAUAAAUAUUUAUAUUUAUUUCAAUUUUUUUUUAAAAUAACAUAUGAAUAUACAUUCAAAAUAAUUGUUUAUGUCAUUCUUUACCACUCUUCUCCUAUCAAAAUUUUCUUAUGAAAAAAAAGAAAAAGAAAAAGAGAGGAGUUUUGGUUCAUUUUCAACACCCUUUUCAUAGAAAAAUAUAAAAAGAUAAUUUUUAAACCACAAUGGAAGUUUUUAGAUUCUUUUAGUUUAGUUUUUUAUAUUAUAAUUUAAUAAUUUAAACUUUUGAAUCAAUUGAUAACUUAACACAUGACAAAUCUUAGUGGAUUUAGAGUAUGAGUUUAUCUUAAUUGCUGAUUCUAGGUUAAUUUGUUGCAGCCAAAUCCCAACUUAGAAUAAUAACUAAAGACAAAUUUCAUAAAAAUAAUGUGGUGAUCGAGUGUUAAACCUUAAGAAAUUUCAACUUAGAAUAAUGAUUAAAGGCUAAUUUCAUAAAAGUAAUGUGAUGAGUGUUAAACGUUAAGGGGGCUUUAGUUGCAUCAGGAAUUACAUUUGAUUGAAAUCAAUGUCCUUUGGGAAUUUUUUCUAACAAUGAUAUUGUAGACCCCCACUUUGGGAGGUAAUUGUUGUGGCAAAUUUUGCCAGGUGGAGCAACUUUAGGAGGCCGCGUGGUGCCUCUUGACAGGCUGCUGAAGGAUCAAGUAGUGGAUUUGAGAGGCAAACCAGGUGGUGACACCUGUAAAGUGAUUCUUCAGGCAGUUAUGAGAUAUUUUUGAGGACUGCCAGCUGCAUGGAGGUUAGAGGAGCAGAGGCUGCCAGCUGCAUGGGGGUAGUGGAGGCUUGCGGCUGCAGGAAAGAGGUGCUUUUCAGAGCUGGUGAGGAUACCAGAGAGAGGGGGGUUUUUGAGAGGGAAAAAGGAGAAGAGAGUGAGGGUAUUCCGGGAUUUGAGGCGGCGACGGAGGGAAGGCUUAGAGGAGAUUAGCUAGAAAAGAAGGGAGCUUGAAGGAGAAAACGAGAGGGGUCUGAAAAGAGUGAGCAGAAAGCAAGUGGUAUUAUCCUCGGUUGAGGACUCAGGUAUGGCCAUGAUGGGCACUUUCACUCUGUAUUUUUUUUGUUGUUUUUCUGUUUUUCCUCGUUUGAUAUCAUCGAUCUGAGGCAUGGCUGGAUGGAUUUUGUUCAUAUAUUUGAUUUGCUUUGUCUUUUCUCUGGUUUCUCUGUUUCUUUCUCAAAUAACUGGGGUAUGGUUUGCUUUCUUUGAGUUUGAUGUUUGCUCAAAUAUCUAAAAGCUUACUUCUCGUUCCACCAACUGACAUUUCGUUCAUCACUCAUGAAACGAAAUAGUGCUUGAUAAUUUCUUGAGUCUCUCAUCUUUACUCUGUUUUAGCUAUUUCAUCCCUUAUACUUUUAUGCUCGCGUAUGCUUAGCUAUGAAAAUGCUUUGGACUGUGUAUCAUCCUUUGAGAAAACUUUGGCUGCUCCUAAUCUGGAGGAUGGUGGUCACUCGAAUUUAUUUGGGCUGCAAAUAAGGGUUUUGGUUGGCAUGGUCAUUGAUUUUCCUAUGAGCCCGUGUCCAGGACUGUGAGAGAUGAGAUUUGGGUCUGUCUACAAACUCCUACAAGGGAAAGAGUGAAGGAAAACGAACUUGAGAAAGAAAUAGAGCGAGCAAAGCUAUCCUCGAACGACGCCGGCGGCAAAGCCGCCGGCGGCGAAACGCCUCCACCAUCACCAGAACGCCAAACAACCAUUGAAGCUCUUUCACUUUCCUUCUCCUCUGAUGACCUCUGCAGCAUAUGCCUUGAUAGAGGAGAACCAUGAUGUAUUCUGGAGCUUCUUGGGUUUUAUGAGGAGAGCUCGGAGUAUAUUCAUGUUGACGGAAGGAAGGUAUUCAUUUGGAUAACAGAUUUAAUGGGACAAGUGAUCUAUGGGACGUAAUGAACUCCUCUACCGGCGUUUAUUUUCCCGUGGGCGCCGGAACUGCAUCUUCGUCAGUUGGAGGCCUCGACAAUUGACCUGAACGAAUACGACUGCGAGAGUGAGGGAUGUCUUGAAGCAUUGGUAGGAGAGGUGGCGGCAAAGGCAGCUCCUCUGCGAAGUUCAUCGAAGAGAAGCAGGGCUGCCGAGGUCCAUAAUUCGUCUGAAAAGAGGAGUGAUGGCGGCGGUGGCCGAGGCUGCUGUAGCGUCGACAUAAGUAGCAGCGAAGAUGGGGAAGCCUUGGACGGGUUCUCUACCAGAAGCCGCAGAGGCAUUUCGGUGCUGAAAAGGACACGUCAGAAUGCAGAUCUUGAUCUCGAUUCCGACGAUGACAUUGGCUGCUGCUUCUGUCAACACAACCACAAAGCUUCUGUCAAUGAAUAAUGGUUUGGUUGAUGGAGUUAUCUCAUGAGUUGGCACAAAAUUGUGACCGUUCAACCCUUGAGCAUAUUCUUGCUAUGUUUCCAAGUGCGUCACUCAUUGGGAAUGACCCAUGUGUGCAUAGGGUGGCUGUUCCAGUUGGCUCUAUGCUUGCUGCACCAGGAACUCCACGCAGACCAGUGAAUGGCCAACUGCAAGCCCAAAACCAAGGUCCCCACCUCCAACAGAGUAGAUCAGAAGAAAUGGUCUUGGCGAAACCAUUGACUUGACUGAAAUAUUGCGAAUGAAGUCACAAGAAUUGGUUCCUAGGAUUUGUGGAGAAGUUCUUGGAUACCGAUGUGGACAUCUCGGCAUCAUCCGAUGAUGGUCAGAUAACAGGGCUCCACUAGGGCAGAACACGAUUAUUCUCUGGGGUCCUGAGAAUUCUAGCGAAGCAGUAAAACACUUUGAGAAAGCUCCUGAUUGUGCCACACAGCCAUACCAAACUUUAUGUGCGGUCAAAGGUAUGUAAGUUUGAAAGAACAAGGGGUUAAGCUAGAGCAGGGGCUUCAGAUGCUCCAAGUCUUUAAGGAACACUCCAUCAAUACAUGUGUCUUGGAAGAUUUUGCAUUUUAUGAGUCUCGCCAGAAAACAAUUCAGAGGAAAAAGGCUAAACAGCAGUAGUUUCAGAAGUAGGUAUGAAAAGAGAAACGACAGAAUGAGCACCCCUUCAGAAUGGCUCCAUCCCUGCUGCAUGGCUUGCAUGGCCAUUUUGGGCAUGCAACUUUAGGUUGCGUGUCUUUCCUCAUUUUUUUUUCAUUAUCAUUAUUUUCUCAUUUCAGAGUUUUAAAAUAAUUCCUUGCAUUCCCAUUUUUUAUAUAAUUCCCCGGAUUCUAGUUUUCUUUCUAAUUUUCCAAAUUCCAUUUUUAUCAAAGGAUUUAUUUUAUUUAUCUUUAAUUUUCAUCUUUAGGUUUUUCUUUUAGAAUCAUUCAAAAUCUCAUUUCCAAUAAAAUUUGCCGCCAAUUUUCUUCGGCAUGCAAUUUUUACAACUUCCAUGAAUUUUUAAAAAUAUUUUAAAAUGCUUUGAAAUAAGUAAGAAUUAAAUUCCGUAAUUCCAAUUAAUGGAACUUAUGAAAUUAAUUCAUGCAAUAUAAAACGGGCUUUGGUGGGGGCCCCACAUAUGUGAAUUGACGAUUGAUUGAUUGUUUGAUUGAUUUACUUAUCGUGCGUGUUUGAUUUAUUUUGUUCCAUGAUAUGCGCUUAAUUAUAUCUUGUUCAUUGCUCACUAACCCUGUUUCAUGAUAGCGCAUUCAAGAUUGCCGCCCAGGUACGCAUCUAUUCGUAUUUUGCUCAUUCUUUAUACAUGAUUUGCUUCUCAUAUUGUGCAUGAUCGAUUUGAGUAUUCAUCGAUUCCCUCAUUGAUUGCCACGUCAGCUUCAGUCUAUUAGUAGAGACCCGACUUUAGGGACUUAGAGGGGUGCUACGGUCUUUACCGUACCUUCCCGAUAAGUAACCUGACCCCCGAACCCUAUCCGGUUUUUCACAGACCGCCUUUUCCAAAAUAAGGAGUCACACUUAGGGUUUUUUUUUCUUAUUUUGUUUACCCUUUAAAAAUAAAACAAAAAUAAGUGGCGACUCCAAGUCAUUUUUUUUCUUAAUCAAUAAAAAUCAAAUUUUUAAAAAAAUAAAAAUCGAGCUCACUAUCGAGUGGGAAACGCAUUCGAGCAUGAGUCGAAAUGCGGGGUCCACAGAUAUGUUAUUUGUCGAUAGAGUCAAUUAUAACUCCUAAAGCACUUGAGUUACCUGAUCUUAUAAAGACUUGAAGUUAUUAUUAAUAAGCUUAAUAUUGAUUUUCUUAAUAUUUGAAUGAAGAUUGAUGAUUCGAUUAUCGGUUUGACCAUAUAUUUAAUUGAAGGAUGUGUUUUCUUGGGUGAUUAGCAUGUUAAACUAACUGUAAAUUAGUUUAAAAGUGGUUAAUAAUAGUGGAAUUUCUCUGUAAUAGCAAUAGCACUUAAGCUGACAGAUUAUUUAGCUAUAAAUUAGUUUAAAUGUGUUUGACAAUAGUGAAUUUUUUUUGUAACAACAGUUGCACUUAAGUUGGCAGAUUAUUCAAUUGCUUGCUUAAUUUUUGUGUGAUUGGAAGUUCAACCAUUCUUCUUUAUCUUACUUGGCUAAUAUGGAAGUCAUUUGUCAUCUCUAGAUUUAAUUAAAAGGGGUUGGAACAGGUGUGAGGAGAGGGUGAGUUCAAGACACUUCGAAUGACAAGUUGUAUGACAUGUGGUAGUAGUUAGAGAUGGGUAAGUUGCUAGCCAGAAGAUUUAAUUUUAAUAGGUUGUAUUAACUGACAAAAAAAAUUCUAAAAACUGAGAGCUACUCUUGAAAGUGAAAAAACCAAAGGAGACAAAAACAAAAAACUGAGAAAUUAAAUGAGUAGAGAAGUUGCUAUUGAAAACUCUAAUUUUUCUUUUUAUGGAUUUGAAAAUUAAAUUGUUUAUUGAUAUUUUGGUUAAUGUUUUGAGGUGUGAAAUUAAUUAACAUGUUGAAUUAUGGAUGUGCGCAGAAAUUCUAAGCAUAUAUAAUGACUAAAUGCAAAGUAUGUUGAUUGAAAUGUUAAGAAUUUAUUGCUCGUUAUUGUGAUAUAAUUUGUUAUGUGUAAUAGGCUUUGUUUUGCUGGAAACUAACUUGGAUAUGUAGUAUGAGAAACAUGAAGAAUGUUGAAGGCAUUAUGAAUUCAAAAUCAUGGCACCAUGAUAGGUUUACAUUAUGGAAAAUAAUGGGAGAAAUGGUCCCUGGAUGAGUGUCCCUAAAAGAAGGAUAAAGUACCAUAAGGUGAAAGACCCAAGACAUACCUUGAGAAGAUCCACGAGGGGAUAGAAUAGCGGGUAUAAAUAUAUGUCCUUGAAUAAGAGUUCUUAAAAUAUAGAUAUUCAUGAUUGAAAACAAAGAAAAUGCUAGUUGCUGAGGUACAUGAAAGUCUCAUGAAAGGUAUAUGAUAAGUUGAAAAUGAUUUGGUGUGAAAAUGUUAUAUAUACACCUUCAGGUUGGUCCAAAAAUCAGUUUAAAGAAAAUAAUGAUGAUAGCUUAGCAGAGAAGUGUAUUUAUAACUAAAAGGUUUAUUCAACAAUCAUUUAAUAUUUGUUUUAACACAAUAGAAUUCAUUUGGAAAUAUGAAAUUUCACUAAUAUAUAUAUAUCUUGAGAAUUAUUUUAUGAAGUUCGAAAAUAUUUUGUAACUAUGGUUAUUGUGGAUUUCUAAUGUAUUUGGAAUGCUCUUUGCUAGUUAGUUGUUGUACAUGAAAGGAAUAGAGAAUCAUGCUCAUAACUCUAUAAAAAUAACUGUUUCCUAAAAGAACUUGAUGAAGGUUUUUUUUUUUGGAUAUGUACAAAUUUGAUCUUGAUUAUAAAUCUAAGUUUUUAGUUGUAAAUAAGUUUUUAAAGUUUAAAAUUAUUCAUUAGAGUUUAGAAAUGAUUUUCAAAUAUUUUGGCAUAAAAAAAUGAAGAAAAUAAGAAAAAUGGGAAACUUCUAAGGUAUGACAGAAGUGCUGAUUACAACAAGUUGAGCUCUGAUAAGUAAAGGAACAACAUGCUAAAGUGAUCAAGAUUUUUCUAUCUGAAGGUGCACAAGAUUUAUUUAAAGGGUGAGGUGUGCAACUUAAGUGGUGGUUCACAAGAUUUGUUUAAAGCAUAAGAUGCACAACUUAAGUAGUAGUGUGCAAAAUGCGUUUAAAAGGUAAGGUGUGCAAGACUUAUGUUAAAGUGAAUACUGUGCAACAAAAAUGGUGCAUCUCUUAGUGCAGUUGGUGUUCGUCUCAACUUACUCAACCAUCUUGACUUUAACACCUCAACAAAGUCGUAUACUCAACAUUAUAUUUACGUUAUGUCAACUUCAUAUAUUAUUUUUUCAUUUAUAUCUCCAUUUACUUUAAGUUUGCAAUGUAAGUAACAAAAUACCCUCAAUUUUGAAUUUAAUAAAAAUACUUUGAAAACCUAAUUCCAAGUAAAUCAAAAUAUGAUUUUUAAAUUUUAGUUAUAAAUUGAUAGUUUUUAUUAAAUUUCUUAGGAAAAAAAAAAAGUUUGCCGAAGUAAAAUUAUCAAAGAUAAAAAUCUAGAAAUAUUAUUUUGAGUAUUACUAACAUGAAAAUAACAAAAUCCGUCACUUUUUAUCUUCAAUUAUGAAAAUUUUAAAAAUGAAUUAUUUCACAUACUAGGUGGAAUUUCUAAUAAAACAUGUAGUAUGUAUUUGAAAACUCCCCAUCCAUUGGACCACAUAUCUAUAUUAAAAAAAAAAAAAAAGAGGAAAAGUUCAUUAGGCAAGUUACAUUAAGUUGACAAUUUAGUUUCAUUCAUCUUGGUUUAAGACUUUUCAUUCUUACCUAUGAUUUGCAUUCUUUUGAGAUUGAGGUUGCUACAAAAUCAACUUGAGAUUAAACAUGUAUGGUUGAGUUAUUUGAGAAUAAUGACAUAAAAGAUAUAUAAUAGACUUAUGAAAAUUAGAAAUACAAUUAAUUUGGAAAAAUUUAAAAAGAAAAAUCUUUCCAAAUAAUAAAAAUAAUUUGGAAAGGAAUUUAAAUUGAGAAUUUAAAAAAGAAAAUCUUUCCAAAUCUUUAAAGGAAUUUGGAAAAGAAUUUUAAAUUAAGAAUGUUAAAGGAAAAUCUUUCCAAAUAUUUUUUUAAUUUAAAAUAUGCAAUAUUUCCAAAUCUUUUUAAAAUUCUGAAGUUUCUAAAUUGUUUUUGCUAAAAUAUGACUUUUAAAUUGAUUCUAAGUCCACUUGAUUUUAUAUAUAUGCCUAUUGUGAGAGUUUUUUGAAAAGUGAAUGAAACUAAACUUUAAGUCAUUAGUUUUUACGUUUAACCCAAAACUCUCGGAUAUGCUUGGCUUUCCAUUUGUUGGGUUGUAAAGGAGAUCUACAUCUCCUUAGGCCCAGAGAUAAGAUCCAUUGGAGCACAUGAGGUGCUGCAUCACAGGCGUGGAUUAUAGUAUAAGUCUUAGAGAGUAAAUCUAAGGGUAGUAUCUGCUAAAUAAUUCUAUGUACUACUUUCUCAUAUAGUAGAUUGUUGAUUCGAGGUCCUGACCCCAUGGUUUUUACAUCUGCAUGUCGUGUGGGUGGUUUCCACGUAAAUACUAUGUGUUUGUGUGGAAUGUCUUUAAGCUUUCCUAAAUUGAAAAAUGGUUGUCACAUAAUUAAAAAAAAUUAAUUUUUUGGACCAAAAAGUUUAAACACUUAUUCAUCCUACUAGGUAUUUCAUAAGCAAGAUUUACAAACUUUCAACUAUUAUUACUUAAAAUAAUUAAUAUGUAAUAAUAAAUAAAUAAGUAUUUAAAAAAAAACUUCUACUUGUUACAUGUACAAUAGAACUAGAAUUUUUUAACAUGAAAAAUAAAAGAUUAGCAUUUUAUAUGACAAACAUUAUAGCAUAUCAUUAAUUCACAUUUCAAAUCAUGGAUUAAUCCUUGAAUAUUAUAAUUAAACCAUAAUUUUAGAAUUUGGGAUGUGACAAACCUCUUAGUUGCUUUUAGUCAUAAUACUUAUGGAAAAAAUAAAGCAAGGUGUUGGUAAAAAAUUAGGUCUCAAAUAAUGGGAUAAGGAAGUUGGCCAAGCCCAAAACAAACAAACAAACAGCGAUAGGAAAAGUGAGAGAUGACACUUAUAGAAUUAGGCUGAGGCAUGAUAAUCAUUGUUCUUAAAGUAGAUCUACCCUCUUUGGGUAUCAAAAUGCAGUGCAAAAGGGAACCGACAACCUACCUCCAAGAUUCAACAACCAAAAAACUUUGCUUUUGGUGCACACUUUGAGCAAGUAGUAAUGUAGCUCAAACUGAUAUUCCUUUAGACGAAAUGAUGAAGAGAACGUUUGUUUGUUUGUUUUUUUUUAAUAAAACUAGUAGUGUUCGGGUAGGGUGCCUUCAUUAAGAAAAUUGCAUCGAGAAACUGAGGUUGCAAUUCCAGAAUGAGAGAGAGAGGAGUAGUGUCUAAAUAAGAUGACAAUUGGGAGAGAGAUGUACUAGUAAAUAGGUGUGAAACACUGAGGAGGAGAAGCCUAUUUAUAGGUAGUCUCUCCAGGAGAACAAUCAAAUUAAAGGCUAAAUGACUCUAGAACUAAAACCCAAAUAAAACCCCAUUUAAACCAGAUAAUAAACUCAUAAUGGAAGGGAAUUGAAGAUCAUUUGACCAAAUUUGAAAACAAAAAUUAAAAAUCCAAUAGAAGAAUUCAAAAUUUCAAACUCAAAAUAAAAUUAAAAAUUAAAAAUAGAAAAUUUUAGUUUUCAAAAUGUAAAAAGUCAUUAGACUCAUGCGUGUACGUGGGAAAGGGGUGGGGGGGCAUGCAGGAUGUGUGUACGGACAUGUCAUGCAUUAAGGAUUUUUCGACCCAAGCCACCCGAAUUCCCUUUCGAAUUGGCUUGGACACCCUAGGCACGCGAGACCCCCUUUUGCCUCUCCACAAGCUCAUGAGGUUAAGAAAGGUAAGUUGCUAGCAAGAAUAUAUAAUUUUAAUAGGUUGUAUCAACUGAUAAAAAAAAUUCUAAAAACUGAGAACUAUUCUUGAAAGUGAAAAAACCAAAGGAGAUGAAAUGAAAAACUGAGAAAUAAAAUAGGUACAAAAGUUGCUAUUGAAAACUCUAAUUUUUCUUUUUAUGGAUUUGAAAAUUAAAUUGUUUAUUGAUAUUUUGGUUGAUAUUUUAAGGUGUGAAAUUAAUUAACAUGUUGAAUUAUGGAUGUGUGAGGAAAUUCUAAGCAUAUAUAAUGACUGAAUGCAAAGUAUGUUGAUUGAAAUGCUAAGAAUUUAUAGCUCAUGAUUGUGAUAUACUUUGUUAUGUGUAAUAGGCUUUGUUUUGCUGGAAACUAACUUGGAUAUGCAGUAUGAGCAACAUGAAGAAUGUUGAAGGCAUUAUGAAUUUAAAAUCAUGGCACCAUGAUAGGUUUACCUUAUGGAAAAUAAUGAGAGAAAUGGUCCCUGGAUGAGUGUCCUUAAAAGAAGAAGGAUAAAAUACUAUAAUGUGAAAGACCCAAGACAUACCUUAAGAAUAUCCAUGGGGGGAUAGAAUAGCGGGUAUAAAUGUAUGUCCUUGAAUAACAGUCCCUAAAAUAUAGAUAUUCAUGGUUGAAAACAAAAUGCUAAUUGUUGAGGUACAUGAAGGUAUAUAAUAAGUUGAAAAUGACUUAGUGUGGAAAUGCUAUAUAUACACCUUUAGAGAAAAAAAUGAGUGACAGCUCAGUAGAGAAAAGUUUAUUUAUAACUAAAAGGUUUAUAAAAUAAUUAUUUAAUACUUGUUUAUAGUAACACAAUAGAAUUCAUUUGGAAAAAUGAAAUUUCACCAAUAUACACACCCACACCCCACACACACACAAUAUUUUGUAACUAUUGUUACUAUCGAUUUCUAAUGUAUUUGGAGUGCUUUAUGCUAGUUAGUUGUACAUGAAAGGAACAAAGAAUUAUACUCAUAACUCUAUAAAAAUAACUAUUGCUUAAAGGAACCCAAUUAAUGUUCAUCUUUUUUGGAUAUGUAUAUAUUUAUCUUGAUUAUAAAUAUAAGUUUUUAGUUGUAAAUAAGUUUUUAAAGUUUAAAAUUAUUCAAUAAGGGUUUAGAAAUGAUUUUUAGAUAUUUUCAAUGCACAAAAAAUGGAGAAAAUAUGAAAAAUGGGAAACAUCUAAGGUAUAAUAGAGGCGCUAAUUGCAACAAGUUGAGGUGUGACAAAUAAAGGAACAACAGGUUGAAGUGCACAAGAUUUUUCUAUCUUAAGGUGUGCAAGAUUUAUUUAAAGGAUAAGUUGUGCAACUUAAGUGAUGGUGCAUAGGAUUUGUUUAAAGGGUGAGAUGCACAAAUUAACUAGUGGUGUCCAGAAUAUGUUUAAAAGGUAAGGUGUGCUAAACUUGUUUUAAAGUGCACAACAUGCAACAAAAAUGGUGCACCUCUUAGUGUAGUUGGCGUACCUCUCAACUCAACCACACUGACUCUAGCACCUCAACAUAGUUAUAUCCUCAACAUUACAUUUACGUUAUGCCAACUUUAUUUUUUAUUUUGUCAUUUAUAUCUGCAUUUACUUUAAGUUUACAAUGUAAAUAACAAAAUACCUUCCAUUUUGAAUUUAAUAAAAAUACUUUGAAAACCUAAUUCCAAGUAAAUCAAAACCUAAUUUUUCAAUUUUUGUUAUAAAUUGACAGCUUUUACUGAUUUUUCUUAGAAAAAAAAAGUUCACCUAAGUAAAAUUAUCAAAGAUAAAAAUAUAGAAAAGUUAUUUUGAGUAUUACCAACACGAAAAUAACAAUAUCUGCCAUUUUUUUUGUAUUAAGUUAUGAAAUUUUGAAAAAUUAACUAUUUCACAUACUUAGUGAAAUUUCUAAUAAAACAUGUAGUAUGUAUUUGAAAACUCUCCAUCCAUAGGCCCAUAUUAUCUAUAUUUAAAAAAAUUUAAAUAGGAAAAGUGCAUUAGGCUAUUUAGAUUAAGUUGACAAUUUUGUUUCAUCCAUCCUAGUUUGAGACUUCGUGUACUUUCCCAUGAUUUUUAUUCCUUUGAAGAUUCUAGGUUGCCAAAAAAAUCAACUUGAGACUAAACAUGUAAGUGUGGUUGUGUCAUUUGAGAAUAAUGACAUAGAAGACAUAGAAUGGACUUAUGAAAAUUAGAAAUAAAAUUAAUUUGGAAAGAAUUUAAAUUGAGAAUUUAAAAAGAAAAGUCUUUCUAAAUAAUAAAAAUAAUUUAAAAAGGAAUUUUAAAUUAAGGAUUUAAAAUUGAGAAUUAAAAAAAAAUUCAAAUAAUAAAAAUAAUUUGGAAAUAAAUUUUAAAUUGAGAAUUUUAAAAAGAGAAUCUUUCCAAAUCUUUUAAGGAAUUUGGAAAAGAAUUUUAAAAGGAAAAUCUUUCCAAUUAUUUUUUAAUUUAAAAUAUGAAAUCUUUCCAAACCUUUUUAAAAUUUUUAAGUUUCUAAAUUAUUUUUGUUAAAAUAUGACUUUUAAAUUUAUUCUAAGUCCACUAGAUUUUAUAUAUGCCUAUUGUGAGAGUUUUUUGAAAAGUGAAUGAACCUAAACUUUUAAUUCAUUAGUCCUUGCGCUUAACCCAAAACUCUCAAAUAAGCUUGGCUUUCCAUUUGUUGGGUUAUAAAGGAGAUCUAUAUCCCCUCAUGCGUUGAGGAGAGAUCCAUUGGAGGACACGAGGUGCUGCAUCAUAGACAUGGAUUGUAGUAUAGGUUUUGCAGAGUAAAUCUAAGGGUAGUAUAUAAUUCUAUGUACUACUUUCUCAUAUAGUAGAUUGUUGAUUCGAGGUCUUGACCUCGUGGUUUUUACAUCUGCAUGUUGUGUGAGUGGUUUUCCAUGUAAAAAUCCUAUGUGUCUUAUGUUGAAUGCCUUUAAGAUUUCCUAAAUUGAAAAGUGAUUAUCACAAAAUUAAAAAAUAAUUAAUUUUUUGGACCAAAAAGUUUAAACACUUAUUCAUCCCUGCUAGGUAUUUCAUAAGCAAGAGCUACAAACUUUCAACUAUUGCUACUUAAAAUAAUUAAAUGUAAGGAUAAACAAAUAAGUAUUUGAAAAAAAAACUUCUACUUGUUACAUGUACAAUAGAACUAGAAUUUUUUAACAUGAAAACCAAAAGAUUAGCAUUUUAUAUUACAAACAUUAUAGCAUAUUCAUUAAUUCACAUUUCAAAUCAUGGAAUUAUGGGUUAAUCCUUUAAUAUUAUAAUGAAACCAUAAUUUUAGAAUUUGGGGUGUGACAUACCUCUUUGUUGCUUUUGGUCAUAAUACUUAUAGAAAAAAUAGAGCAAGGUGUUGGUUAAAAAUUAGGUCUCAAAGAAUAGGAUAAGGAAGUUGACUAAGCACAAAAUAAACAAACAAAUAUGAGAAAAGUGAGAGAGGACACCUAUCGAAUUAGGUUGAGGCGUGAUAAUCAUUGUCUUUAAAGUAGAUUCACCUUCCUCAGGUAUCAAAACGCGAUGCAAAAGGGAGUCGACAACCUACCUCCAGGAUUCAACAGACCUUGCUUUCAGUGCACAUCUUCAACAAGUAGUAGUACAACUCAAAUUGAUAUUCCUUCAGACGAAAUGAUGAAAAGAAUGUUUGUUUGUUUUUUAAAAUAAAACCAGUUGUGUUUAGGUAGGGUGCCUUCUUUAAGAAAAGUACACUGAGAAACUGAGGUUAUAGUGGUAGAAUGAGAGAGAGAGAGAUUCAGGAGUAGUGGUUGAAUAAGAGAGCAAUCAGGAAAGAGAUGUAUUCGCAAAUAGGUGUAUAAUGUUAAGGAGAAGAAGCCCAUUUAUAGGCAGUCUCUCUAGGAGAACAGUUAAGGGCCUUAAAGGCUAAAAGGCUAUAAGCCUUAAAAAGCAAAAUGACUAUAAGCCAUAAAAGUCAAAUGACUCCAAAAUUAAAACCCAAAUAAAAACCAUUUAAACUAGAUAAUAAACUUAGAAUGGAAAGGAAUAAAAUCUCAUUUGACCUGAUUUGAAAACCAAAAUUAAAAACCCAAUGGAAGAAUGCAAAAUUAAUUUUUCGAUUACCAAUUCCAAACUCAAAAUUGAAUUCAAAAUUUAAAAUAAAAAUUCUAGUUCUCAAAAUGUAAAAAGUCGUUGGACUCGCGUGCAUAUGCAAGGGGUCUCCUACAAGAUGUGUGUGUGUGGACAUAUUGGGCUUUAAGGGGUUUUCGGCCUAAGCCAUCCAAAUUCCCUUUUAAAUGGGCUUGGACCCCCUAGGCAGGCAAAAUCCUUUCUUGUCUCUCUACAAGCUCAUGAGACUAAGGAAGGUGGGCUAGUAUAAAUAACUACUAAAAGUGCUCAUCACUUUCCAAUGUGGGACUUUUUUUUUCACUUUAAAACACUUACACACACAAACACUCUACCAACAAUCCCCCACAAAGUGUAUGUGUGAAGAAGAAGAUGAUUGGAGGAAAACUAGAAUCCAAUGCAUCAAAACUAGUACCAACAGGCUAUGAACCAGCCUUAGGAUAAAUAAGUAUUAAAUUAUAGAAACUUGGUGAAAAUAAAUUUUUAUGAACCUGUAUUUCUUUAUGUAAUUCAAGGAGCCUACAAUCCACAUUGGUUUUUCAACUACGAGUUGUACAAAACAAGUCGAUGAAAAUAGGUCAUACGCCUUACUUAGAUAUUCAUAAGAGCUCUAGAGAACCUAUCUAAGUUCUCAAAGGAAGCAACCCCGCCUUCAUUGUCAGAUAGGUGAAUCCAUCAAGUGUUUUCUACAACUAAACACACUAUCCAUAAGGAAUAUGGUAUUCAUUAACUGUAAAUAUACUUAUCAUUAGACAUUGAUCUAUCUAGCUACAUUAUAGGGAUGGACUUUCAGAUAAAACUAAUAGAACAUCUCAGUCACAAAUGAUUUGUUAUUACCCAUAUGAACCUACUUCAUAGGGUCUCCAAUCUAAUCGGUUGGGUUUCCAUAACUCUUGACUUUUGUAUUAAGCAUAAGCCCUAAUCUCCUCGAAGUUUCCUCCAUGUUUCAAGCAACUACAACACAAUAUUGUGCCUUAGGCCUAUAUGCAUGUUCUUCCCAUUAAAUAUCUUACUCUUAGUCUUAGAUAUUGUAGCUUAGCUAUCACAACGCAUUGACAUAGAGGAUGUUGGUCUCAUCUAUAAAGAGAUAUUUGCAAAGAGGUUUAUGAGCCACUCAAUCUCAUAACUUGCCUUUUCUAAGGUAAUAAACUCAACCUUUAUGGUAGACCGAGUGAUGCAUGUUUGCUUGGCAAACUUCCAAGAAACUGUACCUCCUUCAAGGGUAAAGACAUACCCAUUAGUGGAUUUCAUCUCACUUGAAUCAAAGAUCUAAUUUGCAUCAUUAAAUCCUUCAAGGACACUUGGAAAUCCACUAUAGCACAUGUUAUAGUUAAUGGUUCCUCUUAAAUACUUAAGUUCUCUACGAACAAUAGUCUACUGGUCCUAAUUAGGACAUUGGGUGUACCGACUCAAUCUACUAACUGCAUAAGUGAUGUCAGAUUUGGUACAAUUCGUUAAGUAUAUUAGGUUCUCUAUGAUCUAAGCAUACUUAGUUUGGGCAAUACUAUGUUCUUUGUUCUUCUUUAGUUGUGAGCCGGAAUCAUAAGGGGUUAACAUUGGUUUAUAGUCAAAGUGUUCAAACAUCCUUAAGAUAUUAUCAACAUAAUGUUCUUAAGAUAGUUUAAGCCCAUUAGGUGUUCUAGUUAUGUUGAUUCCUAGAACCACCUUUGCCUUUCCUAGCUAGGUCUUUCAUGUCAAACUUGAACCUUAGGAAUUUCUUAGUCUCACAAACGACCUUUAGGCUAGUUCCAAAGAUCAACAUGUCAUCAACAUAUAGAUGAUGACACAUAUGUUAUCCUCAAAUUUGUUGUAAAUACAUUUAUCAGCAUCAUUAAUGGAAAAUCCAUUAGUUAAUAACAUAUGAUCAAACUUGUUGUGCCACUGUUUGAGUGCUUGUUUUAACCCAUGCUGUGAUUUCACUAGCCUACACACUUUUUCCUCCUUCCUUAGAACCAUGCAACCCUUGAGUUGGUCCCUAUAAAUUUCCUCUUCCAAUUCCCCAUUUAAGAACAUAGUCUUGACAUCCAUUCUAUGUAUCACUAGGUUAUGAAUGGAGACUAGAGCAAUUGACGCUCUAAUUAAGAAAAUUCUAGUCACGUGGACAAAAGUGUCAAAGUAAUCAAUAUAUCUCCUUUGUUUAAAGCCUUUGGCUACUAAACAUGGCUUAUACUUCUCUAUGGACCCAUCUUGUUUUAACUUUCUUUUAAAGAUUCACUUACAACCGAUAGUCUUUACACUAGGAGGUAAAUAUACUAGUUAUCAUGUACGGUUAUACAUAAUUGAUUCGAUCUCACUAUUAAUGGCCUUUUCCAGAAUGGUUCAUCAGUAGAAGUUAUAGCUUCUUUGUAGGAUCUAGGCUCCUCAUCUAUUAAGAAGGUGUAGAAACCAUCUCCAAAGUUUGUUUAUUUCCUUAUCUAUUUUACUCAUUCUAGGUUCAAUUUAGAAAACUUAUUAAACUCUACUCUAAGUGUUCUCUAGAUUUGUUCCCUACCACUAGGUUUCAUAGGAAAGAUGUUUUCAAAGAAAUCAACAUUCUUUGUUUCCAUUAUUGUGUUCACUUCUGCUAGGUUGUUUUCUGAUUUGAUAACCAGAAAUUUAUAUGUUGCACUAUUCUCAGCAUACCUUAUAAACAUUGUAUCAAAAGUUUUAGGACCUAGUUUUAGUUUAUUGGGUUUAAGAAAAAGAACUUUAGCCAAGCACCCCUAUACUUUCAAGUAUACAAUGUUAGGUGCAUAACCCUUCCAUAACUCAUAAGGUGUUUUACUGGUUUUCUUAUAAGGUAUCAUAUUUUGAAUAUGACACACAAAAAGGAUAGCUUCCCCUCAUAAAUUCAAGGGUGUUCCUGAGCUAACUAACAUUAAGUUCAUAAUUUCUUUUAGGGUUUUGUUUUUUUCUUUCUACUACUUCAUUUGACUUAGGGGAAUAAGCUAGAGUAAUUUCAUUAAUGAUCUUAUGAUCUUCAUAAAAAAAGUUAACGAGGUUGGACUCAUACUGUCUUCCCCUGUCACUUCUAAGCCUUUUAAUUUUCUUACUUUAUUUUCUACUUCAUUUUUGUACUUGAUGAAAGCAUUUCUUGCUUUAUCUUUGUUUCUCAAAAGAUAUACCUUUGUAUACCUUGAGUAGUCAUCUAUGAAAGUUAUGUAAAAAUGUUUACCACCUCUAGUCAUUGUACUUUUCAAAUCUCCUAAGUCAUUGUGACUUAAAUUUAAAAGUUCAAAUUCUCUUUUUAUAGAUUUGCAAAACUUCUUUGUGGUUUUAGAUUCUACACAUGCUUCACAUUUUCCAGGGUUUUUUAAGGACAAUUUAGAAAUUAAACCAUUUUCUUUAUAUACAAAAUGUUCACAUAUCCUAAUCUACCAUGCCAAAUAUCACAAGAAUCAACUAUGUAAACAGAAGAAGAAGAUGCAUUGUCAUUGAUAAUAUUGGAAACAUUCAACAUAAAUAAAUUAUGGUUAUAAUAGCCUUUCCCCACAAAAACAUCAUUCUUUAUUCAGACGAGUUUAUCAUAGUCAAACAUGAUCCUCACUCCUGUCUUCCCAUGCAAAAAUACUAAUCCUAAGUUCCAAUGAAUAUCUGGCACAUGAAGGACAUCACUAGAGGUGAGCACUUUGCCCAAGGUUAGCUUAAGGAGAAUCUUCCCUUUCCCAAUCAUCGAGGACAUUCAAGAAUCGCCUAUGAACACUUGUUGCUCUCCUUCUUUUACAAUGGUAUAAGAAGUUAAUGUACUUUUAUUUCCACAUAUGUGCUUGGUAGCCCUAGAGUCUACCACCUAGUCCUUCACACUGGUGACCAUGCUCACCUCAGAGGAGAUUGCAACAAUGAUUACCUCUAUCUUUAUCAGAUUUGCUUUAGGGUUGAAUUUAUCAGUUUUCUUCCUAUGGCGACAUUAAGCUACAUGAUGGCCAGGUUUGCCAUAGACAAAGCAGUUACCUUUUUUUUUUUUAUUGUUGGGUUAUGGACCUUGUUUUUUAAAUUAGGCUUGGUCUUUCAAUUUUGCUUUCUGGACCUAUUGUUUUUGGGUUUAGGUUUAUCUUCUACCACAUUAGCCUUGGAAGAUAGUUCUUUGGCUUUUUCAGCUUUAUCCCUGUUUUUGUUAUGUUUCUCAAUCCUAAUAUGGAUUAUGACAUUUUCAAAGGACAUUUUUUUUUUGUGCUUCAUAUUACUUUUAUAGUUUUUAAAAAAAUCUAGAAGAGUCUCAAUCAAGUAUCUAGCCACAGAAAGGUUUAGGCAAUUUAAGGUCUUUAUUAGCAAGGUCAUUUAUAAGUAAGUGGUAGCCAUGGAUUUGAGAUGAAACAUCUUUAUCCUUCGUCAUUUGGAAUUUUUCUAAAAUUCCUUACAACAUAUUUUGGGUGUGAACUAGGGAGGUCUCCAUUCUUUUUAAAAAACAGUUUACUUUAAGAUUGUUGGUAAAAAUUAGGUCUCAAAAAUGGGAUAAGGAAGUUGACCAAGCCUAAAACAAACAAAUAGAGAUAGGAAAAGUGAGAGAGGACACUUAUUCGAUUAGGCUGAGGCAUGAUAACCACUGUCCUUAGAGUAGAUCUGCCCUUCUUGGGUAUCAAAACAUAGUGCAAAAGGGAACCGACAACAUACCUCUAGGAUUCAACAACCAAAAAACCUUACUUUCAGUGCACACCUUUAGUAAGGAGUAGUACAACUUGAAUGGAUAUUCCUCCAGAUGAAAGGAUGAAGAAAAUGUUUGUUUUAUUUUUUAUUUUUUAUUUUAAUAAAACCAAUAGUGUUUGGGUAAGGUGCCUUUGUUAAGAAAACUACACCGAGAAACUGAGGCUACAAUGGAAAACUGAAAGAGAUAGGAGCAGUGGUUUAAUGAGAGAGCAAUCAGGAGAGAGAUGUAGUGGCAAAUAGGUGCAUAACACUAAGGACACUGCAUGCAGUCUCUCCAAGAGAACAGUUAAGGGCCUUAAAGGCUAAACGACUAUAAGCCUUAAAGAGAAAAACGACUAUAAGCCUUAAAGGCUAAACGACUCCAAAACUAAAACCCAAAUAAAAACCCAUUUAAACUAGAUAAUAAACUAUGAAUGGAAGGGAAUUAAGGGUCAUUUGACUUUAUUUGAAAACCAAAAUUGAGGGAAUUAAACCUGCGCAUGAUGCAUGUGCUGGCACAUCGUGCAUUUAGGGUUUUUUACUUGAGCCACUUUUGAAUGGGCUUGGACCCCCUAGGCACGCAAGGCCCCCUUUUGCCUUUCCACAAGCUAUGAGGCUAAGGGAUGUGGGUCAGUAUAAAUAUCCACUAAACGUGCUCAUCACUUUCCAAUGUGGGACUUCUUUUUUCACUUUAAAACACUCACACACAAACACUCUACCAACACGAAGGUAGUUUGUAAAAGUAUGAAUGAUGAUGCAAGAAUUAUUACGUUAUAUAGUAGUUGUGAAAUAUAAAUAGAAUGUUAUCCAAUGUGAAGGGUAGUUGUUGCUUUUUGGCAUCGAGCAAAAAAGCAAAUUCUAAAUGGAUGAAGAAACUUAAUAAAGAGGCAUCAUUUCUAUAUAAAAUCAAUAAUACAUGCUAACAAGGGAAUUAGAAUUAACUACUUCAAGAUAACAACACAUUAAUUUCUCACUCAUCAAAAUAAGAAACAAAACAAAAACUUUGAAGGUCAAAUCAAUAAUUAUAAUUAAGAUUCUUCAUGGGAAUCUCACUCCACAUAAAACUUAAUCUAAGACUGGUGUUGUUUUCUUAUUUUCAAAGAACUAACUAUCUUCUUCCUUUAAUAUAAGAUGUACUAGUGCUUGUGCCUCCAUGUUAUUUCUUCCUUGUUACGUACUUGGGACUAAAAACUCACUCCCUCGCUACAAUAAAUAUGAGAUUUUGCCACAAAUUAUUUUGUGAUUAAAAGAGAGUAUUUUGUGGUAGAAGAUUUUUUUCCACAAAAAAUUAUUUGUUGUGAGUUUGUUGCUAUAAGUCCGAGAGCAAUUAUUUUUAACCAUAAAAAUUAAUGGUAUAGCAAAAAUAAAUAAUUUUUUCACAAAAUAAAAUUUGUGACAACAUGUUAUUUUAACCACAAAAUAAAAUGUGGCAACAUAUCAAUUUUGUUUUUGCUAUAAAACAAGUUAUACCAAUAUGUCAUUUUUUUACAUGAAAAUAAUCAUGGUAAAAGAUCACUUUUUGUCAUAAAAUAAAAAAUUCCGGUGAAAGAUCACCUUUUCACCAUGAAAGAAAAUUUAUGGUGAAAUAUGUUUUAUAAGCUUUCAAAUGCAUAAUGAGAUUAAAUAUAAAAAAAAUUGUAAAAAAAAAAAAUACAACUUCAAAUCCAAUACAACUUUAUAAGCUUCCGAUGGCCAUUUCUGAAAUUUAAAUCUUUCCAAAGUUAGAAUUCCUAGAUCUUCAUCCACAAGCAUGGCCUAAACAAGAACAUCAGAGGGGUAGUCUUGUGGGUGCCUCCUGAUGGUUUCUCUAAUCUGCCGUUCUUGCUUGAAGAGGAUUGAUAGUGGAACAUCAUAAACAUCAGUGAGCAAGUCUGCAAGUUAUUUGAUCUUUGGAGAACUUCAAAAAUGACCACUACCUAUCAUGUGUCUCCAAGUCAUGAUCAGAAGCGUUUUUGCUGGGUUUUUCACUUGGAGGAUCAGAGACUCAGCCCAGUCCAAGACAAGCAGCUGCAAAGGAAACAAAGCUACUACUGUAAAUUUCCAAGAACUCCUGAUAAAGCACACAGAUUUAUUUGUGAAAUGAUCCUGAGAAUUCUUUGACUGGUAAGGCAGAGAUAUUAAUUCACAACCUACUAGUUCAUGUCGUAGAAACAUAAGAGGAAGAAAAAGGUUAAGAAACUUGAAUUUAAUGAAUGUUAUUUAUCAAAUUUGUUUCACCCUUCUGCAAAUAUUGUCCUGCUGGUGGAAUUGGCUAGCAAGGCCACCAGAUGAGGUAUGAAAUAAAAUACAGAUUGCAGAGGACGUUGGGAUACAACAAAUUUCAGUAGAUUUUAAGCUCUCAGCUUGACAUGGUUAUGAGCAGGGUGGGGGAUUAGUGGAGAUGAGGCUUGUUGAAAACCACCCAAGCUACCAACUUCUGAAAGUACAUAUUAGGAAAAAUCUUCCUUUUUCCAUAAAAACUUAUUCGUGUCUAAAUUUUCAGACAUGAGCUGAAUCAACCAAUCAAGAAAAAAGGGGAUGAUUGAAAGAGAAAAAAAUGUAGUACCUUUUCAGACUUGGGGAUUAGCUUCAUCUCUUUUUAGACUUGGGGAUUAGCUCACCGAGAGUAGCAAGUAGUGAGUUGAUUCUGUCCCUACGCCACUUCUCUGCCUGGCUGUGGUUAAAUAUAAACAACACAACUAAAUUUUACUUUAGAUUUGUGCCCAUAUGUGCAGAGUUUUCAUCAAAUAUGCCUUCAUCCCAAUGACCAAACACCUGUAUCUUUGACUAGUGCCUGAAAAGAGAAAUAAAAAACGAUGAAAAUGUUAAUUAGGAUGAUUGAGGUUAACCACUAAUUGUUUCUUCAAAGUUUGGUCAUGCUUACUGGUGUUUUCAUGGAAGGGAAGAUAUUCCUAAACUGCAAUGUCUCAUCCCCUGCUCCAAUCACCAUUGCCUGCAAAAGAAAUUUUCACUUUUUCCAAGUUUUUCUUAUAGAGAGCAUUAUGUGCAUAUGCAAUUGUAAGUUAUGCCUGGGAACUCACUUAUAGAAUUCACUUAUGCAUCUGUAAAUAGGUAUAUAUGGUUAUAAACUAUAGUAGAAUGCUCCAACUAUGGAGGAGAUAGCACUGUACCUGACCAUCCGAUGACAUGGCAAGAUAGAGUACUCGCAAACUAUGACCAGUUAGAUUUGCAACCCCACAAAAGUUGAAAACACACCUGGCUUCCUAUGUCAAAAUGGUUUAAUUCCCAUUUGUAGUGCUCCAGAAGCGGAUAUACAGAUUGGCAGUCCCACCUCCAAAUGCGAGGAGGCCGCUCUGGUGAGGUGACCAAGCUAUGGCCUUCACAGCAGCUGUGUGCUCUGUCAACUUCUAUACUGGUUGCUAAGAAUGCUGGUUCCACAACAAUACACUCUCAUUUAGUACUUCACUAAAGUUGGAUUGCAAAAAUGAAGUGGGAAAAGUACUGGUGGGAUGGAUACCUGAUUAUCAUUACCACUUGAUACAAGUUCUCUAUCAUUAUGGGACCAUUUCAGCCCACACACCAGAGGAUUUAAAAUCAAGGAUUAAGAUUGGUUGUCAUCUAGUCAUCAAAAGAAGAUGCAUCCAAGGUUCUCUUGAGUUCUAACGAACUUACUUCAGAUUAGUCCUUCAUACUAGUGACCAUGCUCAUCUCAUAUGAGACUACAACAAUGAUUACCUCUGUCUCUGCUAGAUUCGCUUUAGGGUUGGAUUUAUCAGUUUUCUUCCAACAUUGGGUUACAUGACGGCCAAGUUUGCCAUAGACAAAAUAGUUACCCCUCUUUUUUAUUGUCGGGUUAUGGACCUUGUUUGUUGAAUUGGGCUUGGUCCUUGAGUUUUGCUUUCUGCACUUAUUGUUUUUGGGUUUAGGUUUAUCUUUUACCACAUUAGCCUUGGAAGACAGUUCUUUGGCUUUUUCAACUUUGUCCCUAUUUCUGUUAUGUUCCUCAAUCCUAAUAUAGAUUAUGACAUCUUCAAGGGACAUUUGUUUUCUUUUGUGUUUGAUAUUAUUUUUAUAGUCUUUCUAGGAAUUUGGAAAAGUCUUAAUCAAGUAUCUAGCCACAAAAGGUUCAAGCAAUUUAAGGUCUUCAUUAGCAAGGUCAUUUAUAAGCAAGUGGUAGUCAUGGAUUUGAGAUGAAACAUCUUUAUCCUUGGUCAUUUGGAAUUUUUCUAAAAUUCCUUAUAACAUAUUUUUAGGUUCCAAAAUGUGAUUAUUUUUCAUGGCAUCCCAAAUAUCUUUAGCUACUUUAUAACAAUAGUAGACAUCAAAAAGUUGAUUAAAGAGUGCAUUAUGAAUGGACACAUCUAACUUGCUUAUUUCCAAUUUCCUAGGUAGGCAAAUUUUUAGACCUAUCUUUGGGUUUUGGGUUAGUCAAAAUAUGUCUCAAAUUCACUACGUCAAUAGCAUAAAAGACCCUUUCCUACCAUCUCUUAAAGAAUGUUCCAUUAAAUGGAUCAAUCUUAGAGGUAUCAGGAUGGGUGUGAACUAGGAAGGUCUUCAUUCUUUUUAAAAAAUCGUAUACUUUAAGAUUGUUGGUAAAAAAAUUAGGUCUCAAAGAAAGGGAUAAGAAAGUUGACUAAGCCCAAAACAAACAAAUAGAAAUAGGAAAAGUGAGAAAGGACACUUAUUAGAUUAAGUUGAGGUGUGAUAAUCAUUGUCCUUAAAGUAGAUUUGCCCUCUUUGGGUAUCAAAACGAGGUGCAAAGGGAUCCAACAACCUCCCUCCAAGAUUCAACAACCAAAAAACCUUGCUUUCAGUGCACACCUUUAGCAAGGAGUAAUACAACUCGAACUGAUAUUCCUCUAAACGAAAGGCUGAAAAGAAUGUUUGUUUUAUUUUUUAUUUAUUUUUAAUAAAACCAGUAGUGUUCGGAUAGCGUGUCUUUAUUAAGAAAACUGCAUCGAGAAAUUGAGGCUACAAUGGUAGAAUGAGAGAGAGAGAGAGAGAGAGAAGCAGUGGUUGAAUGCGAGAGCAGUCAAGAGAGAGAUGUAGUGGCAUAUAGGUGUGUAACACUGAAGAGGACACUCUAGGCAGUCUCUCUAAGUGAAUAGUCAAGGGCCUUAAAGGCCAAACAGUUAUAAGCUUUAAAGAGUAAAACGAUUAUAAGCCAUAAAGGCCAAACGACUCCAGAAUUAAAACCCAAAUAAAAACCUAUUUACACCAGAUAAUAAACUCAUAAUGGAAGAGAAUUAAAGGUCAUUUGACUUGAUUUGAAAACCAAAAUUGAGGGAAUUAAACCCUUGUAUGAUGCGUGUGCAGACACAUCGUGCAUCCCGUAAGCACAUGAGGCCCUCUUUGGCCUCUCCACGAGCUCAUGAAGCUAAAAGAGGUGGGUUAAUAUAAAUACCCACUAAAAGUGCUCAUCACUUUCCAAUGCGGGAUUUCUUUUUUCACUUUAAAACACUCACACGUACAAGCACUCUACUAACACAAGGUAGUGUGUAAAAGUAUGAAUGAGGAUGAAAGAAUUAUUACAUUACAUAGUAGUUGUGAAAUAUAAAUAGAAUGUUAUCCAAUGUGAAGGGUAAUUGUUGCUUUUUGGCAUCUAGCCAAAAAGCAAAUUCUAGAUGGAUGAAAAAACUUAAUAAAGAGGCAUCAUUUCUAUAUAAAAUCAAUAAUACAAGCUAACAAGAGAAUUCAAAUUAACUACUUCAAGAUAACAACACAUUAAUUUCUCAAACAUCAAAAUAAGAAACAAAACAAAUACUCUGAAGGUCAAAUCAAUAAUUACAAUUAAUAUUAUUCAUGGGAAUCUCACUCCACAAAAAAACUUAAUCCAAGAUUGGUGCUAUUUUCUUAUUUUCAAAGAAACAACUAUCUUCUUCCUUUAAUAUAAGAUCCACAAGUGGCUCCGUGUUAUUUCUUCCUUGUCACAUUCUUGGGACUAAAAAGCUCACUCUCUCACUACAACAAAUAUGAGACUUUGCCACAAAUUAAUUUGUGAUUAAAGGAAUGUAGUUUGUGGUAGAAGAAAUUUUUUCACAAAAAAAUUAUUUGUAGUGAUUUUGUUGCUAUAAGCCCAUGGGCAAUUAUUUUUAAUCAUAAAAUUUAAUUUUAUAGCAAAAAUAAAUAAUUUUUCAACAAAAUAACAUUUGUGGCAACUUGUUAUUUUGAAUCAUAAAAUAAAAUUUGUAGCAACAUAUCAUUUUUUUUUUUUUGCCAUAAAAUAAGUUUAUACCAAUAUGUUGGUUUUUUUAAAAUGAAAAUAAUCAUGAUAAAGGGUCACUUUUUUGUCAUAAAAAAAAUAAAAUAAAAUAAUAUUAUGGUGAAAGAUCACCUUUUCACCAUGAAAUAAAAUUUCUGAUAAAAUAUGUUUUAUAAGCUUUCAAAUGCAUAAUAAGGUUAAAUAGCAAAAAAAAAAUUGUAAAAAAAGCAAUACAACUUUAAAUCCAAUACAACUUUAUAAGCUUCCCAUGAACAUUUCUGAAAUUUAAAUCUUUCCAAAGUUAGAAUUCCUAGAUUUUCAUCCACAAGCCUGGCCUAAAUAGGAACAUCAGAGGGGUAGUCUUGUGGGUAUCUCCUGAUGGUUUCUCUAUGCUGCUGUUCUUGCUCGAAGAGUAUUGAAAGUGGAACAUUAUAAACUUCAGUGAACUAGUCUACAAGUUAUUUGAUCUUUGGAGAACUUCAAAAAUGGCCACUACCUACCAUGUGUCUCCAAGGCAUGAUCAGAAGCGUUUCUGCUGGGCUUUUCACUUGGAAGAUCAGAGACUCAGCAGAGUCCAGGACAAGCAUCUGUAAAGAAAACAAAGCUACUUCUGUAAAUUUCCAAAAACUCCUUCUGGUAAAGCACAUAGACUUAUUUGUGAAAUGAUCCUGACAAUUCUUUGACUAGUAAGGCAGAGAUCUUAAUUCCUACUAGUUUGUGUCAUAGAAAUAUAAGAGGAAAAAAAUGUUAAAAAACUCGAAUUUAAUGAAUGUUAUUUAUCAAAUGUGUUUCACCCUUCAGCAAAUAUUGUCCUGCUGGUGGAAUUGGCCAGCAAGGCCACCAGAUGAGGUAUGAAAUAAAAUGCGGAUUGCAGAAGACGUUGGGCUACAACAAAUUUCAGUGGAUUAAUUUUAAGCUCUUAGCUUGACAUGUUUAUGAGCAGGGUAGGGGAUUAGUCGAGAUGCGGCUUGUUGAAAACCACCUAAGCUGCCAACAAUGAUAUAUACCUCAAAUUCUUUCUCAGAAUCCUGGCCUCUACCAUCUACCUUCUUCACAGCCAAAUGGAAGUUAUCAUCCAACCCCAAUGAUAAUAGCUACAAAAGUGUUUUGUAAGCCUCUCUGCAUCUCCUUCCCAAUGGCGUUCGUUCUUGGCUUCAGGCCUAUCCAAGUGAACCUGAAAAAUACUCAGUUGGGUCGUUGAAUCAGAUUGGAUUUCUGGACAGAAAAAAUUUCAAUUCAAUGUUCUUUUUUUUUUUUUUUCAUAUUUACCAGAAUCAUCGUGAGAAAGUCUCUUGACUUUUAUCUGAUUCAGAAGAAGACUACAAUAUGAGAAAUUUCUACAACUUUGGUCAUCGUAGUUGAAUGAGAAAUUUCUGCAGCAGUGGUGACACAGAGAUUUAGUGAACUCAAAAAACACUCCUCCUGCAAUGACUCAUAUAUAUGCAUAGCAUGAAUUUCAAAACCACAAAGAGCUGAAACCUUCGGUUUGGCUUUCCAGAACACCAUGGAAAACAAAAGAAAAUAAAAUUUUAAACCUCGUAUGUCUUUACUUUAUUUGGGUUACCAAAAAUUGAAAACACACCACAAUUAACCCAUAUAGUACUUUAUUUGGAAAAAUCUUUCUUUUUCCAUAAAAAUUUAUUUGUGCCUAAAUUUUCAAAAAUUGAGCUGAAUCAAGUAAUGGAGAAGAAAAGGGAUGAUUGAAAGAGAAAAAGAUGUAGUACCUUUUCAGACUUGGGAAUUAGCUUCAUCUCUUUUUAGACUUAGGCAUUAGCUUACUGAGAGUACCAAGCUGCAAGUUGAUGCUGUCCCUAUGCCACUUCUCUGCCCAUAUGUGCCAUCAAAUAUGCCUUCGUCCCAAUGAUCAAACAACAGUAUCUUUGACUGGUGCCUGAAAAGAGAAAUAAAAAAAAGGGUGGGGGGGGGGGGUUGAAAAUGUUGAUUUGGAUGAUGGAAGUUAACCACUAAUUGUUUUUUCAAAGUUUCGUCAUGCUUACUGGUGUUUUCUAAACUGCAAUGUCUCAUCCCCUGCUGCACUCACUAUUGUCUGCAAAAGCAGUUUUCACUUUUUCUAAGUUUUUCUUAUAGAGAGCAUUAUGUGCAUAUGCAAUAGUAAGUUAUGCCUGGGAACUCACUUAUGGAAUUCACUUAUGCAUCUGUAAAUAGGUAGAGUGCCCGCAAACUAUCACCAAUUAGAGUUACAACCUAUUCAAAAAUCAUAGGAAAGUUGGAUUUAGUUCAUUUGUAAUGGAAAAUAAUGCCAGAAUUUUCAAGCAAUUCACUAAUUAAUACCAUUGUCAUUGAUGGGUGUUUCCAGACCAUAAUCUGAUUUUGGGAAGAGCCAUGAGUGCUGACUACCUCGUUCACAUCUUACUCCAUGCCAGAUUAUAUACCUGAAGGUGAAACCAUUGAAAUUUGAUUCAGUAUAGUAUAUUUGGGUGUCCUCAGUUAGUGCACUAAAACUCUAUGCCAUGCCCCACAAAAGUUGAAAACACACCUCGCUUCCUAUGUCAACAUGGCUUAAUUGAUUCCCACUUGUGGUACUCCAGAAGCAGAUAUACUGAUCCGCAGUCCCACCUCCAAAUGCAAGGAGGCCACUCUGGUGAGGUGACCAAGCUGUGUCUUUCACAGCAGGUGUGUGCUCUGUCAACUUCAAAACUGGUUGCUAAGAAUGCUGGUUCCACAACAAUACACUCUCAUUUAGUACUUCACUAAAGUUGAAUUGCAAAAAUGAAGUGGGAAAAGUACUGGUGGGAUGGAUACCUGAUUAUCAUUACCACUUGAUGCAAGUUCUCUAUCAUUACGGGACCAUUUCAGCCCACACACCAGAGGAUUUAAAAGCAAGGAUUAAGAUAGGUUGUCAUUUAGUCAUCAAAGGAAAAUGCAUCCAAGGUUCUGUUGAGUUCUAAUGAACUUACUUCAGAUUUGUGCCCUACAAGCUGGCUACCUCAAACCUAAAAUGAAAAAUGGUGAAGCAGAUAAGCAUCCCAUGCUUACAGAAAACUGGACAAGAAUCGAAACAUACCAUGUGUCAAGAACAGAUUGGAAGAAGUAUCACACAUAGACAUGGCAAGAACAUCAAUCUGGUAAACAAUGAGAAAAAACAACUACAAAUUUAUCACUACAAUUCAAAUUGGUGCAGUGUAUAGUAUUUUUUUUAUUUUUACAGAGCCUAGAAUUGUUCAUUCUAUUGCAGUCACCAUCACAUUUAUGCAGUUCUUUGGCAAGCUUUCUCCUAUAUGUAUAUUUUGUUAUCAUAUUAUUUGACACAAAUAUAUGAUGUGGCUAAAUAUCAUAUUUUAUUACGAAUAGAAGCUUCAUCUUUAAAAGAAAUCCUUUUUGUCAUAAAAAUAAAAUUUGUUACAAAAAUCUUCUUUUUUCCAUAAAAAUUUGUUUAUGCCUAAAAUUAUGGUAGCAAAAUGUGAAAUUUAUUGUAGUGCCUUAAGAAGCAUUCCUGAAAAGAGUUCAAGUCUUCAAAUCUCACUUGCAACUAAAGACCCGUCUAUUGCAUGGGCAGGCAAUGGCAAAUCUUCCUCCUGGGACUGCUCCAAAAGAUCCAAAAUGGUAAUCAGCACAAUUUAAUAGUUAAACCAUUCAACUUUAAAUAUUUGUACUUGUUAAAAUUUAUGCAUGGAGAGUGGUGGUAUGAGUUGAUCCAAUUAAUUCACAAUUCCUCAAGGCAAAGCCGAUAUGAAAAAAUAGUCAGUGUAUGAUUUGAGGCUGUCAUGAUGAUAGAAGGUAUUGCUGAAGAAGUUGAUGCAAGUAUAUCAAGUUUGGAAAAUAUAGGCCUUUUGGAACAAUAGUGUUCCAAGGAGAAUUCUAUACUAACAUGUUUUCAGUUGUUGCAAGGAAACUUUGUUUCUUCUAAGAAGUUCUCCGAGCUGCUCCUGUUUUGAAAAAGAAACAGAGGUUUAUUUAAUAUUGAAGGAAGCAAAAUCACAACAUAAUGCAGAGUGUUAAGUUUUGAUAAGACCCAUUAAUAAAUGUUGAGAGGUCUUGAGAGGUAGGUUCAAUUUUUUAUUUACUUGAAUUAAAUUUAGUGCAUGCGAAAAUAGAAACACCCACUCCGUCACUCUACAAGAAGAAACAAGAAUAAAAAUGACAUACCCAUUGCUUUUUGGAAAAAAUAAGACAUUGUUGCAGGUAUCUGUUCCCAAAUAACCUGCAAACCAAUGCAUAUAUGAUUAAAAUAAUUGCAAUUUGAGGGUUAAAAAGUUAAGGCCUUGUUUGAUAACUAUUUUUGAAAGUUGUUAUUCAUCAAAACAACAAAACAAAAAUAUAUGUUCAAUAACUGGAAAACAAUUAUUUUCUUUUAAAAACAGAAAAUGUUGUAUUUUUAAUUGUUUUUUACCAGAGGGAGCACAAAGUCAAGAAAGGUUUUACGUGAUGGAAAAUGUUAAUAAUGUACCAAGUAAUAUCAAGAAGACAAGUCUCUUAUUAUACCUGGAGAGCUACUUCGAGUCUUUCAGAGAGUGUCGAUGCCCAUAUUAACCUUAGAAAUUUAAAAAUAAAUAAAUAAAUAUCAAAAUUUUUGCAGCACAGAUUUGUCUACUCAAUGAAUUGGAAGAAAAUUAUUUUGAGCAUACAACAUGUACCUGAUCUUUAAGAUGAUUUUAAAUCAGAUUAUCAAGAUCUCGGGAGUCUAAUUAGCCACACUUCAGAAUUGAUCCCUUCAUCUGCACAUUACCAAAAAUGCGAUUUCCAGACACAGUCUCUACUCUUGGAACUGACAACAAAAGAUAUUCCUAUUGCUUAUCAGAAAAACCAGUAUUAAAAGCCUGCUGCUAUGAUAUUUUAGUAGACCAAGAAAUCAUACACAUAGAGCUGCUUGGUGCACCAGCUUCAGGAAACAUGUACAAAGCCUGAAAGAAAACAAAAUUGGGUAUUUAAGCUCAACUUCCCUUUUUUUUUCCAAAAAAAAAUUAUUUAUAGGACAGAAUAAGUACCUUCAUUACAAAAGUUGGUUAUCGAUCAAAAUGUGUGGAAUGUGAGCUAUAUGGUGCCACUCUUCACCUGUCCCAAACUUGCACCGAUCUUUCAGCAAUGGACAGUUUUCAAUUGUUAGAAAAGAGAGGGAGGUGGGCAGCCCCUCUUCUGUCAAGGAUUGGAGCUUCGGGCAGUAACUGAUUUUUAAUUUUUGAAGAGUGGUGAGCAGUUGAAGCCCCUUACUGUCCAGAGACCUGAGAUUUGGAAGAUCUGAGAUUUCGAGAGAGGUAAGGGUGGAGGGCAGCAGGCAUUCCUUUGGAAAUAGCUCCAAGUCUUCACAUUUACUUGAAAUGCUGAAACGUCUAAGAGACGUCAGACCUUGUAGACCCAACUCCAUCUGGGAUCUGAAUUUUUCACAGUUUGUAAUUGAAAGUGAAGUUAGGUUGGAGGGAAGACCCUGCACUGGGAAUAUCAAUUCAGGACAACCAUUCAAUGUUAAUGACUGAAAGCAUGCAGCGUUGUGCAACAGCGACUUGAGAUUCUUGCAAUUGUAGAUGGAAAAUCCUGAGAAGUUGAGCGCUGGCAAUUCAAUAGACACAAGAUUAGGGCACCCACUGAUGAACAAGAUAUCAAAAGAUGUAGGAUCCCCCUCUGAAAUUGAAAAGGAGAGGGAUUCAAGGCCUCUCACUUCGUAGAUCUGAAGAAAAGUCAACCUUGGGAAGAUGCUGAGCGGGAAGCACGAGAGAGAAUUGCAAGUACUAUAGUAGAUGUUCAAACGUUCUAGUAAAGAGAAGUGACAUUUGAAGAACUCAGGUAGGAGCAACUCUAGGUUCUUCGAUUCAUAGAUACGCAAUGAUUUCAAUGUAAUGGGCAAACAAACUCUGCACAAGGUUCUGGAAAAAGAACAUUUUGUGAAUGUCAAAUCUUGAAGACAAGUAUUGCUUUGCAAUAUUUCCUCCUCCAGUAGGGACUCCAAACAGUCGGCAUUUUCAAUCGAGAGCUUCUGCAGUACUGGUGGCAGUUCCGUCCACUUUGAGAUGUCUGAAGUAAUCAAACUCUCAAGACGCAUGAAAUCACUAGCUGGGCUCCUAAAAAACACACCACUACUAUUCCUCGUCGUUAAUUCGCGGAUGGCUGGAACCCUUGGAAGUGGAGCCACAAGCUGCUCACAUUCUUCAAUAUUUAGUUUUGUCAACAAUGGCAGAUGGUCUGGUAAGUCCCCAGUUAGCUUGGGACAAUCCUGUAUAUAAAGCUCCUUGAGACGAGGGAAUUCUCCACCCUGGCUUCCCAAACACAACCAUUCCUUCCAUUUUGGCAUAAACGAAAAUGACAGAGCUUUUAGGGAUACAAAGGAGGGCUUAGUUGACGAAGAAUCAGUCCCAUAAAACUCAGCACCCACCCUUUCCACUUCCUCCGCCCCACUGAUAUAUAAAUGUUUAAGAGAGGGUAGUUGUCCAAGCGGUGGGAAGGCUGACACAUUCUUACAACGCCAGAGACGUAGGGACACCAUAUUGAUCAUCAGCAUUGCGGGACCUCCCAACCAAUCUGGAAAUCUUAAACCACCAUAUCCUUGAAUCGUGAGUCUCUUUAAGUUUGAAUGAGGUAGUAAGUUGUGGAGAACUAUGUCUGCUCCAUUUUGAUCAACACCAUCAUCGUCAUUCCACUCCAACCGCAAAUCAUUCAGGUACUGCUUGCCUACCAAAUUAGCCUCCGAGGCAUCCCUACCAUCGACCACAUUCUGCAACUCUUUAAUGCGAAGAAUGCCACCAAUGUGGGAAAGCUCCCUCAACUCUCCAACCCUUGGCCCACUCUCCUUGCCCACUCUAUAAUUAGUCAAUUUUUGUAAACUUUUUAAUUGACCCAAUUGACUUGGCAUCUCUUUCACUUUGCUAUGCCUAAUAUCAAGAUGGCGCAACCUAAUCAAUUUGCUCAUCAUUACAGGCAAUUCAACAAGACAACAACAAAAAGAUAAUAUCAAUGUUUGUAAAUUAUACAAGCUACAAAUUGAAUCCGGUAACCUUUCGAUGGAUGUGUAGGAAAGGUCCAAAUAGCGCAAGUGUUUCAAAUUUCCAAUUGUAUCAGGCAAAUCAAUUAUCCAAUAGUAAGACAAUGACAACACUCGUAAAUAUUGAAUUUUCGAUAAUAGAUCAUUUGGAACUCUAUUACUCAAUUGAAACCCUGAUAAAUAAUCAUAACCGCCUGGUCCCCUAUUCUUUGAAACCUUAUCCAUCAAGUGAUACCUAGGCAAAUAGCCUAGGUUCAAGGGUAAGAAGGUCCGAAGGCCAUUCACGUUAGUAAGGGUCUCGAAUCUCUCAAAGAGAUCAUAUUCACUUAUAAAGUAUGAUAAGUGGCGAAACUUUUCAGGAAUUUCAUUCAUCUUACCAUCCUUCAACUGAACACAAAAUUUUCCCGAAACAAGUUGAGCCAAGUCGUUGAUGAGAUCAUGCAUUACAAAAUAUGAUUUGUGGCUACUGGACUUCUGAAAAAAUGACCUUGAUACUAGGUCAUAAAAGUACCCAUCACCCACCUUUUCCAUUGUUUUCUUGCUUGCAGAUUGGUCCAAAAAACCUUCUGCCAUCCACACUAGAAUUAAGUUUUCCUUUUCAAAUUCGUAGUCCUUAGGAAAAAUUGAGCAAUACGCAAAACACUGCUUUAAAUGGGAAGGAAGAAAAGAAUAGCUUAACCUUAAGGCAGGGAGAAUUUCAUCAUUUGGUAAAUCCCAGGUUUCACUAUUCAAUACAUUUUCCCAUUCUUCUACUCGUGAUUCUGAGUAUAAGGCACCCCCGAGGGUCUUUGCAGCCAAAGGCAGUCCUUUACACUUUUUUACAAUCUCUUUGCCAAUUUCUUCUAGCUUUGGAUGCCGACUAGAAUCUCCAUUUUUAAAUGCCUGUUUUGCAAAUAGCGACCAGCAGUCCUCAAAGGAUAACUGUCCCAAAUGAUGAAUACGGUCUGAAUGCAUGACUGUUGCAACGUUAUUACUUCGUGUAGUUACAAUAAUCUUACUUCCAGGUAGGCCAACAGUGAACGGAGUUUGUAGCCUAUCCCAAUUAUUAUAGUUUUCAUUCCAAACAUCAUCAAGGACAAGACAGAAUUUCUUCCUGCUAAGUCUCUCCUUCAGUUUAAGUUGAAGCAGAUUCAAAUCAUUCUCAUCAGACGAAUUUUCAGAAGUCCCGGAAUCGAUUGCCUUAACAAUUGUUUUCGUUAUCCUGACAAGAUCAAAUUCGUCUGAAACACAAACCCAUGCUCUAAGGUCAAAAUAUCUGUCCACUCUCCUGUCAUUAUAGACCAGCUGAGUAAGUGUGGUCUUUCCAAUACCGCCCAUACCCACCAGGGCGAUCACACCUAUCCCAUUCCCACUUGCGUUAUGGGACAACAAAAAAUUAACUAUCUCCUCUUUAUUAUCACCCCUACCGUACACCCCAGACUCUUCUACCAAGGAAGUUGUCGGCCAUCUUUUUGACAAUUUUUCUCCAACGCCUUCUUUCAAUCCUAGAACAUCUUUUUCUUGUGCAAGCAAUUCUAGUUUGUCAGUGAUCCCCUCUACCCUGGACUCGAUCCCCUCACCAAACGGAUUAAGCGAGGCAGAGAUGAUGUUCGGUACCUGAGUUGCAGUGGUUUGAGAAUCAGACUCCAUCUUGCAUCGUAAAGCUUCAGUGGUGAUCUCAUCCACUAGGUCCUCUGCAUCAUACAUAACAUCUUUCAGCUCAUCCACCCAAUCUUUGACAUCUGAAUUCGUGAUUUGCUUGGCCUCGGCGUCAUUCAGCACUGCCUUAAGUGCCAGAAAUUUCAUCUUCAACUUCCUUAGGAGCGUAGCACUGAGUUUCUGUUCCCGGAGGAAGGUGAGGACGUCGCGAGAAGCCAUCCGGUCAAAUAGAACUUGGAAAGAAGCUGAGAGAAGUGCUCCUCCUACUACGGCCCCGGCCAUGUCUGUUGAUUUGCAAGGGAAGUGAACAGUGGAUCAGAGAAAAAUGAAAGAAAGCAGAUGCAAAGCAACGAGGAAGAGCCUGGGCCUUAGAAGAAAGAGGUAGAUGAGAACGGUGGCCUAUCAACUAAUGCCAAAUGUACAGAUGAAUUCAUAUGGGUUGCAAUUUGGUCCCUGCCUUAUAAGUAAAUAAGAAAACAUUCAUCAACCUUUCACAUAUUUAAUUUCCAGGACCCAUAAUCUAGGUGCAGGUCUACAUGGUAAACCCAACAGCAGGCUUUUGGAGCAAUAAUAAAAUUAUUGAUUUUAGGCUUUCUGGAUGCUUCAAAUGUUGGAAAGGUCUUCCAUUCAAUAGUGUAUGGCAUUAAGGGACUUUUGACAAAAUCACCCAUCUCAGUUGUGAAAUGUUGAAAAGAGCCCACCACAAAAAGAUAAAGAUAGAAAGGAGUGUUGACUGUUGACCACCUUUGAAGGAACAAAAUGAUGUUGAACAUGGGCUGUCGCUUUAUACAUCCAAGUUGCAAGAAUUAGUGGAAGACUCAUUGGGCGGUCUGCAAUUUUCCUGAUGAGGUUGGCCUAACCACCUUGGGAAAAGAGAAGUUUCCCAUUUCCCAUUUCCUAAAAGAGAGAAGGAAAAAAGUCAAAAAACAAAGGGAAAAGUGUGAAUUUCCACACUUGUCCUACCAUACUAGGCCUAAAUUUUUUUUAAAAAUUACUAUCAAUCCUAAAUUAUAUAAUGAUUUAUUAAGAUUUUUUAAUAAAAAAUUAGAUAAAUAAAAAAAUCUUGCUAAAGCAUUAGAUAGAUUAAAUUUUAUCCAACUCUAGCUAUAACAUAAAAACUUCUGCCAAUGUAUAUAUGCUUGUCAUAUAUAUAUCUUUAUCUAAAUUUUUUUUUUAUAGAAAAUCUUACUUAAAGAGGCUAGUUAUUUGAUAUUUGAGCCUUAAUCUUAGGUUGACAAUGCUUUAGAAAAAACUUGGUUGUUAUAUUGAGACUCAAAUGUUAUAAUUUACUUCAUUUUUUUCCUUUUUACUAAAAAAAGUAAAACAUAAAAGCAAAAGUAAAAAAGAAAAGGGAGAGGAAUAUAUUUUUUUCCAUUAUUUACAUAUUUUUAAAACUGAAUUAGUUGAAACUUAAGUCCCACAUCACAACUUGUUUUAAAUCAUAAAGAUACAAUUUUAAUACAUUAUUUUGAAGUUGUGACUUGAAGACACAUUUCAAAAUAUUAUCAUGAAAUUGGGAGUUUAAGAAUUUUUUAUCUAUUUUUUCUAAUAUAUUUUUUUAUAUAAAUUAACUUGUUUCUUUUUCACGUUUUUUUUUAUAAUAGCCCGAAUUAAUUUCCAAGGAUUAGUAAAUUAUGAACAUAAAAUUAAUUAAAUAAAUUUAAUAAAGGUAUAAAGAUCCUUUCACAUUAAAAGUCUUAUGUAUAAAUUAGAUUUGUAAUAUCUUUUCUAUUGCAAAACCGUUUUACACAGAAAUCAAAGAACGAGCAACAUAGAGUUAAAAUUUUUGGAGGUUUAGGAUAUAAAUAUCAAUCUUCUAAAUAAGAUUUUAACUCUUAAAUUAAUAUUUUAUUUUCGUUAAUUAGUUUUGAAUAAUUUAAAAAUUAUUUAGAAGAUCUCAAUCUACAUUAAGAUUUGUUUAUUUAAUUUUUUAGAUCAAAAAGAUUAAAAUUUUAAGAACAUGAGUUGAUUUAUUGAUAGAGAUAGGAAAUUCGGAAUAUUCAUUGAGUACAUGCAAACAAAAUAAGUCUUAAAUCUUGAACAUAAAAUAAGAAAUAAAAACAAAAAACAAAAAACUAUUGUUGUUGGUGGGCUUAGGGCAUUGAAAAGAAGAAAAAGAAAGAAAAGGAUUUGUGACCAUGUGAUGACAUGAAAGAAAGAAAAAAAAAAACAAGAUUUUGUGGUUGUGCAUGGAAUUUAGGUGUUAAAAAAAACAAAAAUUUUACUUUUGGUGCCUUGAAGAGAGUAUACGAUAUGAUUUUUGGAAGUGUAGGUCAGAAGAAAAAGGAAGAGAAGGGAGAUAGAUGUGUGUGCAUGUGUUGUGUGAAGGAAAAAAAAGAAUAGAAAUAAAAUAAGAAAGAAGUAUGGGAAUCAGCCUUGUCGAUACGAGAGAAAGAGGAAAAUAUAUAAUAUUAAAAAAGUGUUAAGAAUUGGGUGAAGUACAAGAUUAGUUGAUGGUAUAAUAUCCUUUCUAAGCAUUCAGGUUUUGCAUCACUUGUAUAGUACAUGACUUAGGGGUGAAUUAGGAGUUGCACAAAAUAUUCAAGUCAUGCAUACCUUGCAAGUUGAUAACUCAUUUACAACUAGUUCAUGGAUUUAGGCAAUGCCUUUAAGGUUGUGGUGCACUACCACUUAAUUAGAGAAAUGAUUGUUCUUGGUCAUGGGAAUGUGGUUCCUAUGGUGAGUGUGUUAUGAUAGAGCCCUUAAAAGUAAAACAUAAUGUAACAAAGUUAGACUUGAGUUUCCAUUCUUCUAUGCAUUGUUUGUAUUCAUAUUGAUUUGAGUAUCUAAGUCUACAUCCCUUACAUUAUACAUGACUUCGGUGCAUUAGGAGUUACAUGAAAGAUCCAACUCAUAGGUUCCUUGCAAGAUUGAUGAGUAGUUCACGGUUAGUUCGUGGAUUUAGGCAAUUCAUAUAAGGUUAUAGUGUACUAUAUUCUAAUUAGAGGGAUGAAUUGUUUUAGUCAUCAAGAUGGGUAGGAUGAUUGCACUAGUAUAUAUGACACAUUGGAUAAGACCUACAAUUGGUUAUCGAGUAGUCAUGAUUCACUAAUUAAGCUAUUUUAUUGCAUAGAUUUUCAACCUUGAGAGAAUAUGAAGCCUAUGUUGAAGCCAUCAAGAGGCUUUGAACAAUGGGUAAGACCUUAAAGCAAUCAUAUAUUCCCUACAGAUUGGGUCACUAUUGAUGGAAGUUAGUAUAUAUGACACAUUAGAUAAGACCUACAAUUGGUUAUCAGGUAGUCAUGAUUUACUAAUUAAGCUAUCAUACUGCAUGGAUUUUCAACCUCGAGAGAGUAUGGAGUCUAUGUUGAAGUCAUCAAGAGGCUUUGAACAAUGAGUAAGACCUUAAGGUGGUCAUAUAUUCCCUACAGAUUGGGUCACUAUUGAUGGAAGCUAGUGACAAUAAGUAUUCUCAAUAAAUAUACCAUGGUAUCUCAUGAAAUUGAGAUAGUGUUUUCCUCAUUGAUGAUCCUAAGGACUUCUAAUCAUGAAAUCUGUGGCAUCGUAAUAAUUCCUUAUGUAAAAUUUGACAUAUGCUCUAAUGAGUUAGAGUAUAUUAGUUGAUCACAUAAUCCAUAACUCAAGGAUUAGAGAAGUAAUCUUGAAAGGUUGAUGGCAUAUACCUCGUUAGAUUAUGGGCACCAACUCAUCAAGAGUCUACAUGUAGUGGAUAGUAGGUAAUGGACCUAAGUCCUAUCUCAAUCUAAUAUCAUAGUAUAUUGGGGUACAAUUAACUCUCUGUAGUAGGAUGUUAAGUCUACUUUAGAAUUAGAUUUAAAAAUUGGAGGCAUAGUAUUUAAGGGUUAUGUUAUUUAUUCACAUGUGUACAUAAGGAAAUUUUAGUAAAAAAGUAAGGUUGAAAAAGAGUUUGUGAAUGUUAUCUUUAGACUAAACUAAUUGAUUAAUUGGAGCCUAAUAAAGUUAAUUAAUCAAUUAAAACCUAAGUGGGCUGGAUUAAAUGACCCUAGCCUAAGAUUGACUUAAGUCACUAAAGUCUAUAAGGAAACCUAUAUAAACCCCCUUGGAGGUUAGGAGUUUAGUAAUCUUCUUUUGUUUUUCAGAAUCUAGGGAGAGUAACCCUAGUCUUUAUCUCUCUGAGAGGAUUCCACCAACCUCAAGUGCCUAGAUCCAAGAAAAAUAGUCAUCAGGUGGAAAAUCUCUUGGUUUUUAAGAUCCCCAUUAGCUUCUUUACCAAUUGCAAUUCAUCUAGAAACAUUCAAAUCAUAAGUAUGUUUUUUGAGCACAUAGAUCUACAGUUUUAUUUGAUUCAAUGUUUUGAAUACUUAUGUUGCAUAGAUUUAGAGAUCCUUAAGAUAGUUUGACUUUCACCUCAACAAUCUAAGGCUUGGAAUGAAGCAAUCUAGAGAUUCCAACAACUAGUAUCAAAGCCCUGGAUUAGGAUUUUGCAUGUUAGAACUAUUCUAAGGUAUGCUAACUUAGUUUUAUAGGGUUAUCUUACUCAUUUCAUGGCCUUAAGGAUGAAUGUAUGAGAUGUUUCAAUUUAUUCAAUUAAGUAUGGUUGGACGUGGUGUUUGUCUUUUGAUCUAAUAGAUGGGUUGAAAACUCCAAAAGGAGUAUAGGUUUUUUAUUUCCUUUGUAUAUUUUUUCCCUUUCAAUAGAUGGGUUGUAAGCUCCAUUAUAAGAACAUCUAAAUUUUUAUUAUUAUAAAAUUAUCAUUUUUUUUAAUCCAUUUAUGGUGACCCAUGAAUAAAAUAUGAGUCUUGGAAGUUUUUUUUUUUUUUUUUUUUUUUAAUCUUUGGCAACACAUUAACUCUCACUUUGACUCAAAAUUGGAGUAAUCUCCCAUGAGUUUCAUGAGGCAAGACACAUAUACUUGAAUCCAAGGCUCACACCAUUCACAAAUCAAAAUUGAAGCAAGGGAGAUAUGACCAAUUGAAGUAAGGCUGCACAAAGUUAAAUAUUGCUUCGGAAUUGAGUUUGGAUCAAGUAUUUUUUGGUGGUUUAGGCUCGGUUUUGGCAUCUUCUUGGGCUCAAAUUUUGGCAACAAGCUUCUAUGUUUUUUUUUUACAUGUUUUGGAUAUUUAAUUCCAAAAAGGAAACUACCAAAAUAAUUCACCAUUGAACCCUUAGUCAUGGGACUCAUUUCUAUUUUAAUUUCCAUGUUUAUGUUUUAUUCUUUAUAUAUAAUUUUUAUAUAUAGUAUGUGUGGCAUAAAAUGGGAAUAUUUAGUAAUCUUAAUGAAAAACAAAUUUUCUUGAAAAUUGGAUUAAAAAAGAUAAUAUUUUAUAUAUUUUAGAAUUGCGUAUAUUAAGGAAAUAAAACUUGGAAAAUAAAAUCAUGAGAGCUAAAUUUAUUUCUAAAAUUAUUUUAAAGGAUUUCUAAAAUAUUUUCUUUAAAUUUAUUCUAAUAAGAAUCUUUAUAGAAUAAAAGGUUUUCCUUUUUGGAUAAAAUGUUCUUUAGAUUUUUAUUUUUCAAUUUUUUGAAAAUUUCUUAUUACAAUAAUGCCUAAUUUGGAGAAUAAAUAAAUUUUUUUUAAAAAAUUUCAAGAUAGACAAUUUAUCAUUAAGGUAAUUACUAAAAUUUUGUAUUUUGGUCAUUUUUAAUGAAAUAAAUCACUAUGAAAAUGAGAUUUCAUAUUUAAUAAUAUUUAUUAAAUUGGAAAAUCUAGAAAUAAGUAAAGUAAAUGUUCUAAUGAAUUUUGAAUAUGAGAGCUAAAAUUUCUUUCUAAAUUUAUUCUAAAGGAUUUAAAACAUUUUUCUUAAAAGUAUUUUCUAAGAAUCAUAGAAGAAUUAAAUCUUUUCUUAAUUGAAUAAGGUACUUGUGGACCCCGCAUUUCGGCUCAUGCGUUUCCCACUCAAUGGCGGGCUCGAUUUUUAUUGGAAAAAUUGAUUUUCUAUUGUUUAAGAAAAUGACUUGGAGUCGCCACUUAUUUUUGUUUUAUUUUUAAAAGGGUAAACAAAAUAAGAAAGAAAAACCCUAAGUGUGACUCCUUACUUUGGAAAAGGUGGUCUGUGAAAAACCGGAUCAGGUCCGGGGGUCAGGUUACUUAUUAGGAAGGUACGGUAUGAACCGUAGCACCCCUCUAAGUCCCUAAAUGGGUCUCUACUAAUAAAAUGAAGCAAUCAUGACAAUUGAUGAGGAAAAACAAUGAAUACCCGGAACUAUCAUGCACAUAGGAGAAUCAAAACAUGUAUAUGGAAAUAUCGGAAUGGGGAUAGAUACGUACCUGGGUGACGAGCCACAAUGCACUUAUCAAAAAGUGAGGUUAGUGCACAAUUAAAGGAUAAUUUCGGGCAUGCCAUAGAGCAGAAUAAAAUCAAACACGCAUGGCAAUUGAAUCAAUCAAACAAUCAAUCAAUCAUGAGGAAAGCACGUAUGUUGGGCCCCCACCAAAGCCCAUUCAUUUUUGCAGGAAUUAAUAUCACAAAUCCCAUUAUUCUGGAAUUAUGAAAAUAACAUUCAUGUUUAUAUAAAAUCAAGAGAAAUCAAAGGUUAUUUGAAACCCGAAGAGAAUUAAAACUGUUAGAGAGAAAAUUGAAUUUUUGAAAUUUAUUUGGAAAUUGGAGUCUCGAAAAUUAUUUGAAGAUUGGAGUCUUGAGAAUUAAAUUUAAGAGUUGGAAUUUUGGGAUGUCAAACUUGAAGGAAAUUAGAAUUUUAGAAAUCGGAAAUUAAGUUCGAAAAUUGGGAUUCAAAAAAAUGUUUAAAAAUGGAAUUUUGAAGUAAAUAAAUGGACUAAUAAUAAUAAGGACGAAAAUAAUGAUUAAAUAAAUGAAUGGAAUGCUGGAAUUUUUGAAAUUGGAAAUUAGAUUUAGAAGUCAGAAAGUUUAAAGAAUUGUUUAAAAUAGAAUUUUAAGAUAAAUAAACAAACUAUUAGUGAUUAAAUUAGUGUAAAUAUGGGAAUUUUCAAGAUUAGGAAUUUAAUUUGUAACUCUGAAGUUUUAAAGAGUUGAUUUAAAAUGGAGAUAAAAUACUAAUGAUUAAAUAAAUUAAUGAGAACAUGAGAAUUUUCGGAAUUAGGAGUUUAAUUCUGAAAUCAGAAGUUUUAGAGAAUUUGAUUUAAAAUGGAGUUUUGAAAUAAAUAAAUAAAUAAAAUAUCAAUGAUCAAAUAAUUUAGUGGGAACAUGAGAAUUUUUGGGAUUAGGAAUUUAAUUCGGGAAUCAGAAGUUUUAGAGAAUUUGAUUUGAAAUGGGGUUUUGAAAUAAAUAAUCAAAAUAACAAUAAUUAAAUAGAUUAAAGUGAGUAUGAGAAUUUUCGGAAAUCGAAAUUGAGUUUUAAAGAUCGGAAUUUUGGAGUAUCAUUUGAAGGUUGAAUUUUUAUAAAUUGGGCUUGGAAGUUGGAAGUUAAAAAGUUUGAAUUAAUAAUAAUAAUAAGUUUUUGAAAGUUUUAAUCAAUGAUAAUAAUAAAAAUAAGAUUUUGAAAGUUGAGGUAAUAAUAACAAUAAUGAUGAGAUUUUUGAAAGCUUGGAUUAAUGAUGAUAAUAAUAAUAAAUAAAUUUUGAAAGUUUGAAUUAAUAAUAAUGAUAAUGAUGAGAUUUUGGAGGUUGGGUUUAAUGAUAAGGAUAACAAUAAUAAAUAGAUUUUGAAAUUUGGAUUAAUGAUAAUAAUAAGUAAUAAUAAAUAAAUAGAUUUUGAAAUUUGGGUUAGUAAUAAUAAUUAUAGGGUUUUGAAAGUUUGGAUUAAUGAUAGUGAUAAUAAUAAUAUUUUAAAUGUUGAAUUAAUAAUAAUAAUGAUAAUAAUAUUUUAAAUGUUGAAUAGAAAUAAUAAUAAUGAUAAACGUAAUAAUAAUAAUAGUAAUAAUAAGAUUUUUAAAAGUUUGAUUAAUAACAAUGAUAAUAAUAGUAUUUUAAAUGUUGAAUUAAUAAUAAUAAUAAUAAAUAAUAAGGUUUUGAAAGUUGAAUUAAUUAUAAUAAUAAUAAUAGUAUUUUAAAUAUGGAAUUAAUAAUAAUAAUAGAGCCCAAACCCAGUCCAUCAGCAACCCUAAUAAAGCCCAAACCUAGUCAAGCCCAAAUCCACCAAUAAGCCCCAUCCUCAUCAAGCCCAAUCCAUAUGAUAUUAAUGGACAAGCCCAAGGCAAUUAAAGCCUUCAUAAACCUGGGCUUCUCUUCAUAGGCUUGGGCCUGGGUUCCCAGUUCAAACCCAAGCCCAAAACCAUCAUGGGCAAAGCUUCUCUUCACCAAUUGCCUCUCCACCCGCGAAGACUCCACCGGCGGCACGAUGAAGAGGAGAGCCAUGGCGGCGCGGGGAAAAGAGGAGCAGCGGCGGUGCGGGGAAGAGGGGAGCCGUGGCGGCGGUCUGGUGACGUUCAGAAGGUGCCGCCGCCAUGGCUGCUGGUGCAGGCGCGCGCGUUGCCGGAGCAGGUGGCAGCGGCCUGGCGACGUCCAGAAGGCGCUGCCGCCAUUAGUGGCUGGUGCAGGCGCGCACAUGGCCGGUGCAGGAAGACGCGGGGAGGGGCGGCAUGCAUGGCUCCCAUGCAGGUAGGCGAACGGCUUUGGGGGUUCCUAUGGAGAUGAGCUAAGCACGGGUAUGGUUAGGUGAUAUGGAUGAACGAGAGAAAUGGUGAGGGAAUGAGGGUAAGGAUGGGUUUGGUAUGCAUGGGUGUAUGGAUAUUCGCGGGUUUAGAGAGAGAAGUAGAUGCAGGGAAGGAUUGAUGAAGAAGGAGAGAGGAAUAACAUGGUUAAUGAAAGGUUGGGCAAAUAAAUAUAUAUAGAAGCUAUAUAUCAAACAAAUCCAUGCGACUCAGUAUACAAUCAUAUGACAAUGCUCAGGUAUCCAGAUCAGAGAUAAUUAAAACCAAUGACUGUGAGGAAGCAUGUAUGAGAAAGGCUCCAAGGACUCAUACCUGUGAUGCCCUUCAAGACGUCCCUCUCAAGCUUCCUCUCUCCCGUUUUUCUUUCUCCCUUCCCAUUUCUCUGCUACUACUCACAAUGCUCUCUUUGUUCUCUCCAGACUUCCCCUCCCAGAAUCCUUCUCUCUCUCUGCCAGUCCGGCUUGCUUUUUUUUCAGCAAUGCCCCCCCACAAAUAUCUCUCCGACCAGCGUCAAAAGCCUCUUCUCCACAGCAGAGAAAGCACACCCUCUCUAACAGCAAUGGAACCCUCCGAAAAAAUAUCUCCCUAUCCCCUGUUUUCCCCCUCUCUCUGUGGUUCCUCAGCAAGUCUCCCUACCUGCUUUCCCGUCCCAUCUCCAUCCCAUCUGGCCGCCCCAUGCAGCCCACUUGAGUGUGGUCAGAGGAACAGCAAAAAAAUAAUAAUAAUUCCCCCCCCUGAAAGCUCCUCUCCUCGGGUGGGGGUCUACAGUACUCUUAAUUUUUCAAAAUCUCAUUGAUCGAAAGUUUCCUUAUUACACUAGAGUUUCCAAUUUGGAAAAUAAAUAGUAUAAAAAAAUUUUAAGAGGUAAUUUAUUAUUAAAGGAUAUUACCAAAAAGAUUUAAAGAAACUUAGGGUCUAUUUGGCAAUUAUUUUUUAAAACAAUUUUAUGUUCUCCAGAACAAAAAAAAAACAACUAGAAAAAUUGUUUGGCUAUCAAAAACUAAUUUUUGUUUUUUAUAAGAACAUAAAACACGGUGUUUUCAAAUAACAUCCUUUAGUUGUUUUUUAUUGUUUUUGCUUUUCUUUUUUAAGGAAUGUUUUAAAAAAUAAUUAUGCAAACAUUAAGAAUGAUUAAAAAUAAAAUUAUUUUUAAAACAUAUUUAAAAAUAUUAAAAAAAAAAAGUUAAAAACAUUUUAGGUUUCCAAACAGACUUUUGUUCUACAAAACAUUAGAGAACAAUUUUCAAAAACUGUUUUUCAGAACUGUUUUUGAAAACAAGUACCAAGUAUGCCCUUAGUAAUUUGAUGAAAAUAAAUUUAUUUGAAAAUAUUUCAAAGAUAAAAUAGGUUUAAAUUUUGAGAGUAGAGAUUGUAUCAAAUUUUAUUUUUGGAUAAAAUACUCUCAUAGAAAUUUUAAAUUUUUUGAAGAUUAUAUUCUCCUAUUGCCUAGAUUUCCAAUUAUGAAAGAAAUAUUUUUUGAAAAUUUUCAUAGAAGAUAAUAUAUUCAUCAAGGUAAUAACUAAUGUUAAAAAAUUUUAAAAUUUUUUUUUAAAAAUAUCUUAAUUAACUCAAAAGUAGUGUAAGAGAGCAAUAGGCAAACCCAUAACCUCCAAGAUCAAGCCCAUCUUGAUUUAGGCCAUAACAACCCUAAAGAUGGGUUGGGCCAAGGUAUCAAGGCAUAUAGAUUUUCUUAAGUACAAAACUACAUAUGUAUGUAGUGGAAACAACAUCCCCAACAAUGGGAUUCUAUACUUGAUGUCAAGGAUCUUAGUUAUACAGUAACUUAGAAUAUGAUAGUGGCAUGCUAACAUAGGGGCUUUCAUGAACUAAGGCCUAAACUAAAAGGUGUGUUGAUCUUGCCUAAGGAAAAUUUUCAAAUUUAAGGCAGGGAGAUCAAUCUACGAGGAUCUUUACCUAGUAAUAAGAUCAUGAACAACCCAACGUAGAUUUGAUACUUAUGACGCUAAGAUACCUAGCAAACGAUAUGUAGUCAUAAGAGCACUGCAUUUGUUAAACUUUUGUUUGCCUUGAAUACUCAAUAAUGAAUGCAUGCUCAUAUUCUUUGUUAUAGAUAUCAUGUUUACCUAUUAUUAUCACUCUCAUUAUCACAAUCAGUUAAUAUACCAAACCCCAAUAAUCUUUUUUACUAAAAAAAUAAUCUACAUAUAGUAACUAAUGGUAGAGAAGCUAAUUAAGGUGGAGCUAGCUAUCCCUUGUGAAAAAACCUAACCAAAAAAAAAAAAGUGGUAUAUCAAAUUCGGUAUAAGACAGAUCAAAAAACCAAGUGUCUCAUAGUUAGAUCAUUGGAUAAUGUGUUGCAACAACAACACGUCUAUUAUCAUGGGUUUUUAUAAUCUCUUUAGUUUGCAAAGGAUAUUUGGUGAUGAGGGUGUGUUAGCUAGACAAGCUACCCUUAGAACUAUUAUGAAUACCAAGCCUUGUAUGACCUUAGAGACCUUACCAGAUGCCUUUAAGAUGAUUAUGGGGAUUCUCAAAGAUCAUAGGGAUGUCCAUAUGAGAGUCAAGGGUUCUUCAUGAUCUUCUAUCAAUGAGAAAAAGAACAACACCAAAUAACGAAAGUUCAAGAAAGAUAAUAAGAAAGCAAGCUCAGGGGUAAACAAUUCCUUUGUAGCCUUUUGGGACAUUGGAAAAGGAAUGCCCGAAUUACCUAAGAAAAAAAAAAAAACACAUCAUAUUCUCAUUGUUGAAUAUGCAAUGGUGGAUACAUUCCACGCCCACAAUUUAUAAUUCUUUACAGAGUAUUUAAUAAGUGAGAAGGUUACAUGAUAGGUAUGUACUUACCUUAACUUCAGUUCCAAAGUUAGUUGUGUCGGCUAGUGGGAGAUACUACUUCUUGCUCCAUUACAACUUUUACUAAGUAAUGAAAAUAGUCAUAUCUCACCAAAAGAAAACAACCUAGUACUAAUCAAAUAUUUGGAUUCUAAAGUCUAGGUCAUAAUAAUCUAAACAAGAUCUAAAAAUUGGUUAAGUUUAGACACUUUGAUUCUAGAGGAUCUUCCAAUUUAUAAAUCCUGUAAAGGUGGUAAAAUGAUCAAGAGGCCCUUUAUUGCUAAAGGACAUUGAAACCAAGCAAUGUUUAAAGUUAGUGCAUACUGACAUGUGUGGACUUUUUAGUAUUCAUGCAUGGGGAGGACAAAGGUACUUCAUCACUUUUAUUGAUGAAUGCUCUAACUUUGGAUAUGCGUACCUAGUACAUAGAAAAUUUCAUGCCUUAGACAAAUUUGUUGAAUUUAAGAUAGAAUUAAAUAACCUAUUGGGUAAACAUAUCAAGGCACUUCAAUUAGAUUGGAGUGGUGAGUUUGUGUCAAAUAUGUACGAAAUAUUCUUUUUAGGUUUGUUUUUACUGGUUGAGGAUGAUUUAUAUAGGGAUGAUGUUUGAACUCAUAUACAUUCGAUUUUCUUUUGCCCUUGAUACAUGUUCUUUUAUAUGUAACAACAUAAUGAUAUGAUAAAAGUAUUUUCUUAAUUUACAUUUGUGUUUGAGUUUUAUAUUUCUUUUUUUUCUUCCCAUUUCCAAUUUUCUCCCUUUUGUGUCUUUUUAUAAGAGCGAUUUGGGGCAAGCAUGAGUUAUUAUAUAUAUACCAUACAUUUCUUGCUCUUUAUUUUAAAAUAAAAACCUUCAAUAUAAAAAUAGAACAUCUUAUACAAAAAAAAAAUGUAUAUCUAUACUUAAAAAUUACUUUGAAAAUUUUUUAAAUUUGAGAUGGUAAACAUUUAUAAAUAUCUCAAUUUUUUAAAUAGUUUUUAAAACUACUACUUGUUCAAUAUAAGUUUGUAAGAGUUCUUAUAUCUCAUAUAAAAGUUAUUAUUAUUUUAUUAUUUUAAAAAUAUAAAAUAAGAAAUGUAUUCAAACAUACUAAAAAUGAAUUUAAACUAUGUUUGGUUCCUAAAUAAAUUGAGGGAAAAUGCCAGGAAAAGUGAAAGAAAAUAAAUAAAUAAAUAUAUAUAUAUAAGUGAAAUGAGUUGAAAGUAAUAUAUAAAAACAACAUAUUAACUAUAUAUAUAUAUAUAUAUAUAUAUUGUUUUUAUAUGUUACUUUCAACUCAUUUCACUUAUUUUAACUUUUUGAUAUAAAGAUUAAAUAAUUUGAAAAUUAAUGAAUUCUCAAUGAAUUUUAAUUAUAUUUGUUUUUUUUUUUUUUUUUUGUAUCUUUUAAAGGACAACCAAAUGUUUAAAAAAAAAUCAGUUUUCUUUAACAUUUUUUCUUUCUUUACUACUUCCUGAAAACCAAAUGUAAUUUUAAUAAAUCAACUUAUUGACUUAAUAUGAUUUAAUGACUUAACUUAAGUUAUUAUACAUAUAAAAUAACUUAAUAUUACAACUAAAGAUAAAAAUAAUUUUAAUAUAUCAACUUUAUAACUUGAUAUGAUUUAAUAACUUAACUAUAAUUUAAUUUAAAGCCAUUGAAAGCCCCUAAGCAUUAAGUUUUAUAGAACAUUCUUUAAAUUUCUCUAAGAAAAUGCUUCCUACUAUUAUAAAAUACUUAUAAUCCUCUCAAAUUCACUUCUAAACAAGCUUUUAGUGUAAUGGGGUUGAUUCAUCAUGGAUGUGAAAAAGCCCUGACUGAUGUUAAGCAGAGCUUGCCGAGUUGAAAUGGGAAAAUUGUAGAUAGAAAGAGCAGUGUAGGAAGUGAAGUGCAAUGGGAAGGAGUGCCACAGAAGAAUAAUGCUUACAACUUUAAGGCGGAUAUGCUUAGAUCCUUCUGGUUGGUUGGUUAAAGUUAGUAUGGAUCCGACACCCUUUUCAAUAAUUAGUAGAAAACGAUCUAUUCAGCUAUGUUUUGUUCCACAAAAUGCUUAGAAAAUUUAUAAAAAAAAAAUGAAAUUUUUUUUUUUCCAUGUCUGAUUCUACCAAAAGAAUUAGAAGGAAAAUCAAAAUUUCUAGGAAAGAAACCAAACAUUCGGUUUUUGGCAACUUCUUAACACACACAUAUGGUGGCAAUUAACAAUUAGUAAGACUUUUAAGACUAUGUUUGAUUCCUGUAAAUUUUGACAAAAAAUAAAGAAGAAAUGUAGAGGAAAAAAAAAAUGAAAGAAAUAUAAAAAAUAGAUUUAAAGUUAAUAAAUAAUUUUUAUAUAUUACUUCAAACUCUUUUCACUUAUUUUAACUAUUCGACAUAAGAGAUUAAAUAAUUUAAAAAUAUACAAGUUUUCAACUAAGUUUAAUUAUAUUUGAUUUUUUUUCUUAUUUUUUCAUCAUAUAACGAAAUAUAAAAAAUUAUUUUUCUUAACAUUUUUUUUCUUUCAUGAAACCAAACACAACCUUAAUAACCAGGUCCUCAACUUUAACUGGCAACAGCUUUUAAGACCUAACAAUAAAUAACCACAGAAACACUCUUAAAUGCUAACACCAAUAAAUUCCAAAAUCAGAAAUUAUUAUAAAGAUAAGAUAAUUAGAAAGAGAGAGAGAGAGAAGAAGAAGAAGAAGAAGAAGAAGAAGGGCAGGAUAACAGACCAAAACGGCCAAUGCAAAAACAAUGGUGGAACUGACUUGUAGUCCUUGAAAUGCUUGCAGGUUCAUCUGGUUUCAGUUCAUACAGCAGCACGUAUUUGAGAUUCUACUGCCUUCAGCACUUGUUCACCCAUCUCCUUGCAUCCUACCAGCUUCUGUAGAAGCAAGAGCAAGCCAUUAGUGAUCAAUUAAACAAUUAUAUUCAUCAGAAGAAUUUUUAAGUGAAUGUUGACCAUAAAGAUCCCUUCUGUCUAAAGAGUUUUAACAAACUAAUUUUUAUAACCCAUAUGGAACAAGGAUAAUGGUGAACACAAACUAGAAAAGGCUCUAUGUUAUGUUUGGUUCCUGGAAAUUUUAAGGGAAAGAAAAUAAAGAGGAAAAGUGUAAGGAAAGAAAAAGCAAAGGAAAACCAAAAAAUUAAUUCAAAGUCAAUCAAUCACUUUUAUAUGUUUCUUCAAACUCAUUUCAUGAUUAAAUAAUAUUAAAAUACAUAAAUUUCUAAUUAUAUUUUAUUUUCUUUUGUAUUUUUCAUAGUAAAACCAAAUAUGAGAAAACCAUUUUUCUUAGCAUUUUUUCUUUUCAUCCUUUUGUUAUCAGCCUCUGUAGUUAUCCCUCACCAUAACCAUAUGCUUAAAUCAAUUCUGCAAUCAGAGGGAAUAUUUCAAACUAAUUUGGGAACAAAUCCAUCAGUAAGACCCCUACAAGGACCAUGCAGAAUAAAAUGAUGACAGAUGAGAUAUGGCUAUGAAAGAAUUCCAUUCUGCCAUGUCAGUUGGAUAUUAUAGAUUGAUGGCCCAAGCAAAGGCUAGGCAAAGAAUGUGACAUUGUUGGAAAAACAGUUCUAUAAAACUUGGAUGCCAAACAAGAAAUUUUCGAUUUCAAGAGAUUAAUGUCUCAUCUUCCCUCUUACUUUAUUUUGAACUCUUCUCUCUUUUAAAACAAAAUUGAAGUAGAUUAUUCUCUAACGUCCAAUUGGUUACCAAGGAGAAGAGGGAAAGUUGAAUUCCUUCAACUACUUAAUUAUAAACCCAACCCCCCCUCCCCCCUCCUUCUAUGCCCCUCGGAGCAACCAACUAGAAAAGUUUAAGUAAUUUGACGGUCAGUAAUGUCUCCUACCAAGGAAAUGGCAGAAACAAGCAAAAAAGGUAGAAGGAUUAAAAAUAAUAUAAAGAAAAUACAGCAACAACAAUAACAAUAAGAACAAGUAGUUUAGUAAACUAAAAUUAUACAUACAGUUCCAGCUUCGUAUAUGUCUCUGGUCCGAAAGCCCCUAUCUAGGGUAUCCAACACUGCUGUCUCAAUUCUCUUAGCAGCAUUUCCUUCACCUAGACCAUACCGCAGAAGCAUCGCAGCACUCAGCACAGUUGCUAAUGGGUUUGCUUUAUCCUGCAUAUUAGAACAAAGUAUUCAGGAUAAAAAGACGUGUUCACAUAAAGUUAAAAUAAAUAACAGCUUUUAUCUCUAUGCAGAAGAUAAAAUAGAAGCACAGCAACUCUAACCUGUCCAGCAAUAUCAGGAGCAGAACCAUGUAUUGGUUCAAAAAGUCCAGGCCCCUACAGAUAAAAAAGAAUUAAAAUGAACAUCAAACGAAAAAGAACAUAAAACUUCAAUUGGGACUAAAAGUGGAAUGCACUACAAGGAAUUCCUUCUGAACCACUCAAAGAUUCCAUCAUUUAGAGAAUCAGAUGAUUUGGCAAUACCGAUUCACCAACACUAGCUGACGGAAGCAUCCCAAUACUCCCAGUGAUCAUUGAAGCCUCAUCGGAUAAAAUAUCGCCAAAUAUGUUGUUUGUUACAAUAGUAUCAAACUGCAAUAUUUCAGAUUUGGAACUGAAACAGUUAGAAUUCUCAUCAAUGCUCUGAAACUUUAUUUUCCUGAUUCUUAACUGGAAUUAGAUGAGGAAUAACAUGGAAGAGGAAAAUCAUGAAAAUUUGUUUCAAAGAUGAAGGUAAACCUGUUUGGGAUUACGAACAAGCUGCAUUGCAGCAUUGUCAACAUACAUGUGUGAGAGUUCGACAUCAGGGUACUCUGAAGCCAUUGCUGUGACUCUUUUCCUCCAAAGCAUUGAUGCCUGGACAAUUUCUUAAAAUAUUAAGAUUAUAGUCUUUACCAUCAAUACAGUAUGAUAUCUUGCAUUUCAACCUUAAGCAUUAACACUAUAAAAUACUAUAUAUGGUCCUAAAAAGCAGCCAAUAAGACUCCAUGAUUCAAUAUAUAAAAUUAAAGUUAUUUAAACAUUCACCACACACACACACACACACAUAUAUAUAUAUGGGUGUGUAUAUGUGUGUAUGUAUAUCAACCUCAUGCAAUUUGUUUACUGGUUUAUGCUAUUAUUGUUAUCUUUGUCAGCGGUGCCUAGAACCAAUUAUGACUGUUUAUACAUGCUUUUAGCACUACCAUUUUGUAGCAAUGAUAUCAUGCAAUUAAAUGAUAUAAUUGCAUCAAUAUAAAAUGUAAGAAGGGAACUAAAAUAAUGUAUCUACAAGAACAACAAAUUUCUCUCAAGGUAUAAGAUGCAAGAGAAAUACGAAAAAGGAAAAAACAGGUGCAUAUGGCAAUUUUUGUCACCAAGUCCAACAAUCACUAGUUAGAUUGAUGGUAACACAAAUUCAGCAUGCAAGAAGUAGCUGAUGAUCCAAUAACACUAUUCAGUGCAAUGGACUAGUUUCCCAAUACUACAAACAAUUCAUCAGUUUGUUUGGAUCAAUUGAUCAAAUAGUCAUAGAAGACAUAUAGGCAUCUCAACAAAGAGGCUCAAAGGAUAUUGUUGGGAAUUGUCCCAAAUUCCUAAUUAGUAAAAAUUCCUUUUUGUAAAGAAUAUUGUAUAGAAUAUUUCCUCAAUUAAUAUAUUAUUUUAAUAUUAGAUUUCCUUAUGGAAUAAGGAAAGUUGGAAAUAUCCCUAUAAAUAUUCUGGGUCAUGAGGGGAAAAAGUUAUGAGAUGAAGAUGGGUCUAUAGAGACUAUACGAGGUAGAUAGAGAUGUGUGGAAGAACGGGAGGUACCUUGUGGAGCAAGAGGGCUUAUGGUAGGGUAUGGAUACAAAAAAUGGGGAAACAUGGGAUAUUUUGGGAACCUAAUAGUUAUAUCUGGUUCUAUCCUCUGUAAUAUUCUCCAUUGUAUAGUGGAAUGAUUCUCUCUCAUCUGUGGACGUAGGCAUGAUUAAUCGAACCAUGUUAAAACCUCGUGUACCAUAUGUACGAUUGUUUUAUCUUUGUGUUCUUGAAUUAACCUUGUUUGUAUGAAAGCUUCCGCCAUCACAACAAACUGGUAUCAAAGCUUGGGUUGAAGAUUUCUAGAAGAGCAAAAGAUUACAUAGCACAUAAGACAAAGACAAAAGGAAUUUUAGUUGAAGGUGGAGUCAAUUGCUCUCUCGUGGUGAUAUAAUACAAAAAGUCUGUGCCAUGGAGAGAUUGAAGAUUGGCUUCAUGGAAUUGGUCUAAGGUGGAGAUCGUUGGGAAUUGUCCUAAAUUCCUAAUGACUAAAGAUUUUUUUUUGGUAAAGAAUAUUGUAUAGAAUAUUUCCUAAGUUAAUAUAUUAUUGUAAUAUUAGAUUUCCUUAUAGAAUAAGGAAAGUUGUUUGAAAUAUCUCUAUAAAUAUUCUAUGUUAUGAGGGAAAAAAGUUAUGAGAUGGAGAUGGACCUGUAGAGACUAUACGAGGUGGAUAGAGAUGUGAAGAAUAAUGGGAGGUACCCGGUGGAGCAAGAGGGCUUGUGGUAGGGUAUGGAUACAAAGAGUAGGAAAACAUGGGAUGUUUCAAAAACACAAUAGUUUUAUCUAGUUCUAUCCUCUGCAAUAUUCUCUAUUGUAUAGUGAAAUGAUUCUCUCUCAUCCGUGGAUGUAGGCAUGGUUGGCCGAACCACAUUAAAACCCCAUAUACCAUAUAUGUGAUUGUUUUGUCUUUGUAUUCUUGAAUUAACCUUGUUUGCAUGAAAGCUUCCGUUGUCACAACAAACUGGUAUCAAAGCUUGGGUUGAAGAUUUCUAGAAGAGCAAAAGAUUACAAAGCACACAAGAUGAAGACAAAAGAAAUUUUAGUUGAAGGUGGAGUUGAUUGCUCUCUCAUGGUGAUAUGAUACAAAAAGUCUGUGUCAUGGAAAGAUUAAAGAUUGGUUUCAUGGAAUUGGUCCAAGGUGGAGAUUGUUGGGAAUUGUCCCAAAUUCUUAAUUCCUAAAAAUUCUUUUUUGUAAAGAAUAUUGUAUAGAAUAUUUCCUAAGUUAAUAUAUUAUUAUAAUAUUAGAUUUCCUUAUAGAAUAAAGAAAGUUAUUUGAAAUAUCUCUAUAAAUAUUUUAGGUCAUGAGAGGAAAAAGUUAUGAGAUGGGUCUAUAUACGAGGUGGAUAGAGAUGUAAGGAAAAACGGGAGGUACCUGAUGGAGCAAGAGGGCUUGUGGUAGGGUCCGAAUACAAAAAGUUGGGAAAUAUGGGAUGUUUCAGGAUCCCAAUAGUUGUAUCUGGUUAUAUCCUCCGUAAUAUUCUCUAUUGUAUAGCAGAAUGAUUCUCUCUCAUCUGUGGAUGUAGGCAUGGUUGGCCGAACCACAUUAAAACCCCGUGUACCAUAUAUGUGAUUGUUUUAUCUUUGUGUUCUUGAAUUAACCUUGUUUGCAUGAAAGCUUCCGUUGUCACAACAAAUUGGUAUCAAAGUUUGGGUUGAAGAUUUCUAGAAGAGUAAAAGAUUACAGAGCACACAAGACGAAGACAAAAGAAAUUUUAGUUGAAGGUGGAGUCAAUUGCUCUCUCGUGGUGAUAUGAUACAAAAAGUCUAUGUCAUGGAGAGAUUGAAGAUUGGCUUCAUGGAAUUUGGUCCAAGGUGGAGAUUGUUGGGAAUUGUCCCAAAUUCCUAAUUAGUAUAGAUUCCUUUUUGUAAAAAAUAUUGCAUAGAAUAUUUCCUAAGUUAAUAUAUUAUUGUAAUAUUAUAUUUGCUUAUAGAAUAAGGAAAGUUGUUGGAAAUCUCUCUAAAUAUUCUAGAUCAUGAAGGGAAAAAGUUAUGAGAUGGAGAUGGGCCUAUAGAGACCAUACGAGGUGGAUAGAGAUGUGAGGAAGAAUGGGAGGCACCCAGUGGAGCGAGAAGACUCUUGGUAAGGUAUGGAUACAAAGAGUGGGGAAACAUAGGAUGUUUCAAAAACCCAAUAAUUGCAUUUGGUUCUAUCCUGUGAUAUUCUAUAUUGUAUAGUGGAAUGAUUCUCUCUCAUCCCUGAGCGUAGGCAUGGUUAACCGAACCACAUUAAAACAUCGGAUACCAUAUGUGUGAUUGUUUUGUCUUUGUGUUCUUGAAUUAACCUUGUUUGCAUGAAAGCUUCCGUCGUCACAACAAAUAUCCUAUUUUUCGGCCUAACCAUGAAUUGGAAAUUAAUCAUAUCCAACCUUGUCCAUAGUCCAUGUUAAAAUGCUUUAGGACACCAUAAACUAAUUCUAUUUGGCUGAACUCACUAGUCAACGAUUCACCUCGUGAAAACUAGAUCAAGAAGCAAUUGGAACUCUUAGGCCCCGCCGCCCCUGUAAGAGAUACCUUUUUCAAUUGGGAGGUAACUUGGGCUAAGAUAUUGACUCAGGAUCAGCUCAGAAGGAGGGAAUGGAGGAUGCCAAACAGAUGCUACAUGUGCAAAGCAGAAGGGGAAAUAGGAGAUAAUAUUUUUUUGCACUGUCUGAAAGCAACCAUAUUGUGGCAGCUAAUUUUUGCUCUAUUUCAUGUACAAUGGGUGAUGCAUUCUUCUGUGAGAGGGGUGCUCUUAAGUUGGAGUGGCUUCUUGGUUGGCAAAAAAAGGAAAGAGGCUUGGAAAGUUGCUCCUCUACAAUUUUUUGGUCCAUUUGGAGGGAAAGAAAUUGGAGAGCUUUUAAGGAUAGGAAAAGCUUAAACCAAACAAUUAAAAGUUCUUUUCUGUAUCUCUUUUCAGAUUGGGUUAGAGUGUAGAUGGGGGACAAUGUUACUUCUUUGAUAGAUUUUGUGGAUUGGUUAAUCUGCCCAUAGGUGCGGUUGCUUUUUGUGUGUAUUCGCCCCUAUUGGUUUUUGUAUAUAUAUACAUCGUGUAUACCUUUAUUUAAUACAAUAUCCUUGUACCUAUCAAAAAAAAAAAAGGAAGUUAUUUCUUUUGGCUUUUCCAGAUUUACAGCAAGAGGACUUCACAAAAUUGGGGUCUAAAGAAGGCUAAAUAUGUUAAGUUUAGAAGAUGACUUAGAAAUAUGAUUAAGUGGGUUAGAGGGAUUUCAGAACCUUGGUCUUCACAUUUUCAUAAAGCCAUCCAACCCCAAGCCCUGGAAUGGAGUAUCUAUUUAACUCCCAAACCAAUAGAUUCAGAAGCAACAUCCUACCCAGAUUGACCUUGGAGUAUUUCAGUUGGACAUGUACUCCUAGCCAGGCUUUCGGGGACUUAUUACUAUAAGAUGGCUCUUUUUCGUUUUAGUCUUGGUAUGUACAUCUUUGAACUUGUAACAAUUCUUCUAACUUGAAAAUUGAGACUGGUAGAAGCAUCCACUUUAGGAGAAUUGCAAUCACCAAGUCUGCUAUUUUCUUUCUCACAAUUUUUUUUUUUUGAAGAAAAAAAUGUAUAUCUAGUUUUUGUUCUAAAAGAAAUUAUAUUUAGAAUGCCCAUGAAGAAUCCAAGUUCCAAUGUGCUAAAAUAUAGUAAUCGCAUAAUCUGACAUUUAGGCACUGUAAACUCAUGGUCAGAUCCAAUGACAUGCUCCAUCCCAUGUAACAUAGAAUCCAGCCAAGUGGCUUCUUGUACGCACUCAUUAGUUCAUGGAGUAAAUUAGUGCCGCCUCAUCUAAAAGGAGAGCUAUAAUAGGUUAAUCCUUCAAGUUAUUCAUAUAGAAUGGCCUGUGCUAUAGUGCCACCAUAUGAUGGAAACUGUAGGUAAUUGACCUUAGACUGAAGCAUGAAAUGACUGCAAAAACCAAAUGCGGGCCUCUAAAAAUUGUCAUGAAUAAAUGGAGGCCGAAAAGUUUGUCAUUGACACACAAAACUUAUGCUUAUUUGCUUGUUCAUUGGAUUGGAAUGUGUGAUAAAAGUUGAAAUGGUCAUCUUCCUACCAGGGUAAUACAGUUAAGUUCUUGCUCAUCAUAGAUGCACACACAUGCUAGCCUAGGACAUAAGCCCAUGCGCCCAACUCCUCUUCUGAAUUCAAACACACAAAGAAGUGCAAACCCAACCACAAACAUUGGAAAUUCAACAGAGAUGAAAACUCCUGACAAGGUCUUCCUGAAGGAUUAUCACAUUCUCCAUAUGAAACAGAAAAGACAAUAUAAAUAGAUAAGGAUAAAGUUUCUAUGAGUUUUGGGCAUUGCUACCUGUGUCGAAGUUGAUUUUUCUAUCAAAUUUUCCAUGUCACAAGCAGGGCACUCACAGCAUCAUCAAAGAAUAUAAUAAACUACCUAAAGAGAAGGUAAAACCAGCAGCCUGAUGACAAAAGAAAACAAAAGAUAUUUUCUGCAGUGUAAACCAAAACUUCUUCCUUCUGAAAAGGGAGGUGUUGUUGGGGAGGGUAGGAUGGGGCAAACAACAUUUUUAUUCAUAUCAUGAGAAGCUGAAUGAUAUAAAAGAACUUCUACCUCCAAGACAUUUGCUUUGUCAACAGAACAAAGUUUUCCUCGUCGCUUUUGAGCAGUCUCAAAAGCAAUGCGAGCAAUGCGAUCAAUCUGGAAUAGAAAUGUUACAUCUUUAGUAACCACUAAUGCACUAAUAUAGUAAAGCAAUUACAAAAGGACAAAAUUGAAGAAAGAUGUCUGGAAAAAAUAAAACUAGGAUUCUUAAGAGGUUCAGAACAUGCUAUUCUGCAAGUUCAAAAGUUCAAAAAAUAAAAAUAAAUCAAAAUUAAAAAUAGAACUAUAGAAGAAGAAGAAGAAUUCUCCUUGCAUAUCUUAAAUACAUACAUUUUAAUACUUGACCAUCAGUCUGGCAGAGGAAAUACUCUCUGUAACUGCUAUAGACUUGCAUUUACAAAACACCCACUAUGUUUUAAGGUCCCAUAAAAAAUUCCCCACAUGAUUAAAGAUAAAUCUACUAUUUGAAUCACUUUUUUCUUCUUCACAGACAUAUAAUUGCAGUAGUAGAUAAUUCCUCUAAUUUUGCCCAUAAGAACUUGUAUAUUCCUUAGGACAAACAUUAGGUCCAUAUCAAGCAUUUCAUAUGAAAGUCUGCUAGCAAGAGAACUUGUAUCAGAAAACUACCUCAUAAGUAGCAUAUACUUCAGUAUUAAAACCGAUCUCCUCGCCAUUUUCAUUUUUGCUAAAACCCCUUGGCUUUCCAAAAUAAAUACCUGUUCCCAACAAAGACAAUAUUAGAAUGGUAACUCACAUAAGUAAAAACCAAUGUUUAAAAAACCGGACCGGAGCAGCCGGUCCAACCGGUUCAACCGGUCACAAUUCCGGUCUGAUUUGCCCUUUGAACUGUUUAAGAAUUAAACCGGCCACGAACUGCCUAAACCGGCGGUCGGACCAGUGACCCGGUGGAACCGGACGGUUCUAAUCGAACCGAACAAUUCUAGUUGGACCACCAUUUUAAAGGCUCCCUUGUAUAAAAAGAUUUGGCAAAAGCCCAUGCUAGGCCUUGUCUCGUAAUGACAAAGCCCAUACCCCACUCAACCAUAUUUUGGGCUAAGUCUUGGCCCACCAGAUGAGGAAAUGCAUUGGCCCUCAAUAUGGAUAGCUUUUAUAGGCAUCCAUUACAUCCUCAUUUCUCUUACAAUCCGAUGUGGGAUUGCUAACCAAUCUAAUCAAUAAAAAAAAAAUAACAAGUCCCACCCAAGAAGAUUUGAACCUUGGACCCCAGAUUCUAUAGCCAUCCAAGGACACCACUCAGCUACAUAGUUUUUGUUAUCUAAUAUGCCAAACAAAAUAAUAUAUAUUAGAUUUUAAAAUUUUUUGUAAUAUUAAAUUAAAAUAAUAUAAUAUUUUUAAAAAUUAUAAAAUUAGUUUAAAUUUUCAUUUUUAAUAUAUUCACAUUUAAAUAUUUUACAUAUUUCAUUUAAUAAAAUUAAAAAUAUUAAUAUGAUUUAAUUUGAUAAUAUUAUUGAUUUUUAAUCUAUUCAUACAUAUUUUAAAUUUUUUAUAAUUAUUUUUAAUUUUAAUAAUAUAUAAAUUAUAUAUUUAUUACGUCACCGGUUCGACCGCGGUUGGACCGCCGGUCCGACCAGUAAACCGUGAACCAGUAACUUUUCCGAUUCGAUCACCUGUCUGAUUCUGAAAACAUUGGUAAAAACAAAAAAUAUAUAAAUAAAUGACUUUUAGAAGUGCUAUGACUCCGAGUGAUAUCAAUGAACACUGACCUCCCGUAAGCUCCCGUACAACCAUUAAGUCAACACCUUCAGCAACCUCUUUCUUUAAAGUUGAAGCGUCCACUAACUUAAAAUGUGAAAACAAAGAAUUACUCAUUUUUCAUAGAGACGUUUAAAUCUAAAAAGAACAAUACAUCUGUUUAUAGAUAUAUAAAAUAGUUCCAAGAGUUUCCCCAUCACAAGCCUAUUACACCUCAACACAUGUAGCAAGUUCCAUCCAUAAAUUGUUCUACAGUCUUACAAUGUUGACUAGCAGUCCCACAACUUAGUACCUUUCUCACAUUACUCUUCUAUCGAUCAUACAUGAGAAGUGUAACUUCAGCAAAUGUGGACUGUAAAGAAUGAAGUCAAAUCUUCAAUAAAAAGAGUAUCAUGUGAUUGUCAUUUCCAAUUCCAUUACUAUUUCCUCUCUCUCUCUCUCUCUCUCUCUCUCCCUCCCUCCCUCCCUCUCUCCCUCCAAUUCUAUUACUAUUUCCUGCACAUAACAAAUCCCAAAUUGAUGAAUGUUAUCAGAUCCAGGUAUCAGAUAUAAGAAAUGGCUCACUGAAAAUUAGGUCCCUAAUCAGGCACCUCUCUCUUUCUCCCCCACCAAAUAGUGAACCCCAAAUUGAUGGAUGUUAUCAGGUCUAGGUAUCAGAUAUAAGAUAUGGCUCACUGAAAAUGAGGUCCCCUAAUCAGGCACCUCUCUCUCCCCCCCAACCACAGAGUGAAACCCAAAUUGAUGGAUGUUAUCAGGUCCAGGUAUCAGAUAUAAGGAAUGGCUCACUAAAAAUUAGGUCUCUAAUCAGGCACCAAUAUCAUACAAUCUAUAAAGAGUGAAACUAAAACUUGAAAAACUAUAAACAAAAAUUGGGUUGCCAAUGAGGAACCUAAAUAUCAAACAAUUCACAAAGAAUAGCACUAGAACAUAAAAAUUCAUACUAAAUAAGCAAAAAUAAUAAAAGCAGCAUCCCUACAAUCUCCAAAAAAUGAAUAUCAUGUAUCCUAUGAUUUCCCCACAUUUUCAGAUAGCAAUAUACAGAGAAAUCCUCUAUAUUGGACCUACAAAAACUUUUCAGAAAACUUAAUAUGAAAAUAUAUGGAGUGAGCUGGGUAAAGUUCUAUUGCUGCAAGUCCUAAUAUCAAAUAAAAAAAGUAUACAAACUGAACCUAUUUGAUUGUCCAAACAUUCAGGUCACACCCUCCAAUUAGUUUAGAUGAGAUAGGUAAUCAAAUAUACAUCAAAUUUUGAGUGUCUGAAUUUUUUUGAGUUCAAAUAUGGUGAAUCUAGUGAUAAAUUGGUAGCAUGCCAUUUUAAGGCACAAGGCACAACUUCAUUCAUUAUUAGAGAGGCCUUGGUGGGAAAUGGUCUGCCAAUAUUGACUGAUGGAUACAGAAGCCAAGUCAAUCUAGCGAAGCAUGUGCAACAAGCUCAAUGUGGAUUUUGAUGAAUGGGCUGAAAGAGAAUAUUAGUAUAUAAGGUGCCAGCACUUUAAAACAACACAAAGAUUGCCUUUUACUAUAUAUUAGUUACAGAUUCAGUCAACCCCAAUGACAAUCAUGUGAAAACAUGCAGUCAAAAACUUGGAUACCAAGUCUCUACAGCCACUCAGAGACUUUCAUUCAUUGAAUACAAUUUGAUAGUAGAUAUGUUUUUUGGAAGAAAAAAAAUCCUGGGGACAGUUCUUUAAAUAAAUUUUUCAACUAACGAUUCAGAAGUUUUAUUCAUUUAUUUGUAUAAAAAUGAAACAAAGAAACAAAUGUAUAUGCAAGCCUCAAGACAAAUGGAAUUAGGGAUAUGAUUCCAGGUUUCUUGAAAAAAUAAAAGAAAUUCUGGAAACCCACCAAAUCAAAUUCCAUUCUGGAUAGAUGUGUGUGUGGAGGUGAGAGAUGGUUUUGUGUUGUUUGAAAUGCUUCAUAGGUGAAGUCUUUAUAGGUGCCCCUUAAACUAGGCAGAAAAACUUCCAGCACCACCAAGCUUAAGCUGAACAAUGAAUGCAAAAGUUGUACACCACGUGAUACCAACAUCACAUCCAGCCCAAUUGCCAUCUUGAUAGAAUAAGGCUCAACACCUGGAUUUACACACCACAAGUUAAAAAGAGCCCAAUCACAAGAGAAGAAUCAAAUGGAAAUGGCAUCCACAAUGUUUGCAACCACUACCCACGUUCAUGUAACCACAUCUUGUGUACUAGUAUAAAUACAGAAGAAUCAAAUAGACAUGGCAUCUUUUGACUGCAAUUGGUCACCUUUAUAAUUCUCAAGGCUUUGAAGCUCCUACAUCUUUGGCUCUGUCUAUGGGAUGCAAGAUGUCACAGGCGAUAGGAGCCACAGUGGAAGAAACUAGUGGAGGAGAAGACCCUUUAAGGCAUCUAGAAGACUGCUUGCAUCAAAAACAGGUCUAGUUUGAGCAAAAAAAACUGUUCAUUGAUGCAACACAACAAGCCAUUGGCCCCAAAUAAUGAAGAGUUGUGUCCUCAAUUGCAUUUGCAUUGGUCUCUCUCCCCCAUAACCACACCCUCAAUGGUAAUGAGAUCCCUUCAGGGGGAGUCUUCCUUCUAUAUCGAGGAGGAUAAAUCAAUGAACAGAACAUUUAAUUCACAAAACAGGGUUUCUUGAAAUGAGAUUGGAAGAGCUAAAGGCAUAGGUGGAUUCCCAUAAUGGAAAGACUUCCCAGCAAUUAGCAAGUUGAGUGGUUCAAGGGCUGAUCAAUCCAUUUAACUCUCAUACUUUAGAAAUAGAAGUCUGACAUUGGUUAAUCUUCCCAAAAUUCCGAGUUUAUGAUGGCAUGGGAGACCAAGUACAUCACAUAAGGCAUUUAUUCAAAUCAACCUUUGACUUUAGUGCAUGGCAAUGAUGCACUGAUAUGCAAAGCAUUUCUGUCCAAUCUGCAGGGGGCAGAACUAGCAUGAUUUCACGACUUGACGAAAUCCUCAAUCCAUUCAUUAUCAGAGAUUUUUUUUUUUUUUUUUUUGAUGGGUAAACACAGAAGAUAAUAUAUUAAUUAGAAAAAAGAAGCCAAGAGGACAAUCCAAGGCAUUCAGGAAGUAUACAGUAGACGCCAUAAGGCUAAGAAGAGCAAAAAGGAGGGAAUACAAAAAACCUCACCUGCCCUCACCUAAAGCCCAACCAAUUAAAAAAGUCAAUUAAAGAUAAAGGACCAGCAUCUAAAUACAACUUUGUCCAAGACCAUAAACUACACACAAAAGAAUUCUUCAACCUAUGUACUGAAAACUCUUCAUUGCAGAAUGUUAUCCUAUUUCUUUCCUUCCACACCACCCAAAAAAGGCAUAAAGGAGUCAACUUCCAAGCUUUUUUAUACUUCUUGCUAACAAAGGACCCAAACCAACCAAGGAGAGUCUCCCUUACCGAGCAAGGGAGAACCCAAGUCACCCCAAAGAAAGUGAAUAAUGACUCCCACAAGUGAUUAGUAGACUCUUCUUUGGCUAGACAAAAGAAACAUCUAUUAGCAAGGAUCCAGCCCCUACUUUUGAGUUGAUCCUAAAUUAAAACUUUCUCCCACAAGGCUUCCCAAGCAAAAAUAAAUAAAAAAACACUUUGGGAGGAACAUAAGGACUCCAAAUUAUUUUCCUUGGAAACUGGAUUGUACUUCCCGGCUCCACAACACCGUAAAGAGACUUAACUGUGAAAAACCCACUUUUUGUCUUUUUCCAAACCACCCUAAUCCUCCACUUUUGCACUAACUCUCUUUCCUUGAAUUGUCAUGAGCAACCGCUCCACCAAAACUACCUCCCAAUCAUUCAAAGCCCUAGACAAACAAGGACUCCAACUCCCCCCCUCAACCGAAGGGUCCCAAACCUCCGCCACCCACUCCUCUUUUGAAACCGUCAAAGCAAACAAAGAGGGGAAAGAGUUGCAUAAAGCCUCAUCAUCACACCAAGAAUCCAUCCAAAAUCUUAUUCUUUUACCAUUACCCACAGAAAACACAAUGUAGUUGCUCAAUUGAGAACCUUCCUUCCUAAUCUGCUUCCACAACCCCACGCCAAAUCCCUCUCUACCUUCCCGAGUAUACCACCCCCCUUAUUCCACUCCAUACUUCCUACUAAUGACUUGUUUCCAAAGAGCUUCCCUUUCUACCAUAAAGUGUCAACUCCAUUUACCCAAAAGAGCUCUAAUAAGUGUAGAGAGGCAUUUUACGCCCAAUCCCCCCUUACUUUUAUCUGAGCAUACAACCGCCCACUUAACAAGAUGAGUCUUCCUCUCCAAAGUCCCCCCACCCCAAAGGAAAUCUCUUUGGAUUUGCUCAAGUCCAAUAUAACUAAUCUAGGAAUACGCAAAAUUGACAUGUAGUAAAUAGGCAUGUUGGACAAAGUGCUUUGAAUGAGAGUGAGUCCCCCUCCUUUUGAUAUAUAUUGCCUCUUCCACAAAGCUAGUCUCCUCCAAAACCUCUCCUCCCCCCGUCCCAAACCGCCACUGAUUUGUGAGGUGCACCCAAAGGAAGCCCUAAAUAUGAGGAAGAGAGCAUCCCUACCUUACACCUAAGCUCAAGGGCCAACUCCUCUAGAUUAUCCACCCUCCCCACUGGUAGGAUCUCACUUUUGUCCAAAUUAAUUCUUAAACCAGAUAUGGCUUCAAACCACAUUAACACCCAGCUUAGGUGAGUUAGUUGGUCCUUAAAGGCUUCACAGAAAAUCGGUGUGUCAUUAGCAUACAGCAGAUGGGUGAGUUGAACUCCCUCACCACCUUCCCUUUCACCCUGCAGCCUGUUAAAUAGCCCCCACUAACUGCUCUCUUAAUCAAACAACUUAAGGCUUCCAUACCUGUUACAAAAAGAUAAGGUGAAAGGGGGUCCCCUUGUCUCAACCCUUGGGAGCUGUUAAAGAAUCCUGUCGAUGUGCCAUUAACCAAAACUGAGAAAGAUGUAGAAAUACACCACUUAACCCAUCCUACCCAUUUGUCUCCAAACCCUAUUUUUUGCAACACCUAGAGCAGGAAAUCCCAUUUUAAAUGGUCGUAUGCCUUCUCUAUAUCAAGUUUACACAUCACCUCGCACUCAUUGCUUUUCAGUAGAGAAUCUAUAGCCUCAUUAGCUAUUAACACUGCGUCCAGAAUUUGUCUCCCCUCAACAAAGACAUUUUGAGACGAGGAUACCACCUUACCCACCACUUUCUUCAACCUAUUAGCUAACACCUUUGCUAACAACUUGUACAGCCCUCCCACCAAACUGAUACAUCUGAAAUCUCUCAAGUCUUCAACACCUCCUUUUUUUGGUACCAACACCAAGAAAAUAGAGUUUAGACUUCUAAAAAACAUCCCAUGCUCGUGAAAUUCUCGGAAAAAACUCAUCUCCUCCUUCACCAAAUCCCAAUUGGACUACUAGAAAGCUAAGGAAUAACCAUCUGGCCUCGGAGCUUUGUCCCCGCUUAGAUCAAAAAGAGCAGAGACUACCUCUUCAACAAAGAAAGUUUCCUCUAACCUAGCUGCCUCUUCCCCUGCUAAUCUAUCAAAAACUAGGCCAUCCCAACUUGGACACCAAUCACCAGGAUCCAACAACAGGUGUUGGAAAGCACUAACAAAACCCCCCUGAAUCUCCCUCUCCUCAACUAUCCAAGUUCCAUUAAUUUUAAUCUUAGUCAAAUUACUCUUUGUAUGACAAUUCACCAUCCUGUGAAAAAAACUCGUAUUCCUGUCACCUUUCUUCAGCCACACUUCUCUAGAUUUUUGCCUCCAAGAGAUUUCCUCCAUGAGGACCCAUUUCUUAUAUUCCUCCCUUGCCUCCUUUCAGGGCUCCACCUCCUCCACCGAUAAGGCUCUAGACCUCUCCUGAAUAUCCCAGAAAUUGACCUGUUGUAAUGCCAAACUCUUGUUAACCUCCACCUUCCCAAACACCUCCUUAUUCCAAAUUUUCAAAAUACCCUUGAGAGCCUUCAACUUUGCUGUCGAAAUGAAACUGCUAGAACCCCUGAAGUUGAACCCUUGUCUCCAGUCUUUUAACAAGUCCUUAAACCCUUCCUCCUUCAACCACAUAUCUCAAAAUAAAAAGGCAUAGGACCUCUCCUCGCCCCUCCCCCAUCUAAUAGAAUAGGGUAGUGAUUAGACACCGAUCUAGAAAGAGUGCUUUGCACCACCCCACUGAACCGACUUUCCCAAUCCUCAGACACUAAGAAACGAUCCAAUCUUGACAUAGUUUGCCCAUUUAGCCCACCAUUCCAAGUAAACGGACCCCCAUGCAAUGGAAGGUCUCUCAAAGUCAAUUCAUCAUCCACCUCCAAAAAUCUUCUCAUUGCAGCAGCCAACCUCCCACCUCUACUAUGCUCGCUAGGGAACCUUGUCACAUUAAAGUCCCCUCCAAUGCACCAAGGGUCAUCCCAUAGCCCAGAUAGCCCCCAGCUCCUCCCAGAAAAGUUCUCUGCAUCUCUUCAAAAUGGGACCAUAAACCCCCGUAAAGACCCACACAAAGCCAUCCUCGUAGUUUCUAGAACAACAAGAAAUCGAGAACUAGCCCACCUCCAUGCCAGUCAACCCUAACACUCUAUUAUCCCAAAAAGCCACCACCCCUUCGAUUGUUCCCCUUGCAUUAACUGCACGCCACUCCAAAAACCUUGCCACUCCAAGACUUCACACCACUCCAAUGGACAUCUCCUGGAUCUUAGUCUCCUGAAGACAAACAAGGUCUGCCUUCUAAGCCCUAAUUAAAGCUUUAAUUACCUUCCUCUUAUAGUUGUCAUUCAGCCCUCUUAUCAGAGAUAUGUACAGCUUUUAUUUUCCAAUAUGUGCUCAUCAUGCAAGAGAAGAGAUACAAGUUCUCUUUUUAAUGUUAGGAUACUAGAAAGUGAAAGCCUGGUUCAGAUGGAAGUGUAUGACAAUAAAACUACUUCGAUAGCUUUCAAGCUAGGACUUCUAGCUACUACACUUUUUCAAGAGCCUACAUGCCAGUCUGGAGGAGGACAUUGCAGCAUCUCAACUAAAAGGUACUGGUUACCACUAACACCACGAAUAAAAAGCAGCACUCAAUGAAAUCAGAUGAGUCAACAAGCAGAAGUAAAAUGUAUAGGAUAAAUGCACAUGUCUUUCAAGAGUUAGGCAAACUUACAGAUUUCCAUUGGCCACCUCAACCAUAAGGAAAUUUGUAAAAAAGACAUACAAGUAAAUUUUAUUUUUUUUUUAAAAGUAAAAGUAUUGUAUAAAAACCACCAAAGCAAUGGAAAAAGAAAAACAAGAAAGAACACACACCCCACUCUCUAGCUGAAAGCCAAGGUCAACACACAACCUUAACGGGUUCCCACCCAACCAACAAAAUCAGCUAAGGUCGAGGGACCAUCUUUUAUAGACAAUUUCGUCUCUGACCAAAGAAAAUUUACAAACGAAUACUUAAGCCUUUGAAUGGACAGCGCUUCUUCCUCGAAGGCAAUUUUGUUCCUUGCCUUCCAAACCAUCCAAAAAAGACACAAAGGACUUGCUCUCCAAACACCCUUCCUCUUUUUUCCCACAAAAGACCCAUUCCACCCCAAAAGCAUCUCCUUAACAGUGGCUGGCAGCACCCAUUGCACCCCAAACAUAGAGAAAAGCAACGCCCAAAGAGUCAUUGUCUUUACACAGUGGAGAAGAAUGUGAUUUAUUGAUUCUUCGUGCCUUUGACAUAGGUAACAUUUGUUCGCUAAAGCCCAUCCUCUCUUUUGAAGUUGAUCCAAGAUAAGAGCCUUCCCCCAAGUUGCUUCCCACCCAAAAAAAACUCACUCUAGGCUGCAAAUAGACUUUCCAAAUGGCUGACGAAGGGAAUGGCUGACGAAGGGAAAGAGGCUAGAGGGCCUAAUACUAAUGAUUUGUAAAGAGACUUAACUGAAAACUUCCCACAUUUAGUCUCUCUCCAAAUCACCCUAUCAUCCACUGCUUGUUGAACUCUCUUCCGGUAUAAGGCCAGAAAAAAUCUACAAACCUCAUCCAACUCCCAGUCAUUAAACGGUACCAACUCCCCCCACCCUCAUUGCUACACCACACAUCUUUAACCCAAGCAUACUUGAAAACAGCCAAAGCAAAUAAGGAGGGAAAAGAAACACAAAGAGGUUUGUUCCCACACCAAAAAUCUUUCCAAAAUUUUACCCUUUGCCCAUUCCCCACAACAAAAAAUAGUCUACUUCUUACAACAUCCCAAUCCUUCCUAAGAGAUUUCCACAACACCCCCCUUGCUUCCUUAGAACACCAUCCCCCUUGUUCCUCCCCAUACUUUCCCCUAAUCACUUGAUUCCAAAAAGCCUCUCUCUCAAUAGCAAAUCUCCAACUCCACUUACACAAGAGAGCCUUAUUGAGGAUAGAAAGGCACUUUACCCCCAACCCCCAUUACUCUUAUCAAGGCAAACCAAGCUCCACCGAACAAGAUGAGGCUUCUUUUCAAGGGCCCCACCUCCCCACAAAAAAUCCCUCUAAAUCUGCUCUAACCUCAAUCUGACUUUUCUGGGCAUAAAGACCAUAGACAUAUAGUAAAUGGGCAUACUCGCCAACGUCCUCCGAAUCAACGUGAUCUUACCUCCUUUGGAAAUGUAUUGGCUCUUGCAUCUAAGUAAAUGGACAUAUAAGUAAAUAUUGCACAUAUCACUGGACUCAUGGGCAUGGUAUAGAGGACUGCACAAGUCUCAAGCACAUGGUUGAAAUCUAUUAAGAAAGGAGGCAGCUUCAGCAGUUUUGAUUCAAAGGUCAAGGUUGACUUCAAGAAUCCCACCGGCCUCAAAAGUCUCCUAACCAAUUUGUCGACAAGGAGCAGAGGAGGGUAAUUGCAAUUACACAUGGCGAUGACCCAAGAAGCAAAGUUACCAAGAUCAAACAAGUUAAUUAAGUUCGCAUGAAAGUUUGUCUUGUGGGAAUCCAUCAACCAUGUUCUAACAAAUUGAUUUUUUAGGAAGCACCCUUUGCAAUGUCAACUUUCCACACAACAAUACAUUGGUGGUCACAUUGCCAAUGGCCAACUGCAAAGUUCAAAAAAAUCCUAAUUAAUGCCUGAAGUUCAAUUAAUAUUUUGUUUAUGUCGACAUAUCAAAGGAUGGGAAUUACAGUGGAGCAGUUGAAAUCUAGCAAUAGUUUGCUUGUAGAUUUUAAUGGGGAGUCAGUGAUGGCAAGAGGGGAAGCGAUUUUUCUUGUGAUAGUUGGCCCAACAACUUUGAUGGUCAAAAUUUUGGGCGUAGAUAUCACUUUUGACCUUAUAGUGUAAUCCUGCAUGAAGUUAUAUAGAUAGCAGUGGCAGAGACAAAUAUUUCGGUUAGAGGGGCAUAUUUCAGGGCAGAGAUAAAUAUUUUCAUUAGAGAGGGCAUGUUUCAAGGCAAGGUUCAAAUAUGCAAGACAAAUAUUUUGGUUAGAGGGGGCAUAUUUCAGGGCAUGGUUGAAAUAAGCACAAUAAGGGGGCAUAUUUCAGGGUGGAGACAAAUAUUUUGGUUAGAGGGGGUAUAUUUCAAGGAAAGGUUGAAAUAUGCACAACAACAACAACAACAACAACAAUAAUAAUAAUAUGUAAGUGUUGGCAAAAGCAAAAGGCAAUAGGACUCCUUUUAGUCUAAAGCAAAAGGUGAUAUCAUAAGAAACAUUAUAUUGUUUAGAGAAAUUCAUCUUUUCUAAAUACAUAUUCUAAUUUUCCAAACAUCUAAAAAUCAAAAUAAAAAAAGAUAAACAUCCUAGAGAAGCUUUAGGCAUCAUAAACAUAGUCAUCAUUGAAAUUAAAAUUGUCAUCACUUUCAUCAAGACUAGAUUGAUAGCCCUCCAUCUCAUCAUCACUAUGAUUGAUAGUAUGAUGUUUCCUCUCAUACAAUAUUUUAAUCUAAUCUUAGAUUGAAUCAAAUUACAGUCUAAUUAUGUUUAAUGCUAACUCAUGGAUAUAAGAGGUCAUCUUGUGUACUAGUUUAUACAUAGAAGUAUCAAAUGGAAAGGGCAUCUUUCAAUUGUAAUUGGCUACUGGUUAAUACUCAAGGCUUUAAAGCUCCUACAGUCUUAAUUCUCUAAUCAUUGCUAUUGAUCAUGGUAUUUUCCAUAUGCAGCUUACCUAAGAUUGAUUUUUAAGAAAUUAAAAGAGUACGCCCCAAGUCCUCCAAACCCAUUUGGAGUUGACUGGAUCCAAUCCCACAACCAUAUUAAGUAUUGAUAUUCUCAGUUCAUACCAUAAGCCUUACAACUUGGCAUCAAUGUAUAAUAAAAACCUCGAAUUAAUGUUAUGCAUUUUUACAAACAAUUUACAGUAAAAUACAUAUCAUUUACACAUGAAGCGAAACAUCAGAGAUUGUAUUCUACUGCAUUAUAACAAACAUUACCUGUGGUAGUACAGAUGCUGGCCUCAAAUUUGCAAAGACCUUAAGACCAGAUCGUAGCUGAAGCAAUCCAGUCUCUGGCUUCAAAUGCUUUUCAUUACUGUCCCAUUUGUACCUUGACCCACCAAACAAAUACACAAAUAAGGAAUAGUCACACAUUAAAAUUUUCUGAAAAUAAAUACUAACUGAAUAGAACAAGGUUGAUGAAAAAUUCUUACCCCCCAAUGGCUCCAAGAAGAACUGCAUCAGAUUGCUUAGCCACCAAAAGGGUCUCCUCCGGUAGUGGAACUCCAGUCAAAUCCAAGGCACAUCCACCCACAGGCAUCUCUUGGAACCCAAAUUCGAUACCUAAUAUUGUUUUUUAAUUUAAAAGAAAAAUAAAUCAUCAGUAUUAAUUUUUUUCCUAGGAUUUCGAGAGAACAAAAAUGGCAGUAGCAAUAACAAAAAUAGUAAGUAAAAAUAAAAAUUCACAAGGCUACCUUCUUUUCGUUCUUUUAUUUUCUUUUGUUUUAUAUUGCUCCAUUAAAGAAAAAAAUCAAACAGAGGAAAAGUGAAUAUAAAGAUGUGUUAAAAAACAAAAGGAAAAAUCACUCAAUUCAGCGAAGCACAAACUUUUCUUUUCAUUUCCUCCAUUUUUCUCAUCAAUCAUAAGGGAGUGAAAAGAAAAUGAAGUUGGGAUUUUUUAAAAACAUUCCAUCCGAGUAAAACGAUCUCCUUUGUAUUUUCUUCCGUUUUCUCGGCAACCUACCGAAGGACAACAACAGCAGAGACGAAAAUCGAACUAAAUUAGUAUAUGGUACACAUUCCCAUUCAAUUGAUCGUAAUGCGACCUUUUGUCUUAUUUUCCAUCGUUUUCCCGGAAACCAAAUAGAGAAAAAAAAUGUGGUAAAAGAAAAGGCCAAUAAAAUCAAAUGUGUGGUAUUGAGAAAAAGGCAUGAGAUACCUUCAAGAGAGCCAGCGAGCUUGAGAACGUUCUUAGCAACAGAGAUGACUUCAGGGCCGAUGCCAUCGCCGGGAAGGAGAGUGAUGGAGUAUCGCUUUGGGGGUGUUGCGGCGGAGCAGCGGAUAGUAGCCAAUCUGAUAGAAGAGGGUUUGGAGAGUGAUUUUGAUUGAAAGUGAGGUUUGAAUGGCCUCGCGCUCAGUUGCAGAGAAGCCGCCAUUGGCGUAGUCUGUACCUUCUUCUGCCCUACACUCAACAAAAACGUUACAAGCCAGCAACUAAAAGGAGAAGUCUAUGGUACCCACGCGGCAGUACCGAACUUUGAUUUAUUACCGUUGGAUUUGUAGAUUUAAUCAUGACCAUCCAUUCAUUUGAAUUUGAAAAUGAAAAAGGAAAGAACUUGCUUACGGCGGAACCGGUUUCUCAUCAGGGUUCCUUCAGCAACAACACUGGAGGGAUUGUCAACCAUGACUCCGACGGAUUAUACCUCCUUAAUUUCGCCGAAGAAAUCAUCACCGGUUAGAAAAUCUUCGUCAUCAAGCCUGACCAGCGGGCACUCCCUAAACCAUUCUUUUUUUUUCUUUUUUCUUUUUUACAUGAUAAAAAUUUUAAUUUAAAAGAAGCUAAAUUUUCCGAUAAAAUUAUUUAAUAAUAAAAAUAUUUAUUUAUAAAAUGGAUAAAUAUGAAAUCAAAAGGUUACAUGACUUUUAAAAGAAAUUUAUUAAAUUUGAAGGUCGUAAAUCAAUUAAAAUAAAUAUUUUAUAAUUUUGAUUUUGUUGUAUUAAAUAUUUAAUAAUAAAAUGUUUUAAUUUAAAAGCACUUUUAACAAUACAAUAUUCAUAUUUUGGACUCAUCGCUACUACCAUCAUGGGAAAAUGACCACUUACGAACUACAUUUGUGAAAAAGUUUUAUUACUUUUAAGUACUAUCAAUUCUUCACAUGUCUUAUUUUACUAAAAAAUAUAAUGAUACGAAUUAAGUUGAGACGUUGUAGGCCCUUUCAAAGACCAAUGGUUUUCUAUUUUGGUUUGGGACCACCUGAGAGAGUUUUUUUUCCCAUUUUUUGAAGUGAAGAGGGGGACCCCUUUUCUGCUAGGAAGAAGCUGCAUUGGACGUGUAGCGGCAAAGGGGGAUGGCCGGCCAUGAGGGUGGUUGAAGAUGCCAUGCUUGUUGAUGGAGGAAUAGUAGAGCUAGUAAUGGCUUGUUGCGGAAGAUAGAAACAGGGGAGGAGCUAGAUAUCUGUUGGAAGUUUGCUGGUGAAGACGGAGAGCAGGGGUUUCAGGAAGACAGGAAGGAGUUUUGAACUGAGGGAAAAAGGGUCUUUACAGAGGAAACGAAGAGCAAAAGAAGGUGGGGUCCCAGAUCAUCAGGUAAGGCCACCUUGAGCUUGAAUGGUUUCACUUUCUGGAUGCACUGUUUCAUUUCUCUGUUGAUUUCUGAGCAUCGUUUGUUGUUGGUUUUGGUUGAACAUAUUUGUUUGCAUGUAAUGCUCUGUUUUUGUCUUCCUGGAUACUCUUUGUUUUUCCCCUGUAAAUGGUUGGUUCUUUUUUGAGUUGAUGGUGGAUGCAUUUGAGAGGGUUGUGUACUGUAGUCCAGAUGAUUACCUUGAUGCGAAUGGAGCUGCUGAUCUUUGUGUGGACCUAAGCAGCAGGGAAGCCAUAGCAUCCGUGUAUGGUUAUUAGAUGAAAAAAGGAAGCGGAAACGUGGAUCACUAGUUAAGGUUCUCCAAGGACAUCACCCAAGGAAAGCUCAACUGAUUCCAAAACUUGUUCUGCGUAAGAGAAGAUCAUUCAGCGGACGGGCAAGCAAAUUUGGAAGAGGCAGCCAACUUCAUUGCCCAGGUUGUCAUCAUGUGCUGCCUGGGUCAGAUCGGAAAUGGCCAGGUUCACGUUCUUGGCUGCUAUUCCUUACCCCACCUUUCCUAAUCCCCAUACCCGUUUCCUGCUUGCAUGCACAGGAGCCAUGCGUGCAUGGCCGCCCCCCACUCCCUUCACAUCUUUCUCCAUCAUUCCCAUUUCUCAUUCGCAUGCUUUCUCUUUCUACACCACAUGCCAUCUUCAACCCGUUUUCUUCACUCACUAAACCCAUAAGAUCUUGCCACUCUUCAUCUCUCAUUCCAUUUAUGCCAAUCUAUGUUUUUCAUUUCUCGAUACCUAUUCCACUAACUUCCCAACAUCCAUGCCAUUCAUGAAUAACACCACUGAACCCAUGUUUCUCUCACUAACCCGUUUGCCAUAUCCAUUAACCCACCCAUUUCAUACCCUCUUACCUACACCGUUCUCACUUCCAUUCCCUACUCAUCUCAAUACCCAUUAACCCAUUCCACCAAUGGAAACUCCAUGCGCAUGCUACCACGUGAGAAUGGUGGAUAGGUAAGAAGGUGGCUGCGUUGUGGAGUGGAGUUUUUUUUUUUUUUUUUUCAUGAAGAAAAAUAUGUUUGUGGUGCUCUCGGGAAGUGCAUGGUGGGUUUGUUUGAGACUUGCAUGAAAAGUGGGUUUUGGGUGGCAUUAUUGUAAUAUGGGGGAUAGUAGUCUUGUGGCAUUCUUUAGUAUAUUGGCAAGAUAGGGAAUGGGUUGAUUUCCACUUUGGACACGUGGAGAAGUCUUGCAAAUGAAGAUCAUCACAAGCCUUUUCUUUCGCUAUUUCUUUAUAUUUUGAUAUUAGGACAAUUUUCUAACAUUUCAAUUUCCGAAAUUUAGUUUUUUUUUUUUUCGAAAUGCCAUUCUCAAAAUGAUUUUCCAAGACCCCGAUUUUUGAAAUUUAAUCUUCUGAAAUUCUUUUCUCAAAAUUCACAUUUAAAAAAAAAUAAAUAAAUAAAAUAAUUUCUCAAAAUCCUAAUUUUCCAAUAUUUUUAUUUUUAUUUAUUUAUUUAUUUUAUUAUUAUUAUUAUGAUAUUUAUUUAUUCAUUCAUUUAUUUUUAAAUUCCAUUCUCAGAAUAAUUUUUCAAAAUUUCUUUUUUUUAAUUAAUUUAAUUUUUCAAAAUACCGUUCUCAAAUAAUCUUUCAAGAUUCUAUCUUCCAAAUUUAAUUUUCAAUCUCAAAAAUUCCACUAUUCACAUUCAUUUAUUUAAAUAUUAUUCUCGUCAUUAUUAUUAUUAUUUCAUAUUUAUUUAUUUAUUUCUUUUAAAAAUUCUAAAUUAUUAAAGUUCAAUUCUUCAAAAAAAUCUGACUUCCAAAUUUAAUUUUCAAUCAAAAUUUUUUUUUCACUAUUCACAUUCAUUCGUUUAAAUAUUAUUUUCGUUAUUAUUAUUAUUAUUCCAUAUUUAUUUAUUUAUUUCUCUUAAAAAUUCCAAAUCAUUAAAUUUCAAUUCUUCAAAAAAAUCUAACUUCCAAAUUUAAUUUUCAAUCUAAAUUUUUUUUCACUAUUCACGCUCAUUCGUUUAAAUAUUAUUUUUGUUAUUAUUAUUAUUAUUCCAUAUUUAUUUAUUUAUUUCUCUUAAAAAUUCCAAAUAAUUAAAGUUCAAUUUUUCAAAAAAGAAUAUGACUUUCAAAUUUAAUUUUCAAUCUAAAUUUUUUUUCAUUAUUCACGUUCAUUCGUUUAAAUAUUAUUUUCGGUAUUAUUAUUAUUAUUAUUCCAUAUUUGUUUAUUUAUUUCUCUUAAAAAUUCCAAAUCAUUAAAGUUCAAUUUUUCAAAAUUCCGUCUUCUAAAUUUAAUUUUCAAUCUAAAUUUUUUUUUCAUUAUUCACGUUCAUUCGUUUAAAUAUUAUUUUCGUUAUUAUUAUUAUUAUUCCAUAUUUGUUUAUUUAUUUCUCUUAAAAAUUCCAAUCAUUAAAGUUCAAUUUUUCAAAAUUCCGUUUUCCAAAUUUAAUUUUCAAUCUAAAAUUUUUUACUAUUCACGUUCAUUCGCUUAAGUAUUAUUUCCGUUAUUAUUAUUAUUAUUUCAUUCAUUUAUUUAUUUACUUAUUCAUUUAUUUAAAAUUUCGUCUUUAAAUAAUUCUUCAAAAUUCCGAUUUCCAAAUUUAAUUAUCUGAAAUUCCAAUUUUCUUAUCUCCGAACUUAAUUUUCAAUUUCCAAUAUUCCAAUUCUCACAUUUAUUAAGUUACUCAUUUAUUAUUAUCAUUUCUAAAAAUUCCGCCUUCGAACGAUUUCCAAGAUUUCCAAUUUUUAUAAUUCAACUUUCAUAGUUCUAAACUUUUAAAUAAUUUUCAAAAUCCCAAUUUCUUUCAAACUUAAUUUCUAAAAUUCUCAUUCUUACAUUUAAUUCCUAAAAAUCCAAUUUUCAAAUAAUCUCUAAGACUCCGAUUUUCAAACGAAUUUCAAAAAUCCAGUUUUCCUUUGAACAAUCUUAAUUUUUGUUUGGUGAUGCAUGUGAUAUGUUUCGUGCUCUAUAUUGUGCACUAACUCCAUUUUUAUGAUAGCGCAUUGCUCGUUCGUGGCCCAGGUAUGCAUCCACUCCUAUUCUGGUCAUUCUCUAUGCAUGUUUUGAUUCUCAUAUGUGCAUAAUCAAUUUGAGUAUCCAUUGAUUUUCCUAUUGAUUGCCACGUCAGCUUCAUUUUAUUAGUAGAGACCCGAUUUUUAGGGACUUAAAGGGGUGCCACAGCCUUUUGCCGUACCUUCCCGAUGAGAAACCUGACCCCCAAGCCCGAUCCGGUUUUUCAUAAACCACCUUUUCCAAAAUAAGGAGUCGCACUUAGGGUUUUCUUUCUUAUUUUGUUUACCCUUUUAAAAAUAAAACAAAAAUAAGUGGCGACUCCAAGUCAUUUUCUAAUAAAUAAAAUCAUUUUCAAAAUAAAAAUCGAGCUUGCCAUUAAGUGGAAAGCGCAUGAGCCGAAAUGCAGGGUCCACAGACGUAUACAUUUUUUAAAUUUCAAUAUACAUGACAAGGAUUUAUCAAGUUUUCCGGUUGAAAGACCUACUUGGGCACAUCUACAAGACACUAAGUAAACAAGCAUAGCUAUUUUAAUCAAAUAUAAUGUGUUUAAGACAACAUUUCUAUUUAUUAAGUGAAAAUUUUCUUGUUUUCUAUGUUAGAUGGGGUUGUAGAAUACAUUUUGUCAAUCACAUGCAAAGAUCAAAGUAUAUGGAGUCAAAUUCAAUCUUCAUUCAUGAGGAGUCUACACUCACAAGGUACAAGUUGGUAAUUGAAUUAGUGUUUGAUAAUGAAAAUAGUGAGAAAGUCAUAAUAUUAAAUAAAAUUCAUAUUCAUGCAAAAACAAAAAAAACAAAAGAAAAAAAGUAUAGAAUACAAUCAAGAGUUUAUUUUUUAUCUAUAUGAUGAGCAAAUGCAGUCAUUGAUUUUAUAUAUCAUAGUACUACCCAUUGGUUCUCAUAUGAAGAACUUGAUCCUAAAAAUCCAGAUGUAAAGUGGUUCAUGUUAACCUAUAUUGAAAAUAUUUAUAGUUAUACAUAAUAUUUUGAAAGGAAAAUCAUAAGACUAAGUACUAAAUACUUAGAAACUUUACUCAAUAUAUGGAUAAAUGACAUAUGGCAUAGGCAAGUUAUGCUAUGACUCUUACUUGGUUUAUAAAGUAAUUUGGUGAAUGUAACCCGAGCCAUCCAUAAUAUAAGCUUAUUUCUAGACCAUUAUAGAAUGUAUCAAUCAUUUCUAAUAAUAUGAUUUAUUUUUUGAAUUACUCUCAUAAAUAAUAUUUUACAUGUCUUAAUAAAACUUAUAAAAAAAUUACAUUUUGAGAAAACUCAUUUAUCUCAUGUCUUGUUCAACUUCUAUGUUGUGAUUUAGUAAUGAAGACAUGUCCUUUAUAUUAACAUCAUAAAAUUCAAAAUAUUUUCAAUCAACUUAUCAAUUGAAAAUAAUUGUAAAGUGAAUAAUGAAUGAAUUCAAUGAGGAGUUUGACCAUACAUUUUCCUCAUUGGAAUCUUCAAUGUGGAUCUUUGCAUUGUGAGUGUUAUUGAACUCUGGACAUUUUUGAAUAGUGAGUCCUACUUUCUUACAUUUUCCACAGUGCCUUGGUUUCUAAAAUUUGUCUUUUAAGAUACCUUGAUUACCAUUGGUCUUCACAAUGUUAGGAUCUCUUAAACAUGGUAACUUGUAGCUUUUUAAUUUUCCCAUGCAACUUAUUUGACUAAAUUUUUACAAAGUUCUUUUAUUUGACAAGUGAACCUUUAAAUUUCACAUCUAACGUCUUUAAAAACUUUUUUUGAUUGAGAUGCAAAAUAAGAUAUAUGUGAGCACAUAAAUCUAUGUGCACCAUAUCAUAUAAUAUUAGCCACAUCACCCUGACUUUCAUUGCCAUGUUCAACUUGGACCAUUUCCUUUGCUAACUUAGACCACCUUUUCAUAAUAUAACUUCAAUUAUUUCUUUAAGGUGUUCUAUCUUCAUUACAACAAUCAUGUGGGGACAUGAAAAACCAACUAACACAAACAACAUAUAAGUACAUUUCUUAGACCAAUCACCAUUACCAUAGCAUACUUUUCAAAACUUGUCCAAGACUUCUAAAUUUGGUCAAUGCAUGGACAUGAUAAUCUUCAUGAUUUUCUAUACUAAGAGGGAAAAAAAACUUCAUCUCACCCCUAAAUUUGAGAAAAAAAAUUGUCAUGUGAAAACAAUCCUCGCAUGUUUCUUAAUUGCAUAAAGUUUGGUUUUUAUAACAUAUGAAGAAUGUUGUGUCUCAAACUUUGCAUUAUCCUGAUUAAUUAUGAUGAAUACAUGAGAGUACUCUAUUAAAAUGCUUCAUAAACUCAAACAGCUUCAAAUGAGUUUUAUAGAAAUGAUUCAAGUAUGCAUUCAUGCUUUCACACCUUUGUGUUCUUCUCAUACCUGCAAAAAAUGUCUCCUUAAAUAAGCCUUUAACCAUCUGGAAUACUUAGCAUAUAUGUUUGUCACCCACUUAUGUCUAUGAAGAUUCUACAUUUCCACUAUGUUACUCCAUGCACAUUCAAAUUCUUCAACGAUGCAUUCCAUAAACAUGCACCUAGAAAGCUUAUUAGUUAAGUCUUUGACAUAGACAUUAGUGAAUGCAUUACAUUGAAUAUUUCAAGCACAUAAUUGAUGACAAGACUCUAGAAAUAUUCUCUUAAUAGCUUAAGGCAUUCCUUUGUCCUCAUUGGUAAUAAUGAAAAAAUGCUUCUUGUUAUUCAUUACAUUUAGAUGUCUCCGAAACUCAUGUAUAAGUGUUAACACUCUCAUCUACCAAUAAUGCACAUCCAAUCACUAGAGUUUGAUGGUGAUGGUUAAUGCCAACUAGUAUAACCAACAAUUUUCUAUAAGCAUUAGUUUGAUAAGAGUUAAACCAUUUUCCAUAUUCCAUUUUCCAUACAUCUUCAAGUGUUAAACCAUUUAAAAUCUUCUAUGAAACUAGCAUGGACUCUUCGUCAAACUCAAUAUUCGCAUUGCCAUUAUAUUGGUAAUCAAAAUCUUCAUUGUUCAAAUCGAUAAUGAAUUCCUUUACUUUGCCUUUGCCCAUCAUAUCCAUGAAGGAAUUCAAAUAUAAAAGAAAGAGUAGUUAGAAUAUUACAUUAUUUAAUCAUACUAGUUAUCAAUUUGGUAUUUAAACAAUUCAAUAUUUUUAUAUCAUUUUUUUUUUAGUAUUUAAGAAUUAUAAAACAACAUUUAUUGCUUGUGAGAGAAGAAGAUACAACGAAAGUGAAGAAAGAUACAAAAAAAUAAGGGAAAUGAUGUUAAAAAUAUAAAAAAUGGUAUGAAUAAUGUGAAGAAAGAUUCAUCGUUCAUACCUUAUUUCACAUUCUUCGUACAUUUUCUCAUAUUUUUCAUACCUUGUCUCACAUUAUUUGUACAUUCUUUCGCAUUCUUCAUAUCAUGUCUCACAUUAUUUUCUCUUGAUUAAGUUUUUCCUAUUAUCUAUCUGCACUUGUCAAUAAUUAAAAAUUAUAAUUCAAGUUUAAUUAUCUUCCUUGAAUAUUUAAUUUAAACUUAAUUAUCUUUAGUUUUUUCAAAUACCAACUUAUUUUGGCCUUUUUAACCAAAUAACCCAUUUUAUUUUUACCUUACACUAUCAAAGAAACAUGUUUUUAACAAAAACGUUGAUUAAAAAAAAAGGGUAAGGAAGUACUUAGGUGUGAAACCCAAAUAUAUAUAUAUAUAUAUAUAUAUAUAUAUAUAUAUAUAUAUAUAUAUAUAUAUAUAAAACAAAACAAAACAAAACAAAACAUAAAAAAAGGGAAAAUGGAAGAAAGAAACAAAUAAAUAAAUAUCUAAUUAUUAUGAUUAUAAAUCAUUAAUAAUUGAAGAAAAAUAAUUGGUAACUCCAUGAUGUUUGUUUUUUAUUUAUUUAAUUCUAAAUAUAACUUAAAAUUGAAUAUUAUUUAAUAGUGUUAAAUAUUAAAUUUUUAUUUUUAUAAUAUUUUAUUUUAAUUAAUUAUUAAAAAGUACAUAAAAUCAACAUGUUACUUUUUUCAUUUAAAAAAAAAAGAGAAUUGUGUUUUGGGCCUAAAAAUUAACAUUUAGUCUAUAGAUGUUACAAAAUUAAUAGAAAGGCUAUGAGAUAUUAACUGACCAAUAUACCCUUCAAUAUUUCCAAGUCAGAUGGUUGUAAAUUAAAAUGGGUUUCACAGGUGUUAAACUUGAAAUGCCAUGUCACCUGACUAAAAAAUCUGAAAUAAAGGGCAAAAAGGGUCAUCACCCUCCUAACUCUUUCUCUCCUUUCGUAAACACCAUGCUCAAAGAUGAUGCCAAUUGUGAAUGUCCCCCAAUCGGUUUCUUUAGUAGUCGAGGAUUGUGAGUAACUCAGAAAAGCCUUUGCAUGUAUUUGAUCAUCAUCAUUCCCAAAUCGAAAUGACGGUGGGUGUGGAUUAUUUUUUCUCACAUUUUGAUUUGAUCAUGUGGGUUCAUUUGAUGAUGUGGUGGAUGUUUGUUUACUGGAUCAGUACAAGAUUUGAGGAAAGACAUUUGUUUUGAUGGGGUGUUCUUAAAAAAUUUUGAACUUAAUAAUAGAGUGUUUUUGGGUGCAGGGUGGGGUAUAAAUGAGACUUUGAUCAUAUCCAUCUUGGCUUAUCGGAAUGAAGCACAACCUAAGUAAAUUGAAGAAACUUAUAGUUAAUCUUUUGGAAAAAAAUCUCCUAAAAAAUGGCAUUUCACCUGUUUGAAAAUUCUUCACUUUAUAAUUUGGUUGUUGGGUUUAUAGUCUAGAGAAUAAAUGGGUAUGGUGCAGACGGUGAGUUGUGGGGAUUAGUUAGUGCAUUUAUGAUGAAUAGGAAACUAAAUUGAGUUUCAUUUUCCCCCUUUUCACUAAGCCAUGACAUUGGGAAGUGGUUAACCCGCCCAUAUGCACUCAUUAAGUUGUAGCUAGGUCGAAUUCCUACAACUGUACAAGGCAUUUACACCAAGUGUACAAGGCCAAUGUACCAAAUGUACAAGGGAGUAUAUCUUAAGGGUUUUCAAGUGAUUUUGAAGAACUUACUCAUUUACUUUUUCUGAUCAUGGGGGACAUUCCUCACAUAUAUUGCUUGACAACACACUCAUUGCAUGCAUUUUAUUUGAUGUCUACCAUGUUAAUUCAUUCUAUUAGCUCUCCUACUAAUGAUGUAUGUGAACCGAAACGAGGGUUAACUUUUUCCUCAUUUUCCCUUAUCCAUGAGAAUAGAACCAUUGUUUACCCACCCAUAUGCACUUGUUAGGUUGUCCCUAUGUUGGAUUUCGUUACUGUACAAAGCAUUUAUAGUAAGUGUAUAAUGCAAAUGUGCUAACUGUACAAGUGUGUACAAGGCUACCUAUCUUGAAGGAUUUCAAUUUUUUUUUUCAAAAAAUUGCUUGCUCAUUUUUUUUUCAUAGGAGGACAUUCCUCAUGGUCAUUCCUCAUUUCCCUUCGUACACAUUCAUUGGAAUGUGCUAGCACACUUAUGAUGAAUAGGAACUUAAAUUGGGUUUCAUUUUUCCCCUUUUCACUCAGUCAUUUCAUUGGAAUGUGGUUAACCCGCCCAUAUACACUCAUUCAGUUGUAUCUAUGUCAGAUUUCUCCAACUGUACAAGGUAUUUACACCAAGUGUACAAGGUCAAUGUACUAAAUGUACAAGGGUGUGUAUCUUAAGGUAUUUCAAGUGAUUUUAAAGAACUUAGUCAUUUACUUUUUCCAAUUGUGGGGGACAUUCCUCACACAUAUUGCUUGACAACAUACCAUUGCGGCAUCACCUAAUGGUAGAUGUAGCUUAUGUUCCUAAAAGUUAAAAGAGACAUCAUUUAUUGGAUCAUAAUUAGUAGAGCAACCUUACAAAAAUAUCUGUAUGACUGGAUCUUUUUGUCAUACAAUCUUUGGUGAUUUUGAGAUCUGUUAAGAGUGUGCAUACAGAUGGUUUAAAAUUUCCUUUUUUUUUUUUUAUAGGAGCAAAUAGUUUAAAACUCAUCCAACCAUAUUAGUUUUGGUGACAUGUGAUCAUUUGGGACGUACUGGUUAGUGUGUCUGAGUUAUUAGAAAGUUAUGUCAUAUGCUUAUUGGCAAUUCAAUAAUGGAGCAAUGAUGUCAUGUUUUACCAUGCCUCAUUGAGCGUUGAAUUUUACAUAGCCUCCAAAAUUAAGUUCUUGUAGUUGUAAAGUUUCCAAUAGUUUCUACAUAACCAUGCAUGCCUUCAUGAAGUUCCUAGAGUUUACACCUGCAAAGGCAAUGGUUUGUGUGUAACUUAGUGUGCUGUUGUUCAACUUGUGCCUAGAAUCAUAGAUUUUAAAAUAAGUUGUUUGUAGGUUUAGCAUAUCACCUUGAUGCUUUGGUUGGUUAUUUCUAGAUUGAUGGUUAGACCAAGCUUGGUUUACAAGCUAGACCAUAUUGUAGCAUCGCACCAUGCCCAAAUUGUCUUAAUUGAGCUUAUUUAAGGGUGGUAUAAAGUACUGAAAACUUCCAAAACAUUGUAAUGUACCUUUGAUUAAUUAAAACUAUAUUCUUUCAAACCUCCCUUCUUCCUAUGUUCAUCCUCCUUAGCUUCCAUGUUACGUAAUGUUGCCUAGCAUGACAAACUAAUUUUGAGUGAUUUGGUAACUUCAAAAUGCCUUGAUUUAUCUAAGUGCUAUAUGUGUGCUUAAAAAAGGCCAAGAAAACACCCAAGUUGUGACAGUAGGCCAUAUUAAUUUAUUAUGACUAAGUUAUUCCUACAGUUUCAAGGCACCUUGGAGGAUGUGAGACUGACAUUACCUUCUUUGUUUUGUUCCCUUUCAGAUUGAAAUUUUGCUUGGAAAGACGGAGAACUUUGAUGAGUUGAUGGCUACUGCAGCAGAGGAAAGGGAAAUUGGAGACUACAAGGAACAAAACUAAAUUAAGAUGUUCUGAUCAUACUUGUUUUAAGAGUUUUUAAUUAAAGAUUAAAAAAACAGUAUCAAUUGAUAUAAAAAAUUCAGAAUGUUUUUUUCAUUAUUACCAUAGCUUCAGUCUUCACAUUUGCAUUAUUAAUAAAGCUUCAGUCCCACAUAAUGGACAUGUUGAUCGAUUACUUGCUGUAUUUAGAAUCUUGAAAAUUUAUCUGAAUGCAUUCUAUAACCAUACUAUAACUGGAUAUAAUUGGAAGGACCCCUUCCAUAUACGAUUGUAUAAUUGAAGUAACUCGUAGCCACCGUGUGAGGGUAGUGAUAACUUUGGAAUGGUGCCUUGUAUUAACCCCUUCAUUGGCCCUGCGUUAGGCCCUUCUGACAUGGAUCCAAGGCCAAUCAUGUCCCAACCAUAGAACUGGUCUGAUCCUAGUACUGUGCAUACGCUGCUGCCCACAACCAAAAAAAUAAAUAGUCAUUUUUAGUUCUUAUUUCUACGUCAUCACAACCAUGGUAAAUCAAUCAUCACUUCAUGAGGCAAGACCACAUUCUAACAAUUUGUAACAAAAGCAUGUAAUAAAUUAUUUCAUAGCAUCUGUCUUACAUGGAAUGAUUAUAACUUAAAAAGCCAUCUCAUUUCAAUAGCCAUUGACCUUCAUCACAUUUUUCAAUUACUAGUUCAUUAUUUAACCCUAUAAAAUGCAAAACCAAAGGCAUAAAAUACUUACUCAAUCGGACAACGACCGAAACUCGACCGGCUGUCAACAGGGAAAUAGGGCACUCCAACCGAGAAGAGGAAGCUACUGGAUGAGAGAGGGGGUUUGUGGCACAUUCCUCGACCGAAACUCGACCGGUCAAGGGUAACCGGUCGAGCUGAUUGCUCAUAUUAUGUGUGACAUGGCAAGUAUAAUAUACUUAAAAUGCGUUGCAAUCAAUUUAAACCUAAUUACGGACUGCAACGUAAACACUCACUCAUUUGGCUGGCAUGGUACGUCUGGCAUGACAAAACAGAACAUCUUGAAGUCUACAUCCACCAUUUCUUUCUUGUAGGCAACAAGCCAUAGAACAACCUUCACCUUAAACAAUCAAACAAAGUACAUUCAAACUUCCCAUCUUAUGUACAAUGCAACAAAGAUUACGGAACUACAAGCUACUUUACCAAAUUUUGUUGUAUUCCACUCAUACAGCUCUUUUUCCUUCCAAGUUAAGAAUUCAAGAGUUGGAUUCUUUUGUUAUGCAAGUCAUACACAUAAAGCGUCCAAUGGUUUUUGACAAGAACUGGUAAGUAGACCUACAUGAUGCCACUUACAAUGGAUUACAAUAUAUAUUGGGUCAAUGAGAUUAGAAGUGUACAAACAUAAAACAAUGCAUUUCAGCUCACCUCAUUAACAUUCUGAUAUGAAACAUCUAAGGAAUACAAAUAUGGCUCAAAACGGGCAAUUACUGCGUCGUGUGUCAAAUGUUUAGCGUUGGAGCGCAUGACCAUUUCCUGCAUAUCAUAUGCAAAAAUUUAAAGCUUUAAAAGAUAUCUAAACUUGUGGAUAUGUUAUAACAACAAAUCAUUCAAAUGUAGUGUCCAUAAUCAUUACAGCUAUGUAUGGCGAAAGAAACAGUUUGGUCCUUGAUACAUCGUCGAAUUGCAACAUUCUACAAUAUGCAUCCACAACCUAAGACAAGAAAUGAUUAAUAUGUAAGCAAUAUUCAGAUUGACUAAUGACAAGAUGUUACAUGAAUAUUAAACUAAAAAUAAUGCAAACUAAUGGAGAAAUUGAUAUAUUAACAUCAUUGUCAAUCCAAUUGUCUCCUUGGAAAGAGGCGAGGUUGCCUCUGCUUAAACUCGUGUCAUGCAUUGAAACAAGUUCCUCGCUGUCAACAAAACCAUAUAUGUUAGGGUAAUACCAAUUUUUGCAGGUUCAUACAUUUGAAAAUGGAGUAUUAUAUGCUUUAACAUACCUCGGGUCUAAGUCCCCAUCAAAUACAAUUGCAGUUGCUUGUUUCAUGUCCAUCUUGAUGGCAGACUGUCGGGUUUGUGGCUACACUAUGAAUGAUGACAACAGAUUAGGAGCCAUCCGACGCACUCUUCGUCGCCUCCCACUCCUAUCAAAUGGGGCCACAAUCAUAGAACGCAAAGGAAAGUGGUCAUAGACGAGUACUUUUUCAUCAGCUGUUAGUUUGGAGUAACAAUAGAUUAGUUAAAUGAAUGGCAAUAUAAUAUGAGUUAUUAUGUACGCAUUGAUGCAGUAAUGAAUGUCUCCCAAAAUGUUACCAAUAACUGUUGGAUGCCGAAUUGGAGUGUCUGGUGCAUCUUCAGUGCCAUGGCAUGCCAUGUUAUCUCGGGCAUAGUGUGAAUGUUGUUCGAGCUGGGGAAAGUCAUCGGCUGCAUUGCCUGAGUGACCAACUAUAGGCAAAGGUACACUUCUUUCUCUUUGGGCUUCCAAUCUAUGCAUCAGACCACACAUGAUGCCAAGCUGCUAUUGAAUGCCCUUUUGAUAUGCAUUUAUUACGUGUUUUGCUGCAUAGUACUUCUCCAAUAUUUCCUGUGACAUGUUAACGAAUUUCCAGAAGAUAAAUUACUCUAAAACUAUUCAAGAAAAUAUUUUAUAACCAAUGAUUUACAAUAUUCCAAUAAGUAAACCUAAUUCUAAUGGCAUUCAGACGUAUUUAAUUCGUAAAGUAACAAACAGUAUGCGUACAUGACUACUUGUCAAGCCACUCUCAGCCUCCACAUGUGUACGGGGCGGUGAUGAAUCAUCAAACCCCUACAGUUGAGAACAUGACGCUUGUUAAGAACACAUAAACCUUGAAGGUAUUCAAUUUGCAUGUCAUCAAAUUACAUAACAAACUGCAUGUAGACUAAAUGACUACCUCGCCAUGCCCAAAACUACCAAAUUCACUGAUCUUAGCAGCUAAGCGCUCCUUUAUCAACUCAUCUGACCAUACGGAGAGGAGGGCACUGUCAUGGGAACAUGAAUGAAAAGAAUCUUGAAUUUAAUUACGUAAUGGAGCUGCACCAUGGAAAUAAACAUAUGUGCAUUCGUUACUUACUGCUAGUGAUGUUAACAAUUAAAAAGUGACCAAGUAAUGAAUGUAAAAAAAAAAGCAAUACCUGGAGAAAAAGGAUGCAACCAUGUACCCAGACACUGUUUCGUUGCUUAAAUCGUCUUAUACCCUCAACAAGCUGGUCAACAACAAAUUGGCCCCAAUUAACAUCGUUUUUGAAACCAUAUUCAUGGAUGGUAUGCCACAAAUUUCGGCAUCCAUCUAUCGUUGAGGUGGGCGCCAAUAUCGUCGCACAUGCGUAGUCAAGGAAGCAUCUACAUAACUCUUGCCCGACAGGUAAGUUGAGGAGUCUAUCCUCACAUGUGUUGAGUGUACCGAAUAGAUAAUCAGAUGGGGUUGAUGCAAUUUGUAGAAUCCAUCCGGUUGUCGGGAGGCCAAAGACAAGGCUCACAUUAGCAGCUGUCAGAUCAUAGCUUUUGUCGGAUGAUGUCUAUGGGUCUGAAGCCAACGUUAAAAUGGUCGAUCAGCCAUAGACAUAUAUUAUGUCGUAUCUCCUUGCAAUUUAAGUUUAAAAGAGCUCCAAGCUAAAGGUCUCGAACCACUUCCAAUUUCUCAAUUGGGAGCCUGUUGCAUAGUUUUAGGAAUUUUGAAGAUAAACAACGUGUGAACAAUCUGGUGGCCUGCAUUAAAAUUGUUGGAGAUCAUUAGUAUCUUACACAUGAAUUUUAGUAAUUAAAAAAAAAUAAAAAAACCAAUAUGAAUACAUAAACGUGGUAAAAAAAAAGCAAUACAAUUGAAUUAACUAACAAACAAAUUAAUGUGGAGGAAUAAUUUACUAGUGGAUGUUUAUGUAGAAUCUUUAACACCCAAAACAAGUAACUGCCUUAAGUAGGUUAAAAUAUCAAGUUCCCAAAAUAAGUGAUGAAAAUUAAAAAACAAGAAAGAAUGCAUUACCUCCGUAGUGGCCAUUGAAUAAUGAAAUUAUUGUUGUAAGCUUGAACCUUGGAAAAAUCGAUAACUUCAAAUGGGUGCUAUAGUAGUUAUCGCUCACCUGGAGAAACAAAUAAUAAAGGGAAAGGUAAUUUGACUAUUCGUACCAUUAAUCGGUUGGAUAAAUUUGGUAAUGGUAUACCAUAUUCAGAUUUAUAAGGUAAAAAUAAAUGAAAUAAAUAACAAUAUGGCAAUUUAGGAAAGCGCUUACAGUUUGGAAGCAAACAUGUGUAUGAACUACUAUCCUACCGACAACUGACCAUAUAAAUUACUAGAUAAUAACUGGAAUGGUUACAAAGUGCGUAACAAGUAUAUCUCAUUGAAAGACAAUUUUCAUUACGUGUUAGGAAUUCAUGACACAUUCAAAUAAGUGCAACCAGAACAUGAUGCGAUAAGAAGCAAAAACAAAAAAGUGGAAAUAACAAAGGGGAAGUUUCCCUUUAUUGAAAAAAAAACAAAAAUUGUGAACCCCAAUAAGUGAAUAUAUUAAUAAUAAACCGUCAUCCUCAUUUAGGCUCCAAACAAGAAAUGCUUGAUAAUGUAGACACACUGAUGAAAUUAAAUAACAAGUGAAAAGAAACCACAUUCAAAUUGCACUUUCAAUUAAUUUAGUUAAUCAAAGCAACUCUAAAUCAUGAAAAUAACAAAAUAGGGCAUCGUGCCUAUAACGAGGCCAAUACAUAAGAAUGAAAAUCAACAACCCCUUACCAUAUACCCAAUAAUAGAAUGUAUGGGAUGAUACAAAAUAUUGGAAUCGUACAAGCACAAAAAAGGCACAUGUCACGACAACGAAUUAUUACAUUUAAAGUGGUUGUGACCUAUGCCAUUGCAUCGAGAGCAAUGAAUUGCUCUCUUAUGACUAAACUGUGACUCAAUGCGUCUUUGUCGGGGUCUUCCUGGAGGACGUCUCACAUAAGGGGUUGGAGAGUAGGAAAGAAGUUGCCUGCGCAAUCUUGCAAAUUCCCAUCGUCACAAACUUUCAGCAUAUUGUGUGUUGGUAAUGGUUGAAACUGACCCGAGUAAAUCAAAUGUUGUGUGGAGACAUGAAAACAUGGGUCGAUAUACUCAUACACAUCGUGUCUCAGUGUGUGGAUGACAGCACAUACGUGUGAACAUGGCAAGCCAGACAUUUUCCAUGUCAUGCAAGUACACGUACAUUGAUUCAUAUCGACAACCAAAUAAACCUCCCCAGUAAACACCUUAAACGUCCCCCCCAAAUAGGGCAACACACUAAUCGGAUCAGACCUUAUGAUAUUUGACAUUAGUUUCUCUUCAGUUUUCGGUCCGACCACGCUCUUCCACUUUUGUGUACCAUGCAUAUGGGUGUCCGACAUGGCUACAAGUUUAUCCAUGUGCAUUAACAAUAACGUUUAAAUUGUUUGGUGACAUUCAUCUCUUAACCACGCAUUGAAGGACUCUGCAAUGUUAGUUGUCAUUUUAUCUCAUCGUUUUUGAAGAAACUUUGACAUUGCCCAAUGUUCAGGAUUGUUUUCCGCAACCCAUUUUGCUAGGUUGUCAUUGAAGUGCACAAGUUUUUCAAAUGCCUCCUCAUAGUUUAUAUCCAACCUAGCAUAUGCAAUGCUGUCUAAAAGUAACAAAGCAUCUUCUUUCCUUUUCUUUCCUCUAAUGUUUUGCUUAUUCAAGAAGUUAGAAAAGUUUUUCUUCACAUGUCGAUAACAAUAUGCAUGAUUUCCUGUCCCGAACAACUUGAAAACACUACGCAAGAUUCCCUAAAGACAUAUGAUAUAAUAACAACUUCUUUACCAUCUAAGACCCCCUUUAAUAUCUCCAAAAACCAAUACAAGUCCUCAUAAUUUUCUAAACUGACCACACCAAGGGCUAGAGGGAACAUUUCAUCAUCUGUAUCAUAUGCAAUGGCGGACAAAAGAGCUCCCUUAUAUGGACCACUUAGGUGGCAAGAAUCAAUAGCCAAUACCGGUCAACACCCCAUGAUGAACCCUUGAAUUGAAAAUGCAUGGGCAAUGAACAAUUGCAUGAAGUGACCUUCAUGGGAAGUGUACUAUGCAAUAGUGGCGGGGUUAAUUUCCCUUAACCUAUGGCAUAAACAAGGGACAAACGUGUAGGACUCACGUGGAGCUCCAUAUAUGCGCUCUUUUGCCUUCUCUUUAAGGUGUCAUGCUUGGUUAUAUGUCAAUUGAACUCCAUGAUCACGUUCAAAAUCCUUACAAAUUUGAAGGGGAAGAUAGUCUGGAGUGGUUCUUAACACAUCUUCAACAACAAUCGCACCUCUCUUUGAAGAAACCUUGACCUUAGAUGAACACUCAUCAUGAGCUAUAUGAUUAUGAUUCACUUGGUAAGUAUGAACUUCGCAAGAUGACAUUUCCCUCUACAGCGUGAGCUGUUAUCUUCCAAGGAUAACCCUUAACCGAACACUUUACAGACGUAUGUGUAGGGGAAUUUUUCUUGCACUUGUAUUCAAACCUUCCACCUAAUGACAUCUGGUAAAUUGCGUUGCGAAACUCCUCAACAUUUUUAAAUGUAUGUCCCAACCUUAAUAUUGCUUGACAAAAACGAAUCGAUUCCAAAGGGGUGUACUCAUUAUCUGCACAACGCGACACAAAACCUCUUGAUAGCAUCAUAGUAUUAGGAAUUGCAUCACAUGAUGCAUUAAAGGAAGGAAACGUGGCAGAAGAACCUCUACAUUUACAUACAUUAACAUAAUUAGACUACGUGAUGCGUAAAAUUGAUAUUCAUAAUAUUUUAAAUAGACAUUCAUGUUAAAGUCCAUUACCCAAAUGUCAACUCUGUAUUCAGUAUAUUUGCUUCAAUGGCUUCUACACAGGGUAAGUCUACUAGGUAUACAUUUGCAAAGUCAUCACUGUGGGAAACCACGUUAUCCAAGUCAUCUUCAUCUUCUAAAUCUUGGAUGACUCCGGGGUUGAACUUGAGGGUGUAGUGCAUCUUCAUCGCAUCAAAGGAGAUGUCGAAUUUCUCUAAGAUUUUUUUGGUGAAUUCUUCAAAUGACAUUCCUUUAUAUAUGUGAAUACCUUUGUUUCUUCCACCCACGUAUUCCCAUUGCCCAUCAUUUUUUUGGACAAGUUUGCCUCCCACGAAAAUGUAACAAUAUAUCCUAUUAGUUGCGUCCAUCAACCUAUACAAACACAGCACAAAUUUCAUAUUAUAGAACAAACAAUUAUGCAUAUUAUAGAAAAUGGGGUUAAUCUUUUCUCUCAUGUCGGCUUUUUCUUUGAAGUUGACAUUAUUAUUAGUCGCCAUGUCCAGUUUAUCAACCAUCAUUUAUACAUAUACUUUUCCUUUUGUUACUUCACUUAUUCUGUUUUUUAACAAGUUGGUUGACUCUUUCUCUGUUUUUGUAGAUUGCUAUGACCCUCUGGAUCCCAAUGGGAACAUCACACUUAUUUUUUACACUCAUAAAUGGACAGAUGAUGGCUAUGUGGUUAGUGUUUUGGCUCAUGCUCAAUAGUUAGCUUCAAAUUUCUUUGAAUUUCAUUCUGGUUGAAUUGUAUGCUGAAAAUAAUAUUGACUUGCAUGCGUUUGAUAUUUAACAUCAGUGAAUAGUAAACAUGGAAGGAGGUGUUUGGGCACUAGAAUGAUUGUUGGAAACCAUUUUGGAUUUCAAUGAGAAAUCCCUUAAUUGAUUUGUUAUGUAUUGAAUCCCUAAUUGUUGGUCUGAUUUAAUAGAAUUAAGGGUCAUUGAACUGGCUUUGAACUGAUUUGUUUCUUUAUUUGCUAUUUAUGUUCAUGUUAGGUACAGAUUUCAUGAAGUUGGAAAUGAUAAUCUAUCUACACAUACUAAGUAGCCCACAAUAUCUCAUACUAUAGGGUGACUAGAACUUGGGUUUUAUCGAAGAAAGUUAACAAACGAACUAUCGUACUGAACUAGACUACCACAGGAGGAAGUAAAUAUAAUGCUAAAAGAUUUGAUUUGAACCAAAGGAGGAAAAAUAUGUCUGCAAAAGGAAAAUCAAUUUGCAUUGACUAAUCAUAUAUUAGAAUCAGAUUGCACGUAUAAAACAAAAUUCUAAAAUGAAUAUGCAAUGCUAAAUCAAACAAACAUCAGUGAACCAAGUAAAAUGCAGGCAAAAUCAAAUAUAUUUUUAUGUCAUCUUCAUUAUCACCAUUAUUGUUCAUGCCAAUCGGGGGUUGUCAUAUUGAUGGAGAAACAAGUCAAUCAUGGUGACAUCACAGGUUAAUAAAAAGAAGUGGGUUUUGCAUGUCAAGGCUAUCAAUCAUGUAAAUUGAACACAAACAUAAUUAUCUAAACAAAAACUGUUGAUACCACGAGAUGUAGCUACAAUUAACCCAUGAAGAUCCUCACUAUUUCAAACUGUGAGCCAUGUCUUAGAAACACCAUAACCCACAAUGAAAGAUGGCUAUCAAGAGAUCAAGUCAUCCACACAAAAUAAAGAGUUGACAAUCAUAAUGCUAAAUAAAAAAAUACCCAUAAAAAAUAUAUAUGUUAAACCAAAAAACAUCAGUUAUUGGGUUUAAGCUUCAAAAAAAAAAAAAAAAUUUCUUUACCUGAUGGUAAGAAAAGCUCCCUCCUCAAUUCAGACAACAAGCAACCUCCAGAAAGUCCCACCUAACCUCAAAUAUCCAACAAUGCUCAGCACGGAGGGCACCGUCGGUGGGGAUCGAUGAAGGAACAAUAUAUGGCAAACUGAAAUCGCGAGAUAAAUUAGGGCAAUGUAUUUGGGUUGAAAUCAAAUGGUCCGGAUAGCCGAAAUGAAGCAUAAAAUGAAAUUGUUGAACCUACUAACCGCAACUAUCAACUACUUCACCACGAAGGCCAAAUCCAGUGGUGAUCAUCGACGGCAAUGGAUCGAUAAAGAUGAAAAACUCCACUGCCUACACCUAAAAUCAGAUGGCCGGGAAAGACGAGAUCGAGAGAUAACAAGAUUGACAUAGAGUAUUAGGACAUUCUUUGGGCGGAAGUGAGGGACAAAGUCGGGAAUGUGAAAACGCCUAAUGUAGACUCCAAUUUGGGGAAAACAAAUGGAGAAAUCCAACAUGGAUUUUAGUUUUUUUUUUUUUUUAAUACCCAACAAAGGGCAUUUUCGACAAAUUAUACAUUGUAUAUCCUUCUUAUUAAUUUUGAGACUUUAUUUGGGUGUUGGGCUUAAUUCUGUAACAUCUAUGGACCAAAUGUUAAUUUUUGGUCCAGUUGGGCCCAAAACACAAUUCUCUCUAAAAAAAAGUUAAAUAGUUUAACUUUUUCUAUUCAGUAAAAAAUUUAUAAUAAAUCAUAAAAAAUAAAAAAGAAAGCAUCAUAGAAUUUAAAAAUAAUUUGAGUUUAGUAAAUAGUUAAAAAAAACAAACACCCUCUACAAGACCAAUUGUUUUUUUAGCUUUUUACUCAAAACAAUUUGUUUUUAAAUCUUAGGUUGGUUGUGUUUUUACUUUUUCAUAACUUAUUAUAAACUUUUUGCUAGAUAAAAAUAAAGUCAAAAUAUUUGACUUUUUCUAAAUGAAAAAAAAUAACAUAUUGAUUUUUCUUUACUUUUUAAUAUUUAAAAGAAAGAAAUAUUUAAAAAACAAACAACCUAAUACUUAAUACUAUUAAGUUUUAAAGUUCUAUUUAGAAUUAAGUAAAAAACCAAACACCACCAUCCGUAACUAUCUUAAUCAGCUACUUUCUCCUUAGCUUAUUAACUUUUGAAUAGAAUUAUGAAAUAAACUUAUGAUAUUUCAGACACCAAGAAAUCAACCUUUUAACAAUGAUUUUCUACUGUCCUUCCGAAUGGGGGAAAAAAAGAAUAACUGGCUAACAUCACAAUCAUAUACAUCGGCCUACACCUCACUCAAAUCAUCAAUGUCCAAGAUUUUAACACUCUUCUUCACAAGAUUUCAUUAACCUUUGUCAAUAAGAGCUCACUGCAGCCCUUAUUCACAUAUACAAUAAACCAAAAUCGACGUAGUGAACGAUUACAUGGCCUCUUCACUUCAACAAUUUUUGGCUAAGCUCCAUGACUCUUUUGCAUGAAUCUCAUCAGCAAAGGGUACCUAAAAGUGAAUUCUCGGUUCUCAUUCCCUCUUGUCCUCUUCUUCCUCAUCCUCUAAAUUAUCUUGCUUAGCAAGACUGAUAUCGCCUUCCGGCUUUCCUCUAGUUAGAGAUUGAGUUUCUUCAUCAUCAAACUCUUCUCCCUUUUCAUCUGAGUAGGCAUACCUGCAAAUAAAUGAUAUUACAAGUCAGCUAGAUGAGAUGACGGGGCAUCACCAGAGAUGUUGGAUCUAAGUUUGGGAUUAAGGUCUGUCUGUGACUGUAAUGCGGAGAAGAAAACCUUUUUUUUUUUCUUGUAACAAGUAGCAGCCCUUUAUGAACAGUAACAUUAACCGUCGCCCAAAAUCAUUCCAGAAGCAGGGUGAGAAUUAAACCUAUGAUUCACAAACUGCCAACUACUUCAAAAUUUUCAAUUUUUGUUUUAAUAUAAAAGUUCAGAUGGCAAUAUAUAAAUAUAUGCAUACAGGUUUUGAAAUCUUGAGUUACCCAGGCUCAGUCCUUCAGAAAGGGGUGUCUUACCAUCCUACAGACAACAGAGUUUACUAUAAUGCAUUUUGGAUUUUCAGCACAGAAGGAAAUCCCCAAAUAAGAUUCUUGAGCUAAGAAGGGAAUUUGGUAAGAUGGUCAAUCUGAGAAAAAGAAUAUGUUCACUGAGCUUUUAUUGGACCAAAGUCUCAACCAACAUUGCCAUGGAUGUGUAAUAUGUGUUGGUCAGGUGUGUCCAACAAAGUAAGGAAAGAACAAAAUCCUAAUUCACUAUAAAUUCCACUAAAUAAUUUUCUGAACUGACUUCUUUCAUGCCAGUUAUAUUUCUAUAUGAAUAAAGGACCCAUGUUAACCAUGCUAAGCUACAGAUGUAAUUCACUUUGCCUUGAAAGAUAUAGAAAAAUCGAGUAUCUCAAUAAUUUGAUUGUAUCCAUGUGCUUGAUUUGCAAAAAUGACUAAUAUGACCCAAAACAUGGAUUUAUAUUUUAGUAGUUUACAGUUAAGAAGAACCUCCCUAUGACCAUAUGAAAUUUAUAGAAAUUUAACGCACCGUUGGGAGCUCUGAGAUGGAGCCCAGAGAUAGCAGAUGACACAGAGCAAUCCAAAAGCAAGAAUGUCCCAAAAAGCAGUAAUGAUCCAAGCACUCUGCCACCGCUCAUUGAAUGGAUCCGUUGCCUUAAAGUAGACCUGUAGGAAAGAGCUUAUUACAACAACAAUGAACAGUCUUCAAGAGUAAAGUGACAAAUAAAAUCAUGUCUUAUAAUAUAAUAUGAACAGUUAAUGAAGAAAAAAGGAGAAAUAUAGCAUAUAAAAUGCAACUGAAAAUAAAAAAAUGCAUGAACUUUCAUGAAGGUGAACACAUGUUCCUGCAAUAGAUGCUUUACCAUAAUUUUCCACAGGGUUUGCUUCCCUUGUACAGUAGGACAACUUGGAGUUUGUCAAACAGGGUCCAAGAGUGAUAACCCAACACCUAUCUAAAUUGAGUCGCCCAAAGAUAUACAAGAAGUUCACCUGAGUUUACAACAUAAUGAAUACAAGAGCUACUAGUUUUUCUGUUCCUCACAAGCUAGGAUAUCUUUUGAAGUAGGUUGUAGCAUUUCCAAGAUCAGGGAGUUGACAAUGGACCCAAUACAGCAUAUCAUAGUUUUGAAAAAGGAAAAGCUCCAAACUCCUCUCAAAAAUCUCUUUACCUAAAGCAAGAAUUAUAAAAAGGCUUAACGAACUGAGCUGGAUGAGGCCAAGUGAAUGAAGACAGUGUGAUCUCUACAUAAAACCCCAACAUCCAUAUAAAAUGAGUUGCCAGAUAGGUCAAUGUCACCAAGCAGUCAACCUUGGAGUUUGGAAAAUAAGGAAUCCAAGAGCUAAUAGUUCUCCAAUCAUUGAAAUUAUUGGAAUUCUAUAAAAUAGCUAGAAUAUUCCAAUAACCAGGGAGUUGAUAAUUGACCCAUUGUACCACAUUGUUAGAUUCACUCCCAACACUCCACCCCACCAGCAAAAAUAACUCUUUUUCGAGCAUCUCCUCACACUCAAUUCAGAAGCAAGAAAUACAAACGCAGGCCCUGGACAUCUAAAACUUCUUAGGACAGAAGCAAACCAAUAGAGACCAAUGGAUCCCAGCAUAAAACCCCAAGUCCUAUCUGGAAUGAGCUGCACCAAGAAGAGGAACUCUUAACACCACCUUGAAAGGAAAGAAUGGCAGAGGGUUCUGGAGUAUGCAGGUAUGGCAGUCUAGUAAUUAAGAUAGCAUGCUAAACCUGUGAGCGAUGACUUUGAAAACCAUCCCAUAGAGAUUUCAGCAAACAAAAAACCCAUAAGAAGGAGGCCUAUCAAUGGAUCCUAAUAUUGAAUUGUUCAAAGGGAAGCAUUGCAGACCUCCAUAAUUCAUGCAAACUCCCCAAAACCAAGGAGCAAGAGUUGUUUCAAAAGGAACAGAUCAGCUGGAUUCAUCUAGAUUCUAGCAUCACUGAAGAUAAAAGACUACAGAUCUUUAAAAUGGAGGGAAGAAGAAAAAGGUAUUCUACCAUCUCUUUAAUAAAAUAUACGAGGCAAUAGUCAGGGAGAAAUGAUGCAUCUUCUCCACAUCUGAAGCAUGACAGUGGUAUUAACCCUUUUCAGAGCAACUCUCCAGGAAAGGGCUUUGACUUGCAGAGAGGCUCAAGAAGAGAUAGAAAUAAAAUUUAUGAUAGCAAAUGAAAACAUGGAAGGAUCAGUGAUCCUUCUCCUAGAACACGCAUCAAGCCAGAAAAGUCUGUUCCAGAAUCCCAGAUUGGCUAAUUCAGAAACUGAUAUUGCAAGAGAAUUUUGUUUCAGCAAUUGCAUGCCUGGCCAGUUUCUUGGAUUCUGGUUUUGGCUUAGCCUUUUGCUUAUGGAGAACUCCUCUCUGCACUAUUCCUCAUUCUAUAAAAUUCAAUUUCUUAUACAAACAAAGGUGUAUAUAGGAGAUUGCUCUAUGUCCAUGAUGGAUUUUAUUGAUUGGUUAAGCGCAAAGUAGUGUAAGAGAGUUGCUUUUUGUGUUUCCCUGACUUUAGUUGGCCUUUUGAGGCCUUCAUAUAGGCAGUGUAUACUUUUGUGUGCCUUAUGGUGUAGGCACUGUUAAUAUAUUAAACUUUGCCUAUCAAAAAAAUUUUCUUAUACAAACAAAAGGUAAAAAAAAUUGAUUACACAAUCAUCUCUUUUGUAACAUAAACUAUUUACACAGCAUUUGUAGAAAUGGUUUUGAACUAUUUAUAAAGCGUUUGUAUAAAUGGUUUUAAACUAUUUACACAGCAUUUGUAUAAAUGGUUUUAAGCUAUUUACACAGCAUUUGUAUACAUGGCUUCAAACAAAGGACCAUAACUGACUAAAUCCACUUGAAAACCAUUCCAUUCUCCAUCUAUACAUCAGUAUGUAACAGCAUCCCCCAGGUUAGCAAAAUACUUAAGCGCAAGGAAAAAAAAGAAACAAGUUUCAACAAUAAAACUUCAUGUACUCGGCUGUUAAAGAAGAAAUAAAGGUGAAAACACUAACAAGAAGCAAUUAAAGGCCUAAAAGAAUAUUUUCACCUGAACAAACAUUAUUUUCUUUCGGAUGACAUGUGUGGAGGCACAUUAUAUACAUCAUCCAUAUCAAACUAGUUUUUGAAUAAAGACAUUUUUUUCACAUGGUAAAAUAUAAAUUAAGCACAUAAACUACAGUAAAACAAUGUUAUUGCCAAUCAAAACCACAAGUGUCUUCACUGGAGAACAUACCUCAUAUCCUAUCCAAACAACUGAAGCAAUCACUGCAACUGCUAAAGAAUUUGAGAACUUCCUGUAGGUAUCCAGCUUAACAGAACUCCUCUUUGCCUGAACACAAAUAAUUAUAGCAUCAGAAUAUGAUAAUGAAUGAAAAAUAAAAAUAGUAAAAAAGAAAAGGAAAGGAUAAAAAGGAAAGAAAAGCUCUGAUGUUGUUGCCACUAUUUUAACUGAUAUUAACAACUGGAACUCAAAACUGAUAGUAGACGAAGAACUGAUACCUGUAGUUGCUCUAAUGUCUUUGAAAGGGAAGUGAAAAUCCACAAUAUCAAAAAUGCAUCCAGGAAUGCAUCAGGAAGGACUAAGAAGAGCCUUGCUCUUCCUGAUACAUCAUUGAUGGUCCCCACAUACUCGGUAAUAUCCAGCAACUCAGUUGCCACAAAAUAAGUUAUGCCAAGAAGAAGAACCUUUGAGGUAAGACCACCAAGAGUAGGCCGCACAACACCAUAACCCAUUGAAACAGAGAGUAUAAGAAGACGUGAAACUGUUCUCCUUACAGCUCCAACUGUCACAACCCAAGUUGUGAUUCCAACUGGCCUUGUUCCCGUGCGGUUAAAAUUUUCAAACUCAAAAUACCAAAGAAUCAUCUCAAACAAUCCAAGAGCAAUAACAACCGUAAUGCAGUGCUGAAGUUGCAAUAUAUCCUUCCAAAACCUCAUGUACUGGAAAAACCAUGUCACGCAAAGCAAUACAUAUGCAAGUGACAUAUACACGUAAAACUUCAUUAAUGGGGCCAUCCUACCAGGUAAAUAGCCAUCAGGGUUCUUCCACAACGUCUUUCCAUUCAUUACUAGUCCCUUGAGUUUUGGAUCACAUGAUAUGAAAAACAAGUUAUACAUUCCAGUCUUUGUAAUGGGAACCUCUGAAUUAGCCAUACUUGUGGAUAGAGAUUUCCCACUGAACUGCACAUUUAAAACAAUAGGCCAAUUGAUAUCUGUCGCAGAAGGAAUCCUAAUGACUUCACCUUGCUUACAGCCUUCCAGCUUAGCAAGAUCAGGGGUGCAGCAUAUAGACCUCUGUCCACCAUAAGCAGAACCACCAAUAUUAUCACGAUCAGCUGCCUCAAAGAUUACAACUUGUAUCAACCCGGUACUGUGCCCCAUGUCUGAGUGCUGGUCAGCAGCUGCCUUGCUCCUCCAGAAGGUGAUAUUCUCGAAGCUAAGCAAUUGAAUUUUUUGAAAACAUAAUUUUUAAUGGGCACAAAUGAUCGCUCUUAGAAAAGCAGGAAAAAUGGAAAAGAAAAGGAAACUUAAUGACACAAAUGAUACAUCCCCAGAAUUUUUAGAAAUAUAACAUACUAAAUUUUAACAUUUUGUCAAAAGAAUUGAUAAUUAUAAAUACUCAUCAUAAACUUAUAAUGCUAUUCUCCAUUUAUUAUUCUUCAUCGGAUUCAAAAAGGUAGUUUAAUAAUUCUAUCAUAAAAAAUACAGCAAUAUUGAUAUUUGAACAUUCCUGGUUGCCAUAAAAAUUGAAUGUUUUCAUCUUGUAUUCUAUAUAUAGGAAUCGAGGUACAAAUCCUUUCUUGAAAAUGGAUCCAUUAACCAACAGUGACAAAAUUUGAAAGAUGGGUAUUUCAAUAUCAAGUAACACCAUAUAUAUAUAUAAUUUACAUGGAAAAUGAGAGGCAUUGUAUUUUACAAUUCAUUUGCAAAGUAACUGGCCCCAUUAUCCAUCAACCCCAAAAUGGUUCUCUUAUUCACUUUACACAUACAUUUUUCGUCAGACUUUUCAGUUAGUAUUUUAGAGCAUUUUCCAGCAUUAUUUGAGACCUAUGGAGCAGUUUCCUCCAUGAUUUGAGACCUUCGAAAACAAAAUUUUCAAACCCACAAGCCUAAUACCAUUAUUUUGACUUAGCUGGAUUUGUUCCAAAAAGAGAAGAUUCAAUACUUCUUUUCUUCUCCGCAGGUUUCCCACCAACCAAAGGAAAAUGUUAAUACUUCUUCAUCAACAAACCAUUUUCCUCCACGAUUUGGGAUCAAGAAAACAAAACUGUAAACCGAACAAGCUUGUUACUAUCAUUUGGUAUAGCUGAACUUGCUUUAAAAAGGGGGGAAAAUCAGAUUGCCAUAAGAACACGAGAUCCAGCAUUUUCCUACUAAAGUUUCUUAGCAACCAAGCAGAUUUAAAAAUUUAUAAAUCCAACAAGAUAACACCGACAUUCGCCUUAGCUGCACUUACCAAAAAUAGAAAAUAAAAAAAUAAAAAAAUAAAAAUUCAAUCAUUGACAUAGCAACACAAGACCCAACAUUUCCCUAUUUUCAUAUCUUUAUUCCCAACAUUCUCGCGAUCCAAACAGAAAAUCAAGGAAUCGAACAAUGCAAGCACAGAUCUGAGUAAAAAAGGGAGAGAAGAGUACCGGAUAAAGGAAUGGGCGUGAGAGAUGGCAGUUCCGGGAGUGGAGGAAGCGACAAUGCCCUCGCUGCCGCCGGAGAGGAGGUAGGAGUUCCCGACUUCCCGGAAGCCUUGGUGGUCGUAGAGGUGAAUGGAGGCAUUGAUGGAAGAGACGAAGGUAAGAACAAGAAGGAGAAGAAGGGGAGGAAGCCAUUGAAUCGAGAAGCUGGAUCCUCCAAUGGAUGAAUCCAUGGGAUUUCCUCAAUUCUGGUGGAGAGGGAGGUGGGAGAGUGUGAAAUCAGCAAUGGUGAAUGCCUUUGUGCACUCCCUCCGUGAGAGCGACUCGGUUUGAAUUGUGAGUUAUAAGAUUGGUACUCUCCUCCACGCGCCAACAAAGCGCGUCCACGUAUUGGAAAAAACUGAUAAUAUAUUUAUUAAUCAAACACUUAAUAAAGUGUAUAAAUAAUCAAAGAGAAAAAAACUUGGAGCAUCAAAAAUUUGUAACUAAGAGGAUUAUUAUUUUUAUUUUUAUUUACAAAAGGUUAUUGGGCUUAGAGUCAAAAUCAACCAAGACAAAGGGUUGUGAUUAUGCGAUAGUGAGUUAACUCCAAAAACCCGAGCUUGGAUUUUGAAAAUGGACAAAUUUUCAUAAAAAUAAAAUCAAAAUUAUUGUUAGAAAACAAAGGUAAUAAAUCAAAAAAAUUAUAACAACUCAAGUUUUAUAUUUUUUUUAAAUUACUUUAAAAAGAUGAUAAUUUUAAAAAUCAUUUAAAAAAAUUGAAGUAUUAAAAAAAAUUCUAUUUCAAAAUUUAAAAAUGAUUUUUAGAGGUAUAAAGUAAUUUCAUACCUAUUAUUAUAUUUUAUAUAAAAAAAUUAUUAUUUUUUUAUUUUUUAAAAAUAGAAAAUAACUUAUGUUAAUAGCACUUUUAUGAAAAUAUUUUUUUUAAUAAUUUGGUUAGACUAUGUUUUGUUAUUUAAUAUCAGACAAAAAAAUUAGUAAAAUAAAUACAAGAUUACCAACAAUUGGAGAAGGCGUUGGCAGAUCGUGGCGGUUAUUAACUUCCACCGUUGUUAGGAAUUUCGGAAACUUUCGGUUCAAACUUCCAAGGGUUUAGCCAACAACCGUAGCAAAGCUUGAGACAAACCUUUCAACUACCAGGACCAUGCGCCAACAACUGCAAGUAUGCUUCAUAACUUCCCUUUCUUUUUGUCUCUUUCCCUAGUAUUUUUCUUUUAAAAAAACCUAACUCAUAUCCAACUUGAAUAUUAAAAAUAAAACCAACUUAAACUUUAUUAAAAUUUUAAAAGGUUGAAAUUCUUGUAGAAUUUGAUCAAGAGAUUUAUGAGGUAAAUCUUAAAGCGGACCGGUUACAGCCCAUUAGUUAAAACUUGGGCCGGCCCAUGUCUAGCCUAUUAUUCCCCGACUCAACCCACCUAGCCCCAAUUUCUCUUUCGCUGCCUUUCGAUCGAGCACGACGGCAUUCACUCUCUGCUUAGACAAAAGCAUUCGAUUGAUACCUUCUCCAAACGCUGCGUUUCGGUCGAUAUCUGAGUUUAAGGUACUGUUUCAAUCUGUAUUCCCAAUUCAGUCAAUCGACUUCUAGGUUACAUACAAUCGUUUGGAUGCUGAGAAAUAGUGAGAAAAUGAAAGAAAAUUUUGAAUCGUAAAUCUUUCACCAUUAGAGCUCGAGAAUACAACAAAAUUUACUUUAUCUAAAAAUCACUUGAUCCUGAGGUUUAGUUUUUUUUUUUCAAACUUUUUAUUAGUUUUGGAUUGUUGACAGCAUGUAAAGUGAGAGAGAUAACAUAGUGAUCAAAAUGUGGUUUUCUUUUAUUAUUUCUUCAUUUUCCUGGUGGCCAAACAGAGGGUACCAAUAAGUCGGGAAUAUAGAAGCAUGCCACUUUACAGGAACCAAAAUAUGAGAAAUGACUAAUGAGUCGUUUUUUUUUUUUUUUUUAAUUGUUGUAUUUUCCUGGAAACAAAAUAGAGGGUUAGGGUUUCUCUUUUAAUGCCUUUAACCUGUUAGUGUUAUCGUUGAAAAUUUUGAAUUCUAUGAUUUCAUAAUGGAAUAAAGCUCAAGCUAGAAUUUUUAUAAAUUUAAUAAUUAUAUAGAAACAGAAUAAAAAUAUUGGUAAUUACUAUAUAUAAAAAAUAUUGAUAGAUAUUUUUUUUAUAAAUAAACAAAAAUACACAUUUUAAAAUUAUUAAAUAUAAUUCACGUAGAUACGAUAAAGAAGAAAAACAUUGAUAGACAUAUAUAUAUUUGUAAAUUUGAUAUUUGAAUUUUAAGAAUAAUAAAUAUGAAUUUUUAGAAGUAUGUAAAGUUAGAAUUGAGUUAAGAAAUAUUUGAUUUUAUUGAAUAAAAGUAAUUUAUAUAUAAAUAUAAUACAUAUGACAUCACAAUAGUCUUUAGUAUCAAAAUGAAGAACGAUGUGGUUUCGUCAUAUUAUUAGAUGUAGGGAGCCCAUCUUGUUAUUGAAGAUAAUAUUUAUUUUAAAAUUUUUAAAAUAUUUUUACUAAAACAUGUUUUAUUAUAUUUUAAAUAAAAAAUUAAAUUAAUUUAUAUAAAAUAUUUUAUUUGAGAUUUAAUUUUUAAAAUUUUAUUAAACAUAUGUCGUAACCAUUUUUUCUAUUAAUAUUAAUUUAUUUAAAUAAUUAAAAUUAUUAAUAAUUUAUUUUAUUAAAUUAAUUUUAAUUCAUAAAAUAUGUGAGCAAUAAAAACCGAAAUUUCAUGGUAGUGAUUUAAUCCAAAUAAAGAUAGAUAAUUAAUAAUUAUUUAUAUAGAGCGAGGGAAAUUCUUAUCAUGAUUUUUUAUUUAUUUUUUUAAUCUCUACUAAAUCUGAAAAUCAAAAGGAAGCCCUUCUCUGAAGUUGCCCUCCAGACGAGAGACUCCCUAAAAAGGCCCUAUUUUCCUCUGCCACUCUCAAUCCACGCAGGUACUAAUCUAAUCAUGUUAUUAUUUUUUUUUUUUUGCAACCCCCGAAAAUCCAUCCCCCAUUCGAUUUCCGGGAAAAUUCAUCCUCGUUUGAUUUCCGAGAAAAUCCAUGCAAAACCCCCAAGGAAAACCCAAAAAAUUGCUUUUCUUUUGCUCCCUGUGUUUUCUGGAUCUGUUCCAGGGGUCUCUUUGCUUUUGUGCCAUUGGAUUUAACUUUCACGAACCAUCCACGAUUUUUGAGCCAGGCUGAAAAAUACAAUCUUUGCCUGCAAAUCAUGAUCAGAUUACCAAAUAGCAUCUUAUGUUUUUGUUUUUGUUUUUUUAAAAAAAAUUGGACAGAUUUUGUAUCCUGUGCGCGGGCUGGACUGGUAGGAAAUAUCCCGAAAAAUCGGUAAAAAUACCGACCGAAAUAUGGGCGACAUUUUCAGCCAUUUUUUGAAAUCCUCCUCCUGCUGCUCCGCACGUCACUCCACUCGCGAUUUAUCGGUUCUAAACCAAUAUGUCACCGAUUUUGUUGAUUUUUUUGCCGAUAUUCCUCCUGUUUGAUAAUCUGUGUUGAAUUUCGUUUUGAGGCCGCCCGAUAUAUGAUGUAUCAGUGAAAUAUCGCCGAUAAAAUCCGAUUUUUCAAUCUAUGGUAUCCACUAUGUAAUAUGCAUAUAUACUCUUCAACAUUGACAAUUAAAAUGCAUAUCAAGACUCAUCUAAACCUACUUCGUGCAUUGUUUGAUUAGAAGAUCAUGUCUGACCAUUCACAUAAUCAUUUUUCCUAGGAGCUAGCAAAGAGAAAACUCCAUAAAGGGUCAACAUUUUUGGAAUAAAGUCCUUAUUGGACAACUUAUUGACUUGUUUUUUAGAGUCCAUCUGCUACUUGUUAUAUGUAUGGUGGGGGGGAAUAAAACCUGGAAAGAGGAGGAAUCUAGAUCAAGAUCAUGCUUUACAUUUUAGAUAGUGAUUCAUUCUUUAGCACCUUAGGAAUCAAGUUAUUAGAAUUGACGAAUAUUUGCUGCACUUCUUUGAGCUCUCUAUAAAUUGUUAUGGGAUAGGUCUUACCACAUCUCGCAUUCUAGAUUCAUCCUUAACAACUCUUUCCUCUUUGCUCACAACUUUGAAUUACAUCUUAAUGAGAGUCUUUGAUGGUUGUUUUGGUGUCAAUUAUGAUAUUUUCUCCACCGGUUGUUUAAGUGGUAGAAUUUCUUUCAUUGAGUGAAAAAUCUUCUUGCACCUAUUUCCACAAGUGUACAAGUAUUCUCAUAGGCAUCAUAUUAGGCUCUUUAAUAAAAACACCACGGUUUUCCAAGCAUAAUAUGAACAACUGUUAUCAGAAAAACAUCAUACCAUGUUGAUAAUUCAAAAUUAUUAUUAAAAUUAAAUGUUACUAGACAAUGAGAGCUCACCGAAAUAGAGUUGUCAUUUAUCCAUGGUAUUUGUUAGGGGUUUGGAUGUUUUUUUUAUUUUAAAUUUAGUUUGUCAACAAGUUCUUGUAAAACUAUGUUGAAAGUACUACCUCCGUCAAUAAUUGUAGUGCAUAGUCUCCCUUGGCAAGUAGCACAAGUUUGGAAAAUGCUAGUAUGCUGUCAAUCCUCCUCUUCAUUUGCUCUUGGUUUGUUCACCAAUAGUUGCAUAAAAAAAUUGUAACCGUCAAUCAUGGUUGAAUAAGUUGCUCUACUCCUCAAGCAAGCCAAGAACUUUCGCUUUGAUACCAAUAUUAAGGUAGAACAAACCUAGGAUGGUGUCUACAAUCAAAUAGGUAGGCUAGGGCUUUAGUCUUUAGGAUUUAGGGAGAGAAACAAGGAAUAAAAAUUAUGGCAGGGGGAAAAGGUUAAAUAGCAUAUGGUAAAAGAAGGAUAAAGAGGAAAAGAUACAAACCUUAGGGUCUCACUAAGGCCUUUUGGGAGUCUCACCUAGCAAAAAAGCAAUGGAGUCUCAUUGUUGAAAAUUGUUGGGUGUGCAAUAAAAUAAAAUCACAAAAAUGAAAACAAAAGUGUUGAUCAUUAAUCCUUAAUUUCAUUUUACAUCAAUUAACCUUGUUUUAUAGGCUUUAGAAAACCUUAAAGACAAAAUAAAAACAUGAAAAGGCAAAUUUAAUCUAAGUUGUAACUUAUUGAGACUCAUUUCUUUCCUAAAACUAUUGAAUCUUCUAAAAGAAAUUAAAAAAAUUAAGAAACUUGCUUUUGAAAAUUAGAAACUUACUUUUAUAGGAACUUUUUGUAUUAAAGUUUGCAAUAAAGAAGACUUUUAGAUUCUAAGAACCCAAAAUAUAAACCUUUAAAAGAGAUUAAUUUAGAAAGAAAAAAAAAAAGAAAGUUUAGAACUUCUCUUAAGGAGAAUGCUAAAACUUUUCAAAUUUUAAAUAAAACUCAAAUGUAAACCUUUAGGAUUUUAUUUUUUAUUUUCUUUCGUUCCUUUUUUGAGUAGGUCUUAGAGGUUUAUUUUCAUCCCCUCUACAUUUUGAAAAGGCUCAAGAUUUUAGUAUCAUUCACCAAACAAGAUCACUUCUAAAUUCAAUUUAGAUUGGGGUAGAUACCAUGGUAGAAAGUUGUGGUAUCGGAUCUUGACUUAGGGGGUUAUGAGACAGAUUGGUCGCAUUAAAAUUUUCAAAAAAUUCUAAAUUAUAAUGAAAAUCUUUGGAAAAUAAAUAUAAUAAGAUGGACUUAACAACUUAAUAAAAGAACAUGUACCAUAUUUGUUAUUGUUAAAAUAAUCAUAUAAGCAAAAGUUGGAAUUGUGUUUUGUUAAUAUUAUGAAUUUAAAACUCUACUACUAUAUGUGCCAUUAUUUUCUGAUAAAUAAUUAUACUCAAUUCUAGUUUGAGUGACAUAGAGGCUCAAAGUCAUUGUUGUUAGUCCUACAGUUAGUAUAUAAAUCAGGGUGGUAAUUCCCAUGCUAAGGAUAUUGUUGAGAGACUUGUUCACAACUCAGCUGUGUCGUAAUGUCACAGUGUUACAACUUGAGAUUCAUUUUGCAAUUUGUUCAUAACUUGGCUGAACCACCUGUUUUGGUUGAAAAAUGUUGUACUGUGUCAAACUCGCCAUUCCUAAUACAACUUGAUAUGACUACUCUGCAUGUUCUUUAAAUCAUUAACCAUGUUAUGCAUAGACUAGAUAUUUGAUUGAAAGAAACUGAAUUAAGAUAAUGUAUUUAGAAUCUGAGUAAAACUCCAUAUAAAAUCCUUGUUUGUUUCAUAAUGCAGUUGGAAACUUGGAAUAGAUCUUAUCCAUUAAAUUUUACUGAACCAUGUAUUUGGAAAUCAUCAAAGCACAACUUUUAUAUCCUUUGUUUUUUUUUUUUUUUUGAUAAGUAAGCAGAUGUUAUAUUAAAAAGGCAAAAAGCCACACAGCAUACAGGACGUAUACAAAGCAGCCAAACCCAAAAGCCACAAAAAGCCCACAAACCUACCUACCCUCAAUUGGACGCGAGCCACUCUAGAAAACCUAUGAGUGAAGAGGACUCCUCUCCAAUAUACACCCUAGCCCAACUCCACAAAUUACAUACAAAAGAAUUUUUGAGUUUCUGUAUAGAUAAGAAUCCCCCCCUAAAAGCUAAUCUAUUCCUUUCCUUCCAAACCGUCCAAAAAAUACACAACGGGAUGGAAGUCCAAACCUUUUUCCUUUUUUUCCCCACAAAAGAACCCCUCCAACUGAACAACAUAUCUUUAACCGUUUCAGGGAACACCCACUGAAUGCCAAACAAGACGAAGACAAUCUCCCAGAGUACCCGGACCACUGUACAAUGUAGAAGAAUAUGAUUUACAGUCUCCUCUUCACACCCACACAAAAAACAUCGGUUGGGGAACUGCCACCCCCUUCUUUGUAGCCUAUCCAAAGUUAGGACCUUUCCCCACGUGGCCUCCCAAGCAAAAAACACAACUUUAGUUGGGACCUUGUCCACCCAAAUGCCCUUAUUCGGGAAUACAAUAUCAUUCGAAGCAACAAGGAGGUUGUAAGCCUCCUUAACCCUAAAGAUGCCACUUCCCCCACCUUUCCAUAAUACCGAAUCCUCUUCUGAAGAGAUUUUGUAAUCCCUUAGCAUGUACAGCAAAUUACCAACCAAAUCCACCUCCCAAUCGUUAAAGUCUCUAGAGAAACUGAUAUUCCAACUUCCUUGGCCAAAGCUAGGGUCCCAAACUUCGUUCACCGUUGCAUUCCUAUNNNNNNNNNNNNNNNNNNNNNNNNNNNNNNNNNNNNNNNNNNNNNNNNNNNNNNNNNNNNNNNNNNNNNNNNNNNNNNNNNNNNNNNNNNNNNNNNNNNNNNNNNNNNNNNNNNNNNNNNNNNNNNNNNNNNNNNNNNNNNNNNNNNNNNNNNNNNNNNNNNNNNNNNNNNNNNNNNNNNNNNNNNNNNNNNNNNNNNNNNNNNNNNNNNNNNNNNNNNNNNNNNNNNNNNNNNNNNNNNNNNNNNNNNNNNNNNNNNNNNNNNNNNNNNNNNNNNNNNNNNNNNNNNNNNNNNNNNNNNNNNNNNNNNNNNNNNNNNNNNNNNNNNNNNNNNNNNNNNNNNNNNNNNNNNNNNNNNNNNNNNNNNNNNNNNNNNNNNNNNNNNNNNNNNNNNNNNNNNNNNNNNNNNNNNNNNNNNNNNNNNNNNNNNNNNNNNNNNNNNNNNNNNNNNNNNNNNNNNNNNNNNNNNNNNNNNNNNNNNNNNNNNNNNNNNNNNNNNNNNNNNNNNNNNNNNNNNNNNNNNNNNNNNNNNNNNNNNNNNNNNNNNNNNNNNNNNNNNNNNNNNNNNNNNNNNNNNNNNNNNNNNNNNNNNNNNNNNNNNNNNNNNNNNNNNNNNNNNNNNNNNNNNNNNNNNNNNNNNNNNNNNNNNNNNNNNNNNNNNNNNNNNNNNNNNNNNNNNNNNNNNNNNNNNNNNNNNNNNNNNNNNNNNNNNNNNNNNNNNNNNNNNNNNNNNNNNNNNNNNNNNNNNNNNNNNNNNNNNNNNNNNNNNNNNNNNNNNNNNNNNNNNNNNNNNNNNNNNNNNNNNNNNNNNNNNNNNNNNNNNNNNNNNNNNNNNNNNNNNNNNNNNNNNNNNNNNNNNNNNNNNNNNNNNNNNNNNNNNNNNNNNNNNNNNNNNNNNNNNNNNNNNNNNNNNNNNNNNNNNNNNNNNNNNNNNNNNNNNNNNNNNNNNNNNNNNNNNNNNNNNNNNNNNNNNNNNNNNNNNNNNNNNNNNNNNNNNNNNNNNNNNNNNNNNNNNNNNNNNNNNNNNNNNNNNNNNNNNNNNNNNNNNNNNNNNNNNNNNNNNNNNNNNNNNNNNNNNNNNNNNNNNNNNNNNNNNNNNNNNNNNNNNNNNNNNNNNNNNNNNNNNNNNNNNNNNNNNNNNNNNNNNNNNNNNNNNNNNNNNNNNNNNNNNNNNNNNNNNNNNNNNNNNNNNNNNNNNNNNNNNNNNNNNNNNNNNNNNNNNNNNNNNNNNNNNNNNNNNNNNNNNNNNNNNNNNNNNNNNNNNNNNNNNNNNNNNNNNNNNNNNNNNNNNNNNNNNNNNNNNNNNNNNNNNNNNNNNNNNNNNNNNNNNNNNNNNNNNNNNNNNNNNNNNNNNNNNNNNNNNNNNNNNNNNNNNNNNNNNNNNNNNNNNNNNNNNNNNNNNNNNNNNNNNNNNNNNNNNNNNNNNNNNNNNNNNNNNNNNNNNNNNNNNNNNNNNNNNNNNNNNNNNNNNNNNNNNNNNNNNNNNNNNNNNNNNNNNNNNNNNNNNNNNNNNNNNNNNNNNNNNNNNNNNNNNNNNNNNNNNNNNNNNNNNNNNNNNNNNNNNNNNNNNNNNNNNNNNNNNNNNNNNNNNNNNNNNNNNNNNNNNNNNNNNNNNNNNNNNNNNNNNNNNNNNNNNNNNNNNNNNNNNNNNNNNNNNNNNNNNNNNNNNNNNNNNNNNNNNNNNNNNNNNNNNNNNNNNNNNNNNNNNNNNNNNNNNNNNNNNNNNNNNNNNNNNNNNNNNNNNNNNNNNNNNNNNNNNNNNNNNNNNNNNNNNNNNNNNNNNNNNNNNNNNNNNNNNNNNNNNNNNNNNNNNNNNNNNNNNNNNNNNNNNNNNNNNNNNNNNNNNNNNNNNNNNNNNNNNNNNNNNNNNNNNNNNNNNNNNNNNNNNNNNNNNNNNNNNNNNNNNNNNNNNNNNNNNNNNNNNNNNNNNNNNNNNNNNNNNNNNNNNNNNNNNNNNNNNNNNNNNNNNNNNNNNNNNNNNNNNNNNNNNNNNNNNNNNNNNNNNNNNNNNNNNNNNNNNNNNNNNNNNNNNNNNNNNNNNNNNNNNNNNNNNNNNNNNNNNNNNNNNNNNNNNNNNNNNNNNNNNNNNNNNNNNNNNNNNNNNNNNNNNNNNNNNNNNNNNNNNNNNNNNNNNNNNNNNNNNNNNNNNNNNNNNNNNNNNNNNNNNNNNNNNNNNNNNNNNNNNNNNNNNNNNNNNNNNNNNNNNNNNNNNNNNNNNNNNNNNNNNNNNNNNNNNNNNNNNNNNNNNNNNNNNNNNNNNNNNNNNNNNNNNNNNNNNNNNNNNNNNNNNNNNNNNNNNNNNNNNNNNNNNNNNNNNNNNNNNNNNNNNNNNNNNNNNNNNNNNNNNNNNNNNNNNNNNNNNNNNNNNNNNNNNNNNNNNNNNNNNNNNNNNNNNNNNNNNNNNNNNNNNNNNNNNNNNNNNNNNNNNNNNNNNNNNNNNNNNNNNNNNNNNNNNNNNNNNNNNNNNNNNNNNNNNNNNNNNNNNNNNNNNNNNNNNNNNNNNNNNNNNNNNNNNNNNNNNNNNNNNNNNNNNNNNNNNNNNNNNNNNNNNNNNNNNNNNNNNNNNNNNNNNNNNNNNNNNNNNNNNNNNNNNNNNNNNNNNNNNNNNNNNNNNNNNNNNNNNNNNNNNNNNNNNNNNNNNNNNNNNNNNNNNNNNNNNNNNNNNNNNNNNNNNNNNNNNNNNNNNNNNNNNNNNNNNNNNNNNNNNNNNNNNNNNNNNNNNNNNNNNNNNNNNNNNNNNNNNNNNNNNNNNNNNNNNNNNNNNNNNNNNNNNNNNNNNNNNNNNNNNNNNNNNNNNNNNNNNNNNNNNNNNNNNNNNNNNNNNNNNNNNNNNNNNNNNNNNNNNNNNNNNNNNNNNNNNNNNNNNNNNNNNNNNNNNNNNNNNNNNNNNNNNNNNNNNNNNNNNNNNNNNNNNNNNNNNNNNNNNNNNNNNNNNNNNNNNNNNNNNNNNNNNNNNNNNNNNNNNNNNNNNNNNNNNNNNNNNNNNNNNNNNNNNNNNNNNNNNNNNNNNNNNNNNNNNNNNNNNNNNNNNNNNNNNNNNNNNNNNNNNNNNNNNNNNNNNNNNNNNNNNNNNNNNNNNNNNNNNNNNNNNNNNNNNNNNNNNNNNNNNNNNNNNNNNNNNNNNNNNNNNNNNNNNNNNNNNNNNNNNNNNNNNNNNNNNNNNNNNNNNNNNNNNNNNNNNNNNNNNNNNNNNNNNNNNNNNNNNNNNNNNNNNNNNNNNNNNNNNNNNNNNNNNNNNNNNNNNNNNNNNNNNNNNNNNNNNNNNNNNNNNNNNNNNNNNNNNNNNNNNNNNNNNNNNNNNNNNNNNNNNNNNNNNNNNNNNNNNNNNNNNNNNNNNNNNNNNNNNNNNNNNNNNNNNNNNNNNNNNNNNNNNNNNNNNNNNNNNNNNNNNNNNNNNNNNNNNNNNNNNNNNNNNNNNNNNNNNNNNNNNNNNNNNNNNNNNNNNNNNNNNNNNNNNNNNNNNNNNNNNNNNNNNNNNNNNNNNNNNNNNNNNNNNNNNNNNNNNNNNNNNNNNNNNNNNNNNNNNNNNNNNNNNNNNNNNNNNNNNNNNNNNNNNNNNNNNNNNNNNNNNNNNNNNNNNNNNNNNNNNNNNNNNNNNNNNNNNNNNNNNNNNNNNNNNNNNNNNNNNNNNNNNNNNNNNNNNNNNNNNNNNNNNNNNNNNNNNNNNNNNNNNNNNNNNNNNNNNNNNNNNNNNNNNNNNNNNNNNNNNNNNNNNNNNNNNNNNNNNNNNNNNNNNNNNNNNNNNNNNNNNNNNNNNNNNNNNNNNNNNNNNNNNNNNNNNNNNNNNNNNNNNNNNNNNNNNNNNNNNNNNNNNNNNNNNNNNNNNNNNNNNNNNNNNNNNNNNNNNNNNNNNNNNNNNNNNNNNNNNNNNNNNNNNNNNNNNNNNNNNNNNNNNNNNNNNNNNNNNNNNNNNNNNNNNNNNNNNNNNNNNNNNNNNNNNNNNNNNNNNNNNNNNNNNNNNNNNNNNNNNNNNNNNNNNNNNNNNNNNNNNNNNNNNNNNNNNNNNNNNNNNNNNNNNNNNNNNNNNNNNNNNNNNNNNNNNNNNNNNNNNNNNNNNNNNNNNNNNNNNNNNNNNNNNNNNNNNNNNNNNNNNNNNNNNNNNNNNNNNNNNNNNNNNNNNNNNNNNNNNNNNNNNNNNNNNNNNNNNNNNNNNNNNNNNNNNNNNNNNNNNNNNNNNNNNNNNNNNNNNNNNNNNNNNNNNNNNNNNNNNNNNNNNNNNNNNNNNNNNNNNNNNNNNNNNNNNNNNNNNNNNNNNNNNNNNNNNNNNNNNNNNNNNNNNNNNNNNNNNNNNNNNNNNNNNNNNNNNNNNNNNNNNNNNNNNNNNNNNNNNNNNNNNNNNNNNNNNNNNNNNNNNNNNNNNNNNNNNNNNNNNNNNNNNNNNNNNNNNNNNNNNNNNNNNNNNNNNNNNNNNNNNNNNNNNNNNNNNNNNNNNNNNNNNNNNNNNNNNNNNNNNNNNNNNNNNNNNNNNNNNNNNNNNNNNNNNNNNNNNNNNNNNNNNNNNNNNNNNNNNNNNNNNNNNNNNNNNNNNNNNNNNNNNNNNNNNNNNNNNNNNNNNNNNNNNNNNNNNNNNNNNNNNNNNNNNNNNNNNNNNNNNNNNNNNNNNNNNNNNNNNNNNNNNNNNNNNNNNNNNNNNNNNNNNNNNNNNNNNNNNNNNNNNNNNNNNNNNNNNNNNNNNNNNNNNNNNNNNNNNNNNNNNNNNNNNNNNNNNNNNNNNNNNNNNNNNNNNNNNNNNNNNNNNNNNNNNNNNNNNNNNNNNNNNNNNNNNNNNNNNNNNNNNNNNNNNNNNNNNNNNNNNNNNNNNNNNNNNNNNNNNNNNNNNNNNNNNNNNNNNNNNNNNNNNNNNNNNNNNNNNNNNNNNNNNNNNNNNNNNNNNNNNNNNNNNNNNNNNNNNNNNNNNNNNNNNNNNNNNNNNNNNNNNNNNNNNNNNNNNNNNNNNNNNNNNNNNNNNNNNNNNNNNNNNNNNNNNNNNNNNNNNNNNNNNNNNNNNNNNNNNNNNNNNNNNNNNNNNNNNNNNNNNNNNNNNNNNNNNNNNNNNNNNNNNNNNNNNNNNNNNNNNNNNNNNNNNNNNNNNNNNNNNNNNNNNNNNNNNNNNNNNNNNNNNNNNNNNNNNNNNNNNNNNNNNNNNNNNNNNNNNNNNNNNNNNNNNNNNNNNNNNNNNNNNNNNNNNNNNNNNNNNNNNNNNNNNNNNNNNNNNNNNNNNNNNNNNNNNNNNNNNNNNNNNNNNNNNNNNNNNNNNNNNNNNNNNNNNNNNNNNNNNNNNNNNNNNNNNNNNNNNNNNNNNNNNNNNNNNNNNNNNNNNNNNNNNNNNNNNNNNNNNNNNNNNNNNNNNNNNNNNNNNNNNNNNNNNNNNNNNNNNNNNNNNNNNNNNNNNNNNNNNNNNNNNNNNNNNNNNNNNNNNNNNNNNNNNNNNNNNNNNNNNNNNNNNNNNNNNNNNNNNNNNNNNNNNNNNNNNNNNNNNNNNNNNNNNNNNNNNNNNNNNNNNNNNNNNNNNNNNNNNNNNNNNNNNNNNNNNNNNNNNNNNNNNNNNNNNNNNNNNNNNNNNNNNNNNNNNNNNNNNNNNNNNNNNNNNNNNNNNNNNNNNNNNNNNNNNNNNNNNNNNNNNNNNNNNNNNNNNNNNNNNNNNNNNNNNNNNNNNNNNNNNNNNNNNNNNNNNNNNNNNNNNNNNNNNNNNNNNNNNNNNNNNNNNNNNNNNNNNNNNNNNNNNNNNNNNNNNNNNNNNNNNNNNNNNNNNNNNNNNNNNNNNNNNNNNNNNNNNNNNNNNNNNNNNNNNNNNNNNNNNNNNNNNNNNNNNNNNNNNNNNNNNNNNNNNNNNNNNNNNNNNNNNNNNNNNNNNNNNNNNNNNNNNNNNNNNNNNNNNNNNNNNNNNNNNNNNNNNNNNNNNNNNNNNNNNNNNNNNNNNNNNNNNNNNNNNNNNNNNNNNNNNNNNNNNNNNNNNNNNNNNNNNNNNNNNNNNCCUUCUUAACAGUGCACUAAGCACUUCCAUACCCAAAACAAAGAGGUAAGGAGAGAGGGGAUCUCCCUGACGCAACCCCUUGGUGCUUGAAAAGAAACCUGCUGGCACACCAUUAACAAGAACAGAGAACUUGGCAGUAGAGAUGCACCACCAAAUCCACUCCAUCCACCUAGACCCAAAGCCCAAUUUACGCAGAAUCUUCAUAAGGAAAUCCCAACUUAUGCUGUCAUAGGCUUUUUCAAUGUCCAACUUACAAAUCAACCCUUUCUCCUUACGUUUUUGCCAAGCAUCAAUCACCUCGUUAGCUAUAAGCGAAGCAUCCAAUAUUUGUCUCCCCUUCACAAACGCAUUUUGGUCCAAUGAAACCACCCUUCCUAGGACCUUCUUCAGCCUAUUUGCCAACACCUUUGCCAGAAGCUUGUACAAACCUCCUAACAGGCUGAUCGGCCGAAAGUCACCCAAGUCCUCAGCGCCUCCUUUCUUUGGAAUAAGGACCAGAAACGUUGUAUUCAAGCUUUUAACAAAGGAUCUUUGUUCAUAAAAUUCCUUAAAUAGCUCCAGGAUCUCCUCUUUCACAAAGUCCCAGCAUUCUUGCCAAAAAGCUACUGUAAACCCAUCCGGGCCUGGGGCUUUAUCCCCAUCCAUCUCCAACAAGGCAGAAUGUAUUUCAUCUUCAGAGAAAGGUAGCUCCAGAUUACCAGCUUCUUGACUACUUAAAUGACUUAGAUGCAGCCCCUCUAUGUCAGCUUUCCAACCUGACUCUUCAGAGAGAAGCUGCUGAAAGACAUUAACAAUUCCCUCCUUCACCUCCUGCUCCUCCGACAGCCAAACCCCAUUAAUCUUGAUUCUAUCCAAUGUAUUAUUUCUUCGGUGUGCAUUUGCCAUUCGAUGGAAGUAGCCUGUGUUCCUAUCCCCUUCCUUUAACCAAAGUUCCCUGGACAAUUGCCUCCAAUGAAUUUCUUCCAGCAGCACCCACUUCUGAUAGUUUUCCUUGGCUUCUUUCUUCAGCUCAGUCUCCCUUUCUGAGAGGAUCCUCUCACUUUCCACCCCAUCCCAGUGCUCUACUUGAUGGAGAGCUAAAUUUUUGUUAGCUUCCAGCCGACCAAAAACUUCCCUAUUCCAUACUUUGAUCUUCCUCUUCAACUCCUUCAACUUUGAGGCCAGUCUGUAGCUGGCAGUCCCUCUCACCACAGUCUCCUGCCACCACCCCCGGAGUAAGUUCUUAAACCCAACAACUUUCAGCCACAUAUUUUCGAACCUAAACGGGGAUGGACCCCUCCUAAGACCUCCACACUCCAGCAAUAUGGGAAAGUGGUCUGACGUAGGUCUUGGCAGCCUGCUCUGAACCACCCCACUGAAAUGAUCAAGCCAAUUCUGCGUCACCAAGAAUCUGUCGAGCCUAGCCCACGACUGACUCCCCCUACCCCCAUUCCAAGUACACCUCCCCCCUUGCAAAGGAAGGUCAGUCAGCUCAAGCUCAUCCACCAUCUGUGCAAAUCUUCUCAUUGCCCUAGUAAUCCUUCCUUGCCUACUUCUUUCCCCUUGAAGAAGGGUGAUAUUGAAAUCCCCCCCUAAGCACCAAGGAACAUCCCACAGACCCCUAAUCGCCCCUAACUCCUCCCACAAACACUCCCUUUCGUCUCUAGAGAAAGGUCCAUACACGCCUGUGAACAUCCAACAAAAACCAUCCUCUACAUUCCGGACUCUACAGGAAAUUGAGAAUUGGCCCACCUCCACAUCUAACACAUCCAUCAUCCUUCUAUCCCAACAAACCAAAAUCCCUCCAGCAGAGCCUGAAGCUUCUAAGGCCCCCCACCCUAAGAACCUACCCGUACCCAAGCUUCUCACCACACCCUCCGACAUAGCUUGAAUUUUUGUUUCUUGGAGACAGAACACAUCCACCCUCUGACUCCUAAUCAGGGCCUUAAUCACCUUCCUUUUGGAGCUGUCAUUAGCUCCACGGACAUUCCAACUCAGAAGUCUUAACUUCAUAGGACUUCUAAUAUUUGACACCCUCUACCUUGCCUGCCACCAACCUGCCUUUUCCCUCCUUCGUAGUUGAUAGAACACUCUAGUCUUCUUAGCUCCCUCUCAAAUUUAGAUUUUUCCAGCAAAGACUUAUUAUGGAUUCUUUCCCUUCUCUUUCUAAUUUUACCCAGAAAAUCCAUGAUCUCCUUCUCCAGUCCCUCUGUGGAGAACCCCAAAAAAUUGCUGAAUCUAGCCAAAUCGCUUUCCUCCCAGCUGGCCUCCUCCCAAUCGCUACCUUCAUGGGGCUUAGGUUGGACUGGUUUCAAUUCCGCACCGCUUACUAUACUGCAACCAUUCUUUGCCUCCACCAGCUCCCACCGAGAGACCACUUUACCCUCCGUGAGACCCGAAGCAUUGAUCAUACAUAACGGCCUUUCCCCCUGACCAGCCUCACACACAGCCCCAGAAUAGUCGUAAUACUCCCUUUCAAGAGUCCGACCAUGAAAAAAACAGAGAGGGGGAGAAAGACCAGAGACUAAUGCUCCUUUAAAAUUAAGAGUAGUCCCAUACCUCGAAGCUUCCUCAAUUAAGGCCAGAUCAGUCUUCGAUUUCUCCAUAGCUUGGCUCUCUAUUUCAAAUUGCUUACGCAAAUCAUCCUUCUCCCAGAAGAUGAAAGACUCUGAUACUGGCCUUCCCACAACAAUUGGAUCUACCCUCACUAAAGAAGAGGCCUUUCCCGCUUGGGCUUCGCCCCCUGGCCCUGAGUGAUACUGACCCCUUACCAGCCCAAGAUCCUCGUUUAUUCCACUAACCUUGGUCUGCCCAUGAGCCAUCCUUGUGCACAGCCCGUAACUACUUGGCCCAGCCACAAAUGGGCCAGGCCCAAAGGCGCCAAAGGAUAAAUCAUUUGGGCUAGGGAAAGGGACCUCAACAGGGCCCUUCUUGGAAGAACCACCCAGCGCUGGCCCGCCUCCACUGGUCCGGCCCAACAUCCCAUGGCCCGGAAUAGGGCCCAAAGGACACCCUGACCCAGAUGACUGACGCUGCAUCCCAUCUGCAGACUGAAUCAUGACCUCGUAACUCGUGCCAUUACCCUCCUCCACCACGCGUUUCCCCGCGCGUGUUACUGCCUCACCCCCUACCUCGGCAUCUACUGCAACUUUCUUCCCGCUUUGAUCCGUCGGAAAAAUCCUCAGAAGCGGUCUGAUUUCCCACCACAGGGUUAGCACAUAGCACCUCUCAUCAACCCAGAUUUCCACCGCGCUAGGAAUCUCAUCACCGUUUACCUUCACCAGUAUCCGGGCCCACUGCAGCUCCUCCAGCUUCUCCGUUUGAUUGUCGACUGCCAAGAAACCCCCACAUUCCUCCCCUACUCUUUUUAGAGUGUCCCGAUCCCAAAGCGAUACCGGUAACCCCACUAUCCUCACCCAGGCCUCGCUUCUAGCUUCCCCCUCCAUCACACACCCCGUUUCGAGGCUCCAUUCUUCCACGCGUAAGGAAAUCCCCCCCACCAACACUUCCCCAGAUUUGAGCACUUUCCUAGCUUCUUCCAACCUCUCAAACUCCAACAAUAUCUUACCCCUUUCCAGUUUUGCCAACCCUAGCUUACCCCUCAAUCCCCACAUACUUGCCAUUUGGGUUCCCCACCCUUGCAGAUCGUCACCUCUCCCUGAGUUCGGAUUCCAGAAUCCAACGAGACAGUGGGUCAGCUUAUGUAAAUUACUGCUCAAUGCCUCUUUCCUAAUCUUCACCUUCGCCACUGCUUUACCUUUACUCCUUGGCGUCUGUUCCACCUCCGCGAAGGAUUUCCUCAGGUCCGGUUCCGACAACCUCACAUCCGGCUGUUGCCUUUCCUUUCUAUCCAUGACAACCCCCAAAUUGCGUAAUGUCAUCGCCAUUAGAGACCAUCCUCCCUUCACCCCUCUUCCCUUAGGGAUGAAAAUGCUAAACCUUUUACUUUCCACAUCCACCACGCCCAGACGUAGAUAACAACCCCCUUUAUUCGCAUCACGCAACAGCGAAUAGGACCUGCCGUCCUCUUCCCACCUUUUUUCCCAUUUUUCCUCACUCUUCUCUUCUAAGCAGAGGAGCAAGCACUCCAGAAACAGCCCCAGGCUCACCGGUCCCAACUUGACCCACGAGGAGAUCCCUCUUUUCCUCUCCACCAUAGUAGCUUUCAUUUUACCUUUCCUCUCCUCCACUACGACCUCAAACGAUUUCGAUUCCACACCAAAGUUGCUCACCCUCCGGCUUUUCCUAGUCCCCAACCAUGUCUCACCCUCUGUCUCCUCGCCCGCACCCACAGACUUCUCUUCCCCACCCACUCUCUCACGCUCUCUCUUUCUAACUUUCUCUCUCUCUCUCUCCUCCAUGGGGAUAGGAAGCCUGUAGAGUUUUAUGAUUCAAUACCUUAAAUCUUUGCCUCACCAAAAAAGAAAAUUAAGAGCCUGAAAUAAGAAGAAAUUUUCUACCACGUUCUGCAAUCCAGGUCAUGCAAUCUUUGAUCAUAUAAUUCUAGGGGCUAACUUUUAUAUCCUUUGUUGAAGUACUAUUCUAUUAUUUAUUCCUUUUUUUUUUUCAGGUUUAAUUUAUUAGGAUAUGUUACCCUUUUUUCUUUUCCCUAUUGGUACUUAUGUUGUUUAAAUUUAUCAUAUUUUUUUCUAUUCUAUUGAAUUUUCACUGUUUCAUUUUUAAAUUUUGUCUCUUCUUUUUUCUUGUAGAAACUUUCAGAUGACAUUCUAAAUUUGGGGUUCCUUCCAUUUGUGUCACAUUAGUGCUUUCUAGCCUUCUCCUAAAUUUUAUGGGAUUCAGUUGUCAUUGAGCAUCUAGCAUUUGAUGGAGCUGCAUAAUUUAUUUAAGAAAAAUGCUUAAUGAACAUUUGAAUCUGGAUAAUUGGAAAGUGAUUAUAAGGUGUGUGUCUUGUGACGAAGCCAAGCAUCAAGUAAAGGUUCAUGAACUUGCUUUCCUAUGAGCCUCUGAUCACCAAUAGCCUUUCCUCUAACCUAAUUUUCUCUAUCAAUCUUUAGAAAGAUGCAGACUCUGCAACGUCUGAAAAUAUACAAUCGCCUUCAUGCAGUCAGAACCACCAGUUUCAACCCCAUUGGCCACCAUCUUAAAACCUACUCCACCAAGUCCAAAAGCGCCGGUGAUGAUGAAUGGAACAAUGCCUGGGAAUCCGCUUGGCUUCCUGAAGACCUCUCUGCCAAGAACAGAGCUCCCUGGGAGACUGAUGUCAACUUCUCAUCUUCAGAGUCUGCUAUUGUUCUUCCGUCUGAUGUUGAUGCUGAGACAAAGGCAUUUGUUGAGGACAUGACUGAGAAUUGGAAUGAGAGGAGAAAAGGUCAGCAAAAGCAAGAGGAGAAGCGUGAUUCACUUUAUAAUCUUGAGAAUAUGAAGAAAGAUUACAGGUUGAAGAAGCAGAGGCUGCACGCUGGGUUGUGGAUGAAAGAGAUUGAGAAGCAGGAGGAAGCCAAGUUGGGGGAUUUGGUUGCAGGUGGCGGAGAUGACAUCGAUAGAUUGCUUGAUAGCUACUCUGAGUAUGUUUCUAUUUUCUUUUGCUCUUGCAGAUCAUUCACUAGAUUGGUGUUUUGUCUCUGCAUUGAAAUCAAAUCACUUAUUUUUAAUUUUAUGGUUGAACUCAUUAAUCACAAUAAAAGAAUUUUAAAGGGAUCUCCUGCCAAUGCAAUAUAAAUGUUAUAAAAAUUGAAACAGAAUGACUUCAAAUGCUCUCCAGAACAAGAUGGAAUGGUUUUGAUCCCCAAAAGGUCUAAGAAAUUAGGGGUUCUCAAUAUGCCAAUCAGAACUGGCUGUUCUUUUCCUAUGUAUGUCCUUUAAAUUAUAUAUUGUAGGUUAAUAAUUAGGAUGCAAACUUCUACUAGUUUAUGAUGGUGAUCUAUCAAAUUAUUGUGCUGGAAUUUCUGGGAAGAAUUGAAAGCUACUGAGUUUUUCUCUGUCAUCAAUGAUUAGCCAUGAUAAAUUGCUUGAACAGGAACACUUUUUUUUUCUUUUUCUUUUUUUAAUAUUAUCACAGUUAUAACAUCUUUGUCAUUUGUUGGAUGUGGCAAAUUUGGAAUUGGAAUUAUAAGAAUAAACUUGUUGGGCACAAUGACUUCAAUGACACAGGAUUUUUGAUACUGGCAACAAUGAUUUCAAUAACUCGAAUAUUCCGAGCUCUUCUGAGUUUAAAAACAAGCCUGAUGGUUGGGAAACAAUAUCAAAGGCCCAAGAUGGGAAUAUAUGGGAGAUGUCACAGAGGGAAGAAGAUAUCCUCCUUCAAGAGUUCGAUCGUAGAAUCGCAUACUGCAAAUUCCAGGUGCGUCAAUAUCAUUGCUUACAUUUUUCCAGUUGUGUGGUCAAUGAUUUUCAUCCAGUUUCUUACGAGAAAAUUGAUUAGUUAGUUACAAGUGUUAUGUCAACAAAGGAUACAGACACCCAUAAUGUUCACAUUGCUUGCUGAGGAUCCAUCCCGCCCAUGUUGAGUGGGACACAUCGCCUGAUUAUUCUGGCCAUAUUACAUGUUAUUUGUUCUUUGGUCUUGAUAAUCUCUUUUUAGGUGUGAUAAGGUGCCCAGAAUAUGAUUACUAGAGCAAUGACAUGUGUAUGCUAGUCUGAAAAGAUUCAGAAACCAUAGUUUUAUCUGUUAAAAAAACUAUCCCCAAUUAUUGAAAGAAUUUUUAUUGAAGUGGAUCAUCAUUCACCCAUGCAGUUUCAUUGGUUUUUCUGAAUUUCAGAAACUGUGUAAUGUUCCCUAUAUGUUAUAUGUUAUAGAUCUUUUAGGGUUGCAUGUAGAGACCAAGCUUCUCAAAUCUGAAUGUUCUGCUAAGAUCCAUUCAAUGCAGGACAAUAUUCUGGGAGCGUGAUUAUGGACUUUUGGAUUUAUAACUUGACGAAGAUAUGGUUUUUACUGAUUUGAUUACCAAAAAAUUUGUACCCCACCAUUGUCACUGCUGGUUUUCUUUCAUAAAUGUUACAUUAAUUGAGAUUGGUAUGCAGAUAGCGAGUUUCAUUAAGACGCACAUAUUCAGCCGGAGGAGACCCAUCGAUGGAUGGAAAUACAUGAUAGAGGAGCUGGGGCCAAAUGCGAGGAAAGGGAAGGGCAGUGUUUCAAGGUUACCCAGCAUAUCAGAUGCAUCAACUCAACCUUUCAAGGAGGAGAGGACCACCAGCGGCAGUCUCACCUCCUUUAAGGGGAGGUAGCUUGUCUCCAACUUUUUCCCGGUAAUCCUCUCUUGUAUUUAUGGAUGACCACACUUAAAAAUUUUGACGACUUAUAUAUCAGUUAAGGCUAGUUUUUACAUAUCAAUUUUAUAACUUUAUAUUAAGAACAAAAUUUAAUGGCACGCAUAUUGUGCGUAUCAGGCUUAGUUUUAAUGAAUUUUAACGGGAAAUGAAGAAUAAGCUUGAUUUUAUUUGCAUUUUUCAUUUUUAAGUUAAUGGGUCAAUGUUGGGUUUUUCCUCGAUUUGACUUAUACAUAAUUGAUGGUUUAAUAUGAUCAUAGUUUUAAAAGGCGUAAGGCGCAUAUAAGGGCCAAAAGUAUGCUAUAGCUUAAGCGCAAGGCGCAACACAAGGUGCGUGCUAAAGUGAAGUGAAACAUAAUCUAAGUAUGCAUAUCAAUUUUAUAAAAUAUGAUUCAAAAUUUAAUCAGGUCAGUAAAAAAUUUAAGAUUUUAAAUAUUUAAAAAUGAUAUUUAAAAAAAAAAGUAAUAAAAUUAUAUAAAUUUUAAUAUAUAAUUAAAAAUUUCAAGAAUAAGAGUGUUUAAAAAUAAAAAGUAAAACAGAUAAGGGGAGUCCAUGUCUUGCCAAGCAAGACAUUAUAGGUAUGAAGUGGUUGGGUUUUGAGCCCAAGGGCACUUUAUGCACGCGUUUUAAAACUUUGAAUAUGAUAUCAUAAUAUUAAUAUUUAGAAUGAUGUCUUAUCAAAAAAAAAAUAUAUUAAUAUUUAGAAUGAUGUGAUUUGUAGCCUCACUAGGUGUUUUGUUUACCUUAUAUAUCAGGACUUCAUAUAUAUUGUGAGCUACUUCUUUGAAGAUCUAGACUAUCAAUAAUAUGUAAAUGGUAAAGGAUAUUUGUUAAAUUAUUAACAUAUUUUAUGCAUUUCUAAAAACCAUAAAGCUAAAAAAAUGUUUUCCUAUGUUACUUUCAUUUUUUAUUUUUGAAAAAUGGAAAAAAAAGUUACAUGAUGUUAAUUUAGUCAUUCUUCAUAUGAUAAAUUAAAUAAAUAAAAAAUGAAACUUGUGCUUUGGGCUUCCCAUCCCAACAUAAUAGCAUUUUCAAAACCCAACAAUGGGAAAUAUGAAAAUCAUCUUUUAAUAUGAAAAGUAUUAUUAUUUUUGUGUACUUUGAGCCCGUUCCAUCUUUUGUGCCUAUAUUGUCCCUUCGUUUUUCCAACUUAGCAUCAUCCCAACCUCCAUGUCACACUCUCUCAUUUGGAAACUUUUUCUCAUCUUUCUUCACUUUCGACAAUCCAAAAUUUCUCUCAUUUCAAUUCAGAAACCCAAAUCCAAAACUUCAAGGCGGUGUCAAAACGCGCCUUGGAAGUUCAAGAGAAUCUGAGAAAAACGAAAAUGAGCUUAGGUGGAGAGAGUAAGUACCUAAAAAUCGAAACCCUAACCUCCAAAUGCGUCUUAAACUCGCAAAUCUGUGUCCAAGAUAGCUCUAUCAACAAGAAAUAGUACCAAACGUCUCUCAUAGACCAUUGAAUCGACAAAACCCUUGAAGAACCAGAGGAAACAAUGUAGAAAAUGAAGCACAUGAGACUCUCAAAGUAUUGGGUCUUGACAAAUCGGUCAAUUGGUCCUUAACCGGGAAGAAAAGUCUACCGGAAGAGAGAGAAUGUUUGUUCCAUCUUUCGAUCGGACAUCGAUCGGUUACCUUUGGUAUUUUGGUGAGUGUACCUUAGGUACUACUUUAAUAACCCUUAGGUACUAGCUUAAUCUACUUUAAGUAUUACCUUAACCGACCUUAGGUAUUAUCUUAGUUAAACUUACGUACUACUUGUGUGAAAAACUCAGAACUUCAUUUGUAGAUAUUACUUACUUCAUUUAUGACCUUUAGAGCAUGCUAAUAUGUAAUUAAUUAGUGUGGUCAAUUGGUUCACCUUUGGUAUUUUGGUGAUUGUACCUUAGGUAUUACCUUAAUAAGCCUUAGGUACUAUCUUAAUCUACCUUAAGUAUUGGCUUAAUCGACCUUAGUAAAACUUGGAUACUACCUACCACACUAAUUAAUCACAUAAUAACAUGUUCUAAGGGUCACAAAUGACGUAAGUAAAAUCCACAAAUAAAGUUUCGAUGCUUCAUAUAGGUAGUACCCAAGUUUUACUAAGGUAGUACCUAAGGUUGGUUAAGGUAGUACCUAAGAUAGAUUAAGAUAGUACUUAAGAGCUAUUAAGAUAAUACCUAAGGUAUAGUCAUCAAAAUACCAAAGGUGAACCAAUUGACCACACUAAUUAAUCAUAUGAUGACAUGCUCUAAGGGUCAUAAAUGAAGUAAGUAAUAUCCACAAAUGAAGUUCCGAGGCUUCAGAUAAGUAGUACCCAAGUUUUACUAAGGUAGUAUCUAAGGUCGGUUAAGGUAGUACCUAAGAUAGAUUAAAGUAGUAUGUAAGGGCUAUUAUGGUAGUACUUAAGGUUUAGUCACCAAAAUACCAAAGGUGAACCAAUUGACCACACUAAUUAAUCACAUAAUGACAUGCUCUAAGGGUCACAAAUGAAGUAAGCAAUAUCCACAAAUGAAGUUUUGAGCCUUCACACAAGUAGUACACAAGUUUAACUAAGGUAAUAUCUAAAGUAGAUUAAGCUAGUACCUAAGGGAUAUUAAGGUAGUACCUAAGGUACAGUCACCAAAAUACCAAAGGUGAUUAGUCGAAGUUCGAUCGAAAGAUGGAACAAACAUUCUCUCUCUUCUAGUAGACUUUUCUUCUCGGUCGAGGACUGGUCAAGGAUCGGUCGAUUGGUUCGUUGGGACCCAAUACUUCGAGAGUCUCUUGCGCUUCAUUUUUCUGCACCGUUUCCUCUGGUUCUUCAAGGGCUUUGUCGAUUCAGUGGUCUAGUUGAGAUGUUUGGUGCUAUUUCUUGCCGAUAGAACUAUCUUGGACACAGAUUUGCGAGUUUAGGACUCAUUUGGAGGUUAGGGUUUCGAUUUUUGGGUACCUACUCUGUCCACUUGAUCUCCAUUUCGUUUUUCUCGAAUUCUCUUGGACUUUCAAGGCGCGUUUUGACACUGCCUUGGAGUUUUGGAUUUGGGUUUUUGAACUUAAAUGAGAGAAAUUUUGGGUUGUCGGGAGUGAAGAAAGAUGAGAGAAAGCUUCCAAAUGAGAGAGAGUGACAUGGAGGUUGAGAUGAUGUUGAGGAUAUUGAGCUGGAGAAAUGGAGGGGCAAUUUGGGCACAGAAGAUGGAGCCGACUCAAAGUGCACAAAAAUGAUAAUACUUUUCAAAUUAAAAGUUGAUUAUCAUAUUUCCCAUUAUUGGGUUUCGAAAAUGCUAUUAUGUUGGGAUGGGAAGCUCAAAGCAUAACUUUCCCAAAAAAAGAAAAAAAAUGAAAUGAUUGUCUUUUAAUCAAGGCGAGAGACAUUAUAUAUAAUGCUCUCUAUUUUAUUUUUUGUUAAACAAAUAGGUUCAAAACCAUGCCAUGCUUAAUACAAAAUAUUUAAUAAUUUAAAAUUCAAAAUCGAUUCAACUAGUAUUAGAAAGUUAUGUAGCUCAAAACCGAUCGAAUUAAUAGUAAAAAGUCACUGACCUAAAUCCAUUUUGAAUGAAUGUUUAUUUCUUUUAUAUAAUCAUAAUUUUGUGAUUUUUUUCUCUAGGUAAAUAAGCUUCAAAUUAAACAAAACAUAUUAUGUUGGAUUUACUAAUAAAUCUAGUAAUUUUUAAAAAUAAUUUAAAACUCAAAUAAUGAACCAAUAAAUACAAAAAAUUUAUGGAUGCAAAAAUUGGUACUCUAUUGCUUUUCUUUUUCAUCAAAUCAUUUUUUUUCUCACUAGUGAAUUUCAAAUUAAGCGAGACUUUUAUUGGAUUUAUUAAUACAAUAAGUAAUUUAAAACUAAAAAGUAUAUAUAAUCGCAAAAAAAGUAAUAGACAAUUAAAUGAAUAACUGCAAAAUAAAAGAUUCAUUAAAUAUAUAGUUAUGACUUUAUUGUUUCUCUUGUACACAUAAUUAUAUUUUACGAAUUUUCUCAAUAAAUUGAUUUUAAAUUAAAUGAAACACAUAAAAAAAAAUUAAUGAAUUAAAUUAUCAUUAAAUUGUAGUUCAACAAAUUUUGGGUUUGAUAAGGGAUAGGUUCUACCCAUCAAACAUGUGGCAUGCAACUCAACUCAAAAGGUUAUAUGUGAUGAAAUUUAAUUGCUAUGAAAUUAAGUCUUCAAAAAGGAAUCAAAUCAAACAAUUAAAGUACUAAUUAACCCAUCAAAUUUUGGGAAUUUUAAAUUGAAUUCUUUAACUUUACUUAUAAAUACGUGUGACUUCUUUUGAGGGGAGGAGAGUGAAAACAACUUCAUAUGGGAAAAAAGAUUUUACAAAGAAAAAAAGACUUCAUAAAAUUUUCUUACAAGUUGGAGAAAUCAAAGUGCCAUACAUAUGUUUUUUGUCUUUCAAUAAAGUCAUUUAGAAAUAAAUUAUUCUAAACCUUCUAUUAAUCUCCAAAACAAAGAAAGUGUUUUCAUUGUUGUCUUUCAAAUUGUGAUCAAAGUAAAUGAUUUAGAGAAAAAAAAAUUCUUUUGUAAAAAAUAUUAUCACUAAAUCUAUACUCCACAAUUAUUUUUAGUACAAAAGUUUUAUUUGUAUAAUUUUUUUCUAUUUUUUCCUUGUUUUGUAAGACUUUACAAAAUUUAUGCACACAAACACAUAAUUAACACUUUAAAUUCUUUAAUAAAUAUUUUAAUUUUUAAAAAUAAUUUGAAAUUCAAACAACUAAAUAAUUAAUUAUAAUCCAACUAAAAAAUUUCAGAAAAACUUAGCUUAUGUAUACCUUAAAAAAUUAAACUUUAUUUGUUUUUAAGUUCAUUUAGAAUACAAUAUUAAUAGUAAUUAUUAAAUUUAAAUUAUUGUUUUUUAACAAAAUAAAUCAAUUAUGCUUACGAGGAUUUUAAUAUUUAUAUUUUUUAUAAUAUUUUUUAAAAAUAUAUAAUUUAUGAUUUUAUUAUAUAUUACUAUUCAUAUUUUAUUAAAAAUAUACAUUUUUAAUAAAAAAAUUAUUUUUAUUUUAAUAAGAUAUGAAUUAAAUUUAGUUUAUAUUACAUAAAUUGAAUUUACAAUUUUUUAUAAAAUCAAAAUAAAAAAUUAUUUUCAAAAACCACUUAUCCAAUAGUUUUUUAUUUUUUGAAAAAUGUUUUAAAAUAUCUCUUCUUAAAGACCCUUUGAAAUCUUAUUUAUAAACAAGAUUUCAUCUUCAUAGAAGUAUUUUUAAUUCCAUUCUCAUACUUACUUGGAUUAUCUAAACAUGACAAUGAAGAAAAAAAAGAAUAGGAUAUAUAUUCUUAAUCUUUAUUCUCGAAUAUCAAACAUGACCUUAAGGUGGUUGAAACACUAUUUGUGGUCAAACACAUUUCAACUAUGAAUUUUUUUUUUUACUAGCCUUAAACUCUUAAUUAAAAUCAUUGAAAAAAAAAUGUUUUUUUAACAAAUUGUUUUGAUUUAAAAAAAAUAAAAAUCGAGAGACAAAUUUUACUUUCAAGCCAAACGGAGGGAUACUUUACGGUGACGUGCCACGUGAGACGGCAAUGGAUAAAAAAUCCAACGGCCCAAUUUAUAUGGGAAAAGCCGCAGUUAAAUAAGAGUGAAGAAGUGCAAAACGACAGCGUAUGCCGGAAAACGACGCCGUAGCAUCCUCCUCUGUGGAACGACCGGCAUAGCCAUGACUUCGGAGGGCGAGGGCCAAGCCGCCACCGUUCCUAAGAGGCGCCUGUCCUGCAAGACCUGCAUCGACAAUCUCUGGUUUUGUUACUGUAUGUUUUUUUAUUUUUUAUUUCCAUAAAUCGUCUCACUUCAGUUCGUUCUUUACUUUCAUUUCCACAUCAACAUUUGUAUUCACAGUUGAAAAUUUCGAUCCUGUUUUCUUUAAUUGAUUUGUGAGAAUGAUAGGGUUUUGGUAAUGUUGGGUUUUUGCUAUUAUUGGAAGUCAUGUAUGGAAUUGAACAAUUUAGAAUGGGUGAAAUCUUAGGAUUGCAAUCGAAGAAUUUGAUACUUCUUUUGUUAAAUUUUGAUGUUGAAUGUUAUUCUGUUGGUUUCAGAAUCAAGAGUGGAGUAUUUUAGUGAUGCAGUUGUUGCUGUUGUUGUUUGUAUUUUAGGCUUCUCCCAAAUUGGGUGGAUUGGGGCAUUAAUAUUUGCAUGAAAUCCUGCAAUGUAGAAGAUUAAGGUUUGUUUUUUGGUGUUUUGGGUUUAGGAAACUUUGAUUUUGGUGGUUUGAAUUUAUUAAUGAAGAAGAAAAAUGUGUAGAAAUUGCUCAGUACAUGUGGUUUGACCUGAGAUAUAGGAAAAACAUCAGAUUGGAGGGGAACAGAAGAAGUUUGCAAUAUAGGGGUCUCAAAAGAAAAAUUCUGCUCGGUACAAUGCUUUGAGUCUUUUGAAUUCAGAGUGGAGAUGCAGAUGUCUUGGAACAUUACAUUGCCCCUCUUUCCAGAGUGUCUGAAAAAUCACGUGGCACCAUCUUCUCCUCGUGUUUAACCCUAAUUAAAAGACAACUUUUGGAACACUGUAAGGAGAGGAAAAAAAAGGUGAAGAGUCUUGAAGCUCCUCUCUGUGUGUAGAAAUAAGUAUUGUACCCAUUUGGGAUCCUAAAAUUUGGGAUUCAAUCAAGUGGGAAUUGGACUUAAAAUUCAACUCAAUUGCUUGUUUCACCUAUUUAGGUUCUGUUGGAUCUUGGAUGCACCAAUUUUGUCUUCUAGUUUGCUCCAUCUAAUGCUAUAUUUUCUGUUAAAUUGGAGACUAUUCAUUGCCAGCUAACAUCACAUACUCUUGGACUCAUCAUCCUGUGCAGUAUUUAGGCUUACAUCAUUCUUCCAUAAGAAACAAUAUGCAUGAGCCAUAUAUUCUCAUAGAUUCUUUGGUCCUAGGCUGUUUGCAGGUCUAAUCUUCCCUCUAAUAAUAAGUAUGUUGUGGUUCUUGUGGAAACCCUAGCUCUUGUACCAGAAAUAAAGCAGCAUGAAUGACUACUUUUAGCAAUUCUUAAUAUAAACCUUAAGGCAAUGCACAAUUAAACUACAAAGGAGUUAGAAACUGGAUGAUCUAUUGCCAAUCACUGCCAUUAUCUCCAAAAUAACAACUAAAAAUAAUGAAAAUUUGAGAAUUGAAAGAGUGAAGAGAGUAGGUUUUGUACCCAAAAUUGUUCCCAGAUCCAACUAAAUAAUGCUCCAACGCAAAUCAUUUCCUCAAAUUAUUCCAUAAAUAACACUUUUGCAGCCUUUUGUAAGGUGAACCCUACCUCUCCAGAAAGGGAGAAAAAAAUUACGGGGUACCUGGAAAUCACUAAGAAGAUAAGUCAUGACUGUACAAGGAAAACAUGUUUCGCCUGCUUUUCUUAUUUUGCAUGCUUUUAUGGUUUUUUGUUUCGUGUCCUUAACCACCGUUUUCGGGUUUGUCUUUAUUAGUUAAUCUUUAAAGUAGUUAGCUCUGUCAAGCCCCUUGAUUGGAUAUAGACUUACUGUGGACUUUUAGCAUUAUUAUGUGUGGAUGCAUAUUUCAAGUCAUAUACAUGUAUUAAUGCCUUAUGGUCAAUCCCUGAUCUCACAAGUAACUAGAAUUAUUUUGUAAAAACCAAUUUUGAUGGUGUUAUGAUGGUACACUUGUAAUUUAUAUAGGCAGUUGACAAGUUCAUAGUAAUUGAAGGUUUAUUAGAUUUUGCUAUAAAGGGACAAGGCAUCUUCAUAUAUGUCCUCUAUGAAAUAGAGUUACUGGUCAAAGUAAAUACUCUUUCCUCCUUCGGGAAGAAGGAUACAUACCGAUCAGUUGGAGAAUAUUCAUCUCCUAUAAUCUGAAGUGGUAAUUGAAAUGUAAUGGAAUGCCUGACAAGGUAGAAUGGGAACAAGCUAGCAAGUUUGGAAUUUAAUGCAUGUACAUGAAAGAGAGUGGUUGCUAUAUGUAUCAAGGAAUGUGAAAAGCCUUGGCAGUUGCAGCAAUUUGUAGAACUAAAUCAAAGAUACUACAAUUUUAUUGAAGCACAUCCAAUUGUGCUGUCUAGUUACCUUUGCAUUUUCUGAAUAUUCAGUUGAUAUUACUUUGUAAAAGAAUAUCCCCCUUGGUAUUCUCUUGAGGAACUUCCAUUUGUGUUAUAGUGUUUUUAAAUGGGGAACCACAUUCAAGAGCAUUUUGGUAAGAAAAACAGGGGAUGUGUGCAGUGUGUUGGCCUGUUCUGGUUUUUUGGAAUGCUGUGCUGUUCUUUUGACUGUUUCUAACUCUCUUUUCUGGCCUAUUAUUUGUUCCCUUGCAUAUGCUUUUAGCAAUAAAGUUGAUGAGCAUUUAUCUUCUGACAGCUCCAGUUCAUCAAAUGCAGCAGUAUUAUCGGCUCGGUGUUCUUGAUAACUGUGCUGAUAAAUGGAGUUCUCUUCUUGACUGUUUAAGUCUGAAAACAAAACGAUCUUCUGAGGUGCAGGUGGGUUGUUAAACUUAAUUUACUUUAAAACUUAGGUUUUUUUUUUUUUUUUUUCUCUUUCUCUCAUUGUGUUAAGGCUACCUACAAUCUUAGAAAUAAGGAAUCUGGAAAAAUGUUUGCAUGGAUUCAUUAUCUUGAUCCAAGUCUUAAUUCUUGGUUGUUUAGGUUUGAAAACAAU
RNAcentral lists this long non-coding RNA (125955 nucleotides) under Vitis vinifera (wine grape). Its description in RNAcentral is "long non-coding RNA (VVIN_LNC003877)". Lineage: Eukaryota; Viridiplantae; Streptophyta; Magnoliopsida; Vitales; Vitaceae. The record is from RNAcentral.